AAAUUGGUGGCGGGUUGAUUGUUGGUCACCAACUCUAAAUAAAGAAUUCAUCAGAACCUAGAAAUUUAAACAAAGAAUUUUCCAAAAUCAACAUUUACUAAAAACCAGUUACUUGGUUAUCAUGCAUGAUGGCUUGCCAAAGACUGAAUUAAGGAAUGCACAACUUUACUUUUAUGAUUAUUUUCAAUGACAGCUAAAAGGUCAGAUCCAAAUGACAGUUAAAUUCCUUUUCUACAAAGUUCGAAAUUAUAUGGCAGUUUGGCAUCUGUUGAAUAACAUGGUUGAAAGAUUUAAAAUUGAUACAUUCAAUUUUUAUGUGUAAAACUAUAACAUAUACCUAAAGCUAUUUGGUCUAUAUAUCCAUAUCAAUCAUGUUGUAAUUAAAUGUUUAUCGAUGUAAAUAGAUGAUUUCAGUCAUGUGAUAACAUGUUUCUUGAUGGUAUACGCUGAAGUUUGGUCUAAGUUGGAUAAAAAUCGACCAAAAUCUUAGUAAGAGACUCUUUUAACUUUUAACCAAAAAAUGAGCACCACAAUACUACACUUAUAAGUUUUUAUCAUGCACAAAAUAUACAGCACUGAUAGCCACUUUUAGAGCAAGAACAAUACUUUACCAGACGAAAACAACAAAACACUCAAAACCCAGAAACAAAAACACACUUAGGACUCAAACUCCUCAAAAACAUGAGAAAGAGAGUGCGUGAGGAGAGAGAAUAAAAAAAAAUAUUAUUUUUCACAAACUCAAAAUUGUUUAUAAAAUUACAAAUCAAAACAAAUGAAAAUCCAAAAUUGCCCUAAAUUAAAUCUGUUUAGUUAAAUGUUUAUUGCCCUUCAAAUGUUAUUACACCUGACAAUUGCUUUGAAGUUGAUAUUUUGGUCAAUCCAGGGGAAAAGGAGUUAUUGCUUUUGGAGCAGUUGUCAUGGAGAAUCCCAUCUCCAUGUUAAAUAAAAAAAGGUCGUACCCAGUGCACAAGGCUCCCGCUUUACGCAGGGUCUGGGAGAGGUGAAUGUCGGCUAGCCUUACCCCAUUUUAUGGAGAGGCUGCUCCCAACUCUCGAACCCGAGACCUACCGCUUAUGGGCGAAGACACUUGCCAUCGCACCAAGUGGCCACAAUAAUUUAGGAGGCCCUUCUCUCCAGAUUUUCUCAAUAACUUUCCUUUUCGUAGCUGGUAAGAUUGCAACUCCAAGAAUUGCUCUGAAGAGAUAUAUACAAACAAAAUCAAACUAAAACUAAGCUAUUGGAAGAAAUUUACAAAACAAAAACACAAUUUCAACUCAGAGUUAAAGUCAACAGAAACCAAAUGGUACAAGUUGACAAAAUAUAUGGUCAUGAAUCGAGAACUUCAUCAAACUAACAGCAAUAAAAUCUCCUAUAAUCUGUCUAAAACCAAAAAAGAGAGAGGUAAUUUCAAGACCUUGUAACGCUGAGGCCUCGUACAGUUGUAGUAAUAAUAUAUGGUUGAUGCACCUGUUGCUCAAUCAAAUCCUUUGUCUGGCUAAAAAAAUAAAAAUCUAUAAAUACAUUCACGUCCAAUUUAUGAGAAAUCAUGGGAAAGCAAAUGCACUGAUAACGGAAUCAUGAAUAUGAAGAACUUGCCAAAAAGAAAAAGAAAACUUCUUGUAGUGUGCCAAGAACAUCCUCCUACUCCUAGCAAAUUUUUUAUGGCAUUAUCCACUUCUCAAUUCAUAAUUCAACCAGUAACUCAAAGUCUAUAGUGUAUGAAAAAGUGAUAUCUUAGUUGAUCUCGAUGAUAAUUAAGUAGAUUAAAUGACGACCCAUAAAGCAUACAAAUUCAGAAAAGAAAAGGUUGAAAACUGCCAUAAGAAAACGCAGAAUAUAUAAAUGGGAAAUCAAAAGAAGAGAAGCGAAAAAGGAAGAAAAAACCAAACAAAAUUAUUAGGUUUGGGAUAUACCUUUAUCCGAAAGGCCACAACCAUCAAAGUCAAACAUAAACAAUCCAAAAAUUUGUGGAAAAUAACAAUAAAUGCUUAACUAAAAAUGAAAGAAAACGUAGAAUAAGUUUACCUGUUCUCCCCCUAAUUAAACUGGAAUACAAUUCACCACUAAUAUUCUUGUCAUCCUCUUCAGCCUGAAAAAUUUAGUAGAAAUAUUCAAUGAAGACGCUUAAUGGAGACAGUAAUAUUAGCAAUGGAGGAAUUGAAUUGAUAACUAAAACUGCAAGACCAAAUGACUACAAUAGGUUCAAAACAGAAACUCGUCUGUUAGAUGUCUCAUCUUUAGGCAGUGCCUUGUUCUUUGUUGCAUGUCUUGUGAAGUUCAUGUAAAUCAACAAAAUUGAUACUUUGGACACACCAACAAUGGAGAGGUAAAAAGUGAAAAACAGAAGGAAUGUCUUCAGAUUUGUAAUGGAUUUUGCAAGUCAGAAAUUCUGUUCGAGAAUUUGCAACCCAGAAAGUCCACCAGCAAUUAUUAACAAUCACAGAUAAGCACCGAAUGAAGGCCAAUCUAAUACAACAACAACAACAACAACAACAAAGCCUUUUCCCACUAAGUGCGGUCGGCUUGAAGGCCAAUCUAAUACGCCAAAAUAUUCAGGGCACUAAAGAACUUAUUGCCCAGUAUCAACGAUAGAUAAGCACAUGUGAAACUAAAGAAAUUUUUCAUUACUAUCAACUCCAAAAAAGAUAACCUAUGCAAUCCAAAAAAUGUUGAUACAGAGUUGGAGUAUCGAUGCUUGAAAUUGGUAUUUGAACCACCAACUACCUCCGUGAAUAUGUUUGUUUGCUUAAUGGUUUGGGUUGAAGUUGCGAAAGGAAAUAUAAUUUCUUAAAAGGAGAGAAUGCAGAGACAAUACAGAAUGGUUCACGUGGCCACCUCAAAACAGAUUGACAAUUAAGCUUCAUUAUGAAUGGAAAGAUUAAUAGAUGAUAAUUAAGAAGGCCUGAUACCCAAGCCGAAAUCAGAGAUAUCCUUUGUAAACAAAGAGAUUGAGCAUUUCCACUAAAAAAUAACCUUUUUUGUGAGGGGUGGGAUUGGGUGGAAGGCUAGAUAAAGACAUCAAAUUUUAUACUUAUUGCAUGCAAGGUAUGCAACAGCCUCCCGCCGAUUAAAAAUCCCAGAAAUAAAAGAAAUCGAAUCAAGAAAGAAGAUAAUUGCACAAUAAUUACACCUUCACUAAGAAAAUAAAUUAUAAAAUCGAAGACCGUGAGAAUAAUGUCUUAUACAUUAAGCCUGCCAAUUACUAAAAACAAAACAUUUUGCCAUGAGGAGAAGUAAGAACAUACCCAAACUUGUUUGCAAAUAGAUGAGAAAAAUUUAUACCUGAAACAGAUGGAAAAUUUAUUAGGAAAGAUAAAUCAGCCCACAUGUGUGUAAUCUAUAUACAAAAAACCACUCUUUUCAUUAACCAAAUCGUUUCACAAAUCCAAAAACACAGAAUUAUAUCUUGAACAAUGCCAAUUAAUGAUUUCCCAUUUACUUAAGCCCAACAUCAAAGCCAAUGAACUGAUGAAAGAGCGAAAAUGAGAAACAUAAAACCUCAAUUAAGCAAUUAAAUGGAGUAUUACUUGAUAGAGCUGGAAAAUUACCCAGUAAGAUUAAAAAAAAGAGAGAUGAGAUGGAGUGAGAAUCACAUACCGGCAUCACCUUUAAAUAUGUAGUGCUCCUCAGAGAGAGGAUCAAGAGUGACUGAUGAGAGGGCAGAGAACGAAUGAUUGAGAAAUUCAAGCUCUGAGCUCAAAGUUGGGGCCUCCACUUUCCAACUGGGGAAGAAAUAACAGAGAAAACACAGAGAGCCAAUCCACCAAAACUAUUAAUCAAAUGGGUUCCGUCUAAUUCAAAAUUUGGACCACCCAAAUUCCGAUGAAGCAAUAACCAUUCAAAAUUCCAACAGAUUGAAGCCCUCACAGACUACAAAUUAUCAAUACCCAGCAAUAAAAAAUUUGAAAACAGUAAUAAUGAAGGAAAAAGAAAUUAAAGCCGCAAGCCAUUCUCUAAAUCUCAGGCACCAAUCCAAAUCACCAGUAAUUUGCACAUAAUGAUAAGAAUCUAGCAGUAUUUCCAUUGUUUAAAACCCAAAUUCAAGAAAUCAUGAAAAAUGGAAACUUUAUAUAGAAAUUGAAGCUUUACCUGCAGAUCAGCAGCAGCAAACGGAAUCCAACGGCAUGUACCUCAAAAGUGAGAGAGAGCUGAGAGAUGAGUAAGAGAAUCGGUAAACAAAACCCCCAAAAUCACAGAAGGAAAUUUAAACAGAAAACAAAUUUGCAAAUCCAAAAUCACAAAAACGAAAUUGAAACACGAAAGCUGUAAAACUGACCAGGAACGCUAGCUUUUCUGGGUAAAAACUUUAUUCGAAUCGAAUAGAAGAACCGAGGAAAGUUCUACUGGUUCAGUGGUUAUUCCAGCAAGAAAGCACCUUGUUUGUAAUUCGUGAGAGGUUGGAACUUGGAGAGCGAGAGAAGCCGAUUUGGGAGCCAAAGAAAGCGAGGUUGGAGAACGACGGAAGCUGAGAAUUGCGAGAGAGAAAAACGAAAAGGAAAGGAAAAGCGGAGAAAAAGUCACGAUUAUCGAAGCGUGCGAAAAUGAACGGGGAAUGGGGAUCUGGCUGAGGGAGACAGAAUUCGAGAAAGCGGAAUGAAGAGAAUCGAGAAGAGGAGGAAUCAUUUUAAGCGGAUGAUCGACGCGUGGGAAGUAAACUAUUAUUUACAAAUCUAAAGCAUUACCCGAACUUAUAAUACAAUAGCUACUUUGACAGAAGAAAAGAUGGAGAGUGAGAUGAUUGCAUUCCUUUUCAAAACAACUUUUAAGAUUCCAUAAUAAACUAAUAUAUAUGAAGAUGUGCCCCGUGGUAAAAGAGAGGAAGGAAAGAUUAUCAAAAGUUUAUUGUUCGUGAAUCGUGAUUACAGCUAUUCAACUUUUGUAAAUUUUCUUAACAUGAGUGAGAUUUGCAUUCUUUUUCAACCGAACUUCUUUUGAUUUCAUAAUAGAUUAUUAUACGAAGGAUAAAUGCUUAACAGAUUCUCUCAAAAUCGAUGCUUUUCAUGAACUUUUUAGCUAUCUUAUGUUUUUAGACUUAAUUACACUAACACUUUCUGUGGUUUAAGAUAGUCUUACGUUUGAAAUAUUACACUAACAUCCUUUUAAUGUAAUGUCUCAAACGUAAAGGAAUUUUGUGAAAACUCGACUAACUUUAGGAGUGUUAGUGUAAUUAAUCUAUUUUGUGCAAAUAUUGUAAAAUAUUUUACCAAAUACAUUAAGAGCUCGUUUUGAUGUGUUUUUAAAAUGACUAAAAACGUUUUUAAAUAAAAUAUUUUUUUGUUCCAAAAGCACUUAAAUUGUUUUAUGCAAGAAGCACCAGUUAUGUGCUUAUUCCAGAAAGCACUUUAAAUGUUUUUCUAGAAUUUACUUACAUUUUUAUUAAGGAUUGGUUUAAAAAACAUUUUCACAAAAAACGUUUUCAGUUAUUUUAAAAACACAUCCAAACAAGCACUAAGUAGCGGAUAGUUUAUAGACACUUUCACUUUAAAAAGUAGGGAACUUUAACGAAAAGCACCCGGUACUGUUCACUUUAACGAAAAACCAUAUUUUUACACUAAAAAAUCAAUCUUGGUACUAUUCACUUUACCCUUUAUUUUGUUCUUAUCAUUAAAACUCAAAAUUUUCAAGCCAUUUUCAUUAGUUUUCUUUAAAAAGUAUUCUUGCAUAUUUCUAACAGACAUGUACGGUGGAAAAAGAUCACUUCAUAAUUAAAUAUUAUGUUGUUGAUUACGCCUCUCUCUAUUUGAUUAAGUUUCUUUUCACUCUUCUCUAAAAAAUAAUGGUUUCUUUUCACAUUAUUAAACCGUUGUAAAGUAAACUUUUUUUUUGUAAAAGUGUUUUUAAUUAAAAAAAGUAAUGUCAAAGUGUUUGGUAAAUUUUUAUAUAAAUUACUUUGAAUAUAUUAAAUAACUAUAAAAUAUAUACUAUUUAAUGUGAUAUAAUAAUUGUCAAAGACAAUAAUGUAUGAGCAAAAAUUGUAAUUUGUAAAACAUGUAGAGGUAUACUAUUUGAAAAGUUCAUUAAAUGAGCGUUAAUUAUUAUACUUUGAAAAAGAAAAAAAAAUAUACUUUUUUAGAAGCAUAGUACACCCUACUUCUCAUUUUCUGUACUUUUUUCUACUUUUAUUGACAGUAGUUUAAUAAGUUGCUUUCUUUGAGAGUACUCAAACCAAUCCUUAAUAAGUGACCAUUUUGAACUUUCUUGGCGCCAUCGGUGUGGAGGGAGAGAAAAGAAACUAGCGCAAAACUACAGACACUCGAUUCGUUGUAAUAUAUAAUAAAAAAUAAUAGUCACGUAUAAAAUAUGGUACAAUUAUAGUUCUGGCAUAUGUCUCUACCAAAGAUAAUCGCCGUGUCUUUCAAAUUUGUUGUUAAAUUGGGGACAACAUGAAGAUUUUCACACUAAUCUAAGUACAACGUUUCAAACCUUGAAAGACCACUAAAGCUUUGAAAAGUCUGGUGAUUUUGUUAGGUCAUGUGAAUGACUGAAAUUAUCGAUUUUCAACUUCCCAAGCAACUAUUACACAAAAUAUAAUUUAAAACUCAAGAGGAGGAAUCAAAAUCGAUAGUGUCUUCAACUUAACCACUAAUAAGUGUAGAGUACAAAAGACCAUGCAAUUAGUAGUUGUGCCCUUCAACAAAAAGAGAAUCACAAUGUUAGUUGGUCACAUCACAUGCCCAAGGAAAACACGGUACAAAAGCACUAAAAGCGUCCAAGCGAAAGUGCUUUCUUCUCAUGUAGUUUCAUUUAACUUAUUUUACCACAACAGUAAAUAUAUUUUACCACUGCGCCAAUUACGAAAAUGAACGGGGAAUGGGGAGCUGGCUGAGGGAGACAGAAUUCGAGAAAGCGGAGUGAAGAGAAUCGAGAAGAGGAGGAAUCGUUUUAAGCGAUGAUCGACGCGUGGGAAGUAAACUAUUAUUUACAAAUCCAAAGCAUUACCCGAACUCAUAAAGAUGCUCUAAAAACUUUCAAAGAUUCCACAAUUUCUGUUUGAUUUCAUAAUAAACUAUUAUACGAAGGAUAAAUGCUAAAAAUUAGUCUCAGGAAAGCACUUUGUUUGUAAUUCGUGAGGUUGGACAGCGAGAGAAGCCGAUUUGGGAGCCAAAGAAAGCGAGGUUGGAGACAGAAUUUGAGAAGCAGCUUCCUGAUUUUUUUUUUUUUAUGAGAGAAGGCGGAAUGAAGAGAAUCGAGGAGAUGAAUCAUUUUAAGCGAUGAUCGACAUGUGAGAAUUGAGACGAUCUUAUAGCAACGCGAUAUUCAGUUUCAUCACACCAGUUAACUUGUAUUGGUCGAGUAAAGCACAUGUUACUUUCUGAAAAUUUGAAAUACUACAACGCAAAACCUAUCAAGAGGAUGCUACCAUGUGAUGCAAGAAACGAAAAGGUACAAAGUCCAGACUCACUCUGGUUGUCAUUUUCCCCAAGCGCAGAUGCAACUUUAGCGAAUUAAGUUUGUCUCAAAGAAAGUGUCUUUCCAAAAAAAAAAAAAAAAGUGAAAACGGAGCACCCUUCCCCAGACAUUAAGGGCGUGUUUACGUACACGUAAUCAGAAUAAGAAUGUGGAAUUGAAUUUCGAUUACGGAGUACUCUGAUGUUUACUAAACAUGGAGAAUAAAAAAAGCAAUGGGGCCCACACAAAUUUUGGAAUUCAAUUCCUUGUAUUGGUGGAAUUUGAUUCCCUAGAUAUAUGUUGUAAUUCAAUUCCUGCUUGUUUGGACAAUCGGAAUAACACUUUUGUUCCCUUUAUGUCCUCACUUACUUUUUUUAUUUCCAAGACUAUCCUUUAUAAACUCAUUAAAGUAUAUAAAAUAUUUGAUUUGGGACAAGGGUAUUUUAGUAAUCAUACUGGUUUAUAAUUCGAUUCUGCUGAAUUAGUAAAAAUCUUUAUGGAAUUAUAUUCUGAUUUCAGAACAUUUAAGUAAACAGUUUCAACAAGAAUCUGAUUCUGACUUCUCUUCAUUCCAACUCCUCCUUAAUUUAAUUCCUCAUUUUUUUCAUUACCGUUAUAUAAAUGUGCCACAAAGAGCUUCAUUAGCCCACUCACCACUGCAAUAGAAACAAUUUGAUAGAAAAUACUUGAUAGCAACAUACAAGCCUCUAUUUUAUUGGAAAAAUCAAAAUACAAAAUCAAUGUUAUCAAUUUUCUAUCUAAAUGAGAAUUACGGUUUAAGCGAGUUAUGUGGAUACCUAAGCAGGUCUAGCGCACUUUCUUAAUUUUCAAAUGCUUAAGAACUAAUUAGGACGCUGAUCAGCAGCCUAACGUUAGGCGAAGAUUUUUAGAACAUUAAUUACUUGUUCUCCUAGAUCUCCGAGUCCAAGAAAAUUAUGAUCACCCAUUGUUCAAUCUUAAUAUAGUCAGUACGUGGUUAUUUAACCAUUUUGUUAUAUUUAUCCUUUCUCGUUAAAUUAAGUAAGUGAUAAUAACUUUCCUGGAUCCUGUAAUCUAGAAGAACAAGACUAUAUAUCACAUGGAUAAACAUAAUCAGGCAUAAGAAAAAGUCGAAGAAUUCAUAACAUAGAGUAAUGCUAAAAAUACUAAAUUUGUAAACUAAAUGACAUAGAAGUUGAUCGUUAAAUUAUUAUUUAAAUAUUAAUAAACGUGUUCAUGCUCACACAUCAUUUAAUUUGUAAAUUUUAUUUAUAAAUCUUAAGCAUUACCUGAACGCAUAUAAUACAAUAGCUGCUUUGACAGAAGAAAAGAUGGAGAGUGAGAUGAUUGCAUUCUUUUUAAAAGCAACUUUUGAAGAUUCCAUAAUAAACUAUUAUGUAUGAAGAUGUGCCGUGGUAAAAGAGAAGUAAAAAGGAGGGAAGGAUUAUCCAAAAAAUUAUUGACCGUGAUUACAAUUAUUCAACUUUUAUACAUUUCUUCGAACGGAGAUCCAAGAAAAGAUGGAGAGAGAGAUUGGCAUUGUUUUUCGACACAACUUCUGUUGAGUCCAUAAUAAACUAUUAUAAGAAGAAGGAAUGCUAAAGAGAUUCUUUCAAAAUCAAAACUUUCUCAUGUUUUUGGGGUUAGUUAUACUAACAUUUUUUCUUUCGUAUAAGAUAUUACGCCAACACUCCUUUUAGUGUAAUGUCAAACGUAAGGGGAUUUUGUAAAAUUUGAUUAACUUCGACGUUAGUGUAACUAACCUAUUUUUAUGCAAAUAUUAUGUCAAAUACAUUAAAUGGCGGAUAAUUUAUAAACAAUGUCACUUUAACAGAGUUUUCUUACAUCUUUUUUAUAGAUAUGGACGGUGGAAAAAGAUCACUCCAUAAUUAAAUAUUGUGCUAUUGAGCGCGCUUUCGGGGCGCUUUCGGUGCGGGGUUUUGGCCUCCGCCGCUCCGCGUGCUGUUCUUUUACCUUUUUAUCUGCCAUUCGCGUGCUCCGCUGGUCCCAGACCCCUGAACAAUGUGAUGAUGCCAACUAACGUUAACCCCACUAAAGCAUCGGAAAUUGCGUCUGAGGAUAGAAAAGGCAUACAUGCAGAUCCUCCUCCCGGACUCUUUGCCUCUCUAUAUGUGAAAACCCAUCUGGGAACAAACCAAUUCCAUUCUCUGGCAUAGCAAGAACGGUCCUCUGAAAUGUAUCCAUACAAAGUUCGACACACAAAAUUCAAAAAGCCAUUGCAAUGUAAUUGACAACAUUGACAAUCUCUGUCCGACAAGGCAAUAAUACCGAAGCCCACUGUAAUGAUGGUAACCUGAUAGGCCAAUACCGAAGCCCACUGUUAUGAAAUCCAUGAAGCUUAUAUGGGCUUCUUGUACUCUCAGAUUUUGCAUAUUAGAGAAUACUCAGCAGUGAAUACCUGAAAAACGUGCAGCACGAAUAUCAUAUCGGUAGCCUCUCGAAUCUUAAGAAAACUACAAAUGGUAGCUUAGAAAAGAAAUGAAUCCUCUCCAACCAAUACAAAUCAUAUUACCCAAGUUCAAGAAAAAUCAAGACUAAACAAAUGACCAGAUGUUGUAGGGUGCCUGAGAAUGUCAAACAUGAAAUUACAAAAGAAAAAAAUAAUCGUAUGUAUUGAACAUUAAUAAAUACAUGCUGAAAGCACAAUCUUAGCCGCAAUUUAUGACAUUCAUACAAGAUGGAAUCGCCAAAGCAGUUAAAGAAAUUGCAGAGCUCAUAUAAGUGAUUUUCACUAUGAACUUUUAAGCUUAUCAACAAAUACAUCAUUUCGAUUCUAAGGCUUAAUCAUCAAUGAUUUUGCCGUUGGAUAGUGGCCAAAUUAGCGGCCGACUGAACAACAAGCCAACUCUCCUUUCGGCUAUUAAACAAAGAAAAGUUUGGUGGACAUCAUCAUGAGUAAAGACACAAUGAUGAUGUUUGUUGAAAAGAAAAAGGAAGGUCAUAAUGAUGUUUGUAACUUUGGAUUUUUUAUAGUCAAAUGGAAUUGGGUUUAUUUGGCUCCUUCCUUUGCAACUUGACAAAAGAGCUUUUUUUUGGUAUUUUCUAAGGCAGCAGCAGCUGCUAUAUGUUUGAGGAGAAGCCGAGAGAUACCAAGAAGAGCGUUCGGCUCUCCCAUUUGAAAUUUUGUUAGUAAUCACUCAAUCAAAGAUGUUGGUGCUACUUGUGUAGCUUUUGGGAGAGAAGGAUUUUGAUAUGUGUUUCUUCUUCUCCAUUUGUUUCUUAGUUUGAGUGAGAGCUAUUGGUUGUAUGUGGGAUUUAGGUUUGAGAGUUAAAACUCUAUUUGUAAUUUCCUUUUGAUAUUAGUGGAAUUUCCUCGCCGUCUCGGAACUGGACGUAGGCUUACGCCGAACCAGUAUAAAUCCUUGUGUUUUUUGGAUUAUUUGUCUUGUCAUAUUUUGCCGUAUUAGCUUUGGUUUCAUAUUUGAAGCUUUCACACAACAUUUGCAAGGGUCAAUCGUAUUGCUGGUUGUAAAUCUAUUCACUAUGAAAAUUACCAAAAUUACAUCUAAUAUGGUAGUGAAGGAAGUCAUCUUAUAUUAUCUGGAUCCAAAAUUGUACCUAAACAUGCAUGACAGGUAAAAAGAAGAUGAGCAAUAAAACAUUAUAAAGAUUCCCAAGAAAAGCAAUAAAACUACGUAAAUAUUAGUUAAUAAUGUCAAGACCAUAGUCUGUGACAAAUCCAAGAGUUGAGAUGAGACUAUCUUUCCGGCAGGAAUUUUUGGAAUUUUUCUCUAUUGUAAGGAAAACAUAGAUUGAUGUUUGUGUUUACACGAAAAUUAUGCCAACGGCUUAGGAGAAAUCAAAGCAUAACAAUGGGACUAAAAUGACUUACCUACUAUGAGGAUCUUCAAGUUCCUUCUUCACCUCUUCGGGCAGAUUGGCUAAUCUAAUAAACGAAAAGAAAACUCCCAUGAGCAGUGCUAUAACAAACUAUCUUCCUAAAUUCAUUAUGAAUUGCAGUUAAAACUUAAAAUGAACAUGAAAAUCCUACGUAGAAGGGAUAUACCUAGGUGACAAGCCUAGAAGAUUCCCGCGCAAGGAAGAAUAUCCCGGAACCUGCAAUUGGAAACUCAAAGAAACAAUUACAAAGAUGCUAGAAAGAAAAUACGUAUCAGUUUACAACAAAACGCUAGCGCUCAUGAGAAUCGAUUAGGUAUGAAGCAUCAAAACAAUAGCAUGAGACAUCAUAACUUAUGAGCUAUGAAUGGAAUAAUGGAGCAAAAUAUCGUUGCCCAAACAGCACAAUCUACAAUCUACAUGACGGAGAAAGUACCCCGACAUUACAUAUGCAAGUUCAUGUGGUUUAUCUUUUUAACCGAUUCGUUAACAAAUUCUUUCUGCACAUAUAGUUUUAACUUACCAAAACUGGUAAUGGAAGAGAGAUAAUCAGUAAUUAAAAACGGUAAUCGCAUAACGAAAUCAUACUUGAGUGAUUGAUAGGAUUCCCAACCCAUUUGGUCCAAAUCCUUCUUCAAUCUUCACUGACAAAUCUUUGUCCCUGUCCUGUAUCAAUCCAAAAUCAAAAAACGACAAUUAGAAAAAUCGAAUUCUCGACAUGAUCGACGAGUUAAAACAUAGCAAUUAAACAAAACUAUGAAUAAAACAAUUAGAUUCUGUUUGGUUGCUGAGAAAAUGAAGAGAAUAACAACCAAAAAGUCAACUGAAAUAAAAUUUUGCUCUAACUUCAACGAAUUCUCUUGAGUUUCUGAGCACCCAAACAGAAAAAAAAAAAUUAUAGGCAAUCAAACCAAACUCUCAUGCUCAAUUUUCUCGGCAACCGCAAAAAGAACUUAGAGGGGGGGGGGAGAGAGAGAGAGAGUUACUUGGAGCUCGGAGUAGGAUAUGGUGACUGGUGUGACGGUGGGGACGGCGGGGUCGGAGGACGGAGGCAUAGUUCGACAAUAAAUUUGGCGGGAAAGACGGCGGUUGGAGCGUGACGAUGGGGAAGAAUCCGUGGGAACGAAGAGCAAUUUUGGUGCGGAAGGAGGGUUUUUAUAUCGGAGGGAGGGAGGGAGGGAGGGAGGUUGAGAGCGAAAGGCGUGAUUGUCAAUUUCAAAUUUUUUUUUUUAGGAAUAAAGAAAGAAGAGAGGUUGAGUAUCAAUUCCCUUUCCCUCCAAACCAAAUAAUACAUUCACGUUCAUGAUGUGUGGCAAAAAAUUGAAGGUGGAGACGAAUAUAUUAAAGGGAUGUGCUAUCCACACACCUUUUUUACUUCUCACACACCAUUUGUUAAUUUCUGUCCGUUGAUCUUCUUCAUUUCAUCUGAUCUAACGAUCGAAAAUUAAAAGGGUGUGUGAGAAGUAAAAAGGGGUGUGUGGAUAUCACACCCCUAUAUUAAAUAGGUAUAAGUAUUAGUUAAAUUUAAAAUUAAUUGUGUACUAUUAAAAAUUUGUUUGAAAAUAUUUUUAUAAUAACUGAAAGCGUUUUUUAUUAAAAUGUUCUUUAAAUCAAUCCUUAGUAAAACCAAGUGGAUUCUAAAAAGUCAUUUGGAUUACUUUCUACAAAAAUCACAUAUCUUGAGCACUUGAAGCGCUUUUGGAACCCAAAAUUAAUUUAACAAAAGUGUGUCUAGUCUUUUUUAUUUUUGAACAAACGAUAUUAUCUACUUUAAGGGAGGGGAUGAGCUUAACCUCACAAUGGACUAUCAUAUUAAUAAUGUUCAAAUUCACCUUUAUUCAUUUUUAAAAGACUUUAAAACCAGCACUAAUUUGUAUUAAAUUCUAAAACUUUGAAUUGGGAUGUAAUAUGCAUUGGGUCUUUAAUAAUAUUUAAGUUGUUUCCGGCAAAAAAGAAAGGAUUCAAUUGGGAAAAAUAACAAAAUAUGAAAUAAGGAUAUUCUAAUUAAGGUUUUUAUUAAUUAUUUUAGGCGGAUGGUUCAUGUGAAGAUUAUGAAACGCUUUAAUUCUCUAACGUGCGAUUCCAUUUCGAUCCAAAGCUAAAUUUAUAAAUUUCUAAUUUUUACUUUCUAAUUUUUACAAAUUUCUUUUCAUAAGAGUAUAAAUUUAUAAAAUUUGGUUAAAGGAUCAAGAAGUUUAAUUAGAAGCAAUGGUUUUUGUUGUUUAAAAUUAGCAAGAGGUCCUAAGUUCGAAACGCUUUGGGCAUGUUUAUUUUUUUCAAUUUUAACAAAUUUUUGUUUGGUUGUUAAUUUAUUUUUAGUUACUAGCUAGUAGCUAUGUAGGUUGUUAUUUAAAUAUUCGUUUCAAUUCAAGUCCAAUCUUCAACAAUGAGUAAUACGUAAACCAAAUUUGUAGCGCAAAUUUGUAAAUUAUAUGACGUGUUAUCAAAAUAUUUAAUUUAAUGCUCAUUCAUUACUAAUACAUAUCAAUUAAGGACUCGAAAACAUCAUUAUUGUUUUUAGUCCCAUAUUGACAAGGUUAGUAAAUAAGAAAAAACACCUCAUGAUUUAUACAAAAACACUUUCAAAGUUCAAAUGGAAAACAAAACUCAUCGUCUAUCUACUUAUAAGCCCAGAGUUGUUUGGUUUUCUUCUCUCAAUACAAAAUAAAUUAGUCCUUUUGUGUUUCUAAAUUAUUGAGUUUGAAGUGCUUUUCUAAGUAUAAUUUUAUUAAUGUCUUACGUGUGAAAAUAAAUAAUUUUCUUAUAUGAAGUUAGGGCACUUUUUUUUGUGUCGUCCCGAGCCUCAAAAAUCUCUGGACCGGCCCUGGAUGUUAUGAGAAUAUGUGUGGUUGUCAAGCCCGACACGUGAAUAACAUGCUCUCUACUACUUUAUUACACUGUGAAGAUUUUAUCCAAAAUUAAUUGACGAUGAGCGAAUAAACUGAAAGAUUAUGCGCAACUUUGAUUAUGCAACGAGUGAAGAAGCAAUUUACACCAACCUCCAGUCAAGAAUUUGGGCUCACAAUCACUAGCCAAUAUGCUUUUUUCUCAUGCCUUAAGUUCAUAGUUCAAUAUUCUGGUGUCCGAUGACCCUGACACGACAAGUUCCACUUUUUGUUCAUUUUCUUGACGAAACCAUCACAUUUACCCUUACGGCACGGCACAGUUCCGGGCAUGGAGUAUGGAUUGGGUUCCGUUGCAGUCCCGACACUAUUUAGCACUGUAGAGAAGGAAAUACAAAGACAACUUUGGAUUUCUUACAACGUAUUGAGUCUCUCGUCAUGGCUCUUGCUGUGUUGUUCUUAUUUCACGUCCUGUUUCUCGAGCUUGGUGUUUCCGGUUGCAAAUUUUGGUUCGGCAGUGUAGUGCUCAGGAGAGGGGACUGUUUCACGUUGUUCCAGGCAGACAGAGGCGGUUGACAACGAUUGUGAUAAUGUGUUUUUCUACUGGGAGAACAUACAGCAGUCAUCAGUUAUCUUUUCACAACUGUCUUCAGUAUUUCGAGGCACCUCAAGAAAUUAUCAAGGACAAACGAAUGUAGAAAAGAAGAAAUAUCGAAGUUAGUUGACAAAGGGGACGAAAAAUUGUGAGAUACAGAGAAAAAGAAGAUAAGAAGAAACUCGAUGCAAAUUACUUGAGUCUAAAGUAGGAGGGGAAAUCGUACUAUUCAUAUGAACAGUGUUUUAGACCACAUUUCAGUUUAUUUACAAGAUUGCCACUCAGAUGCUUUUAGCUUUUAACGAAGAUGCCAUCAGUUCGAAUGAUGGGAAUGCCCGUAUGGGGUUAACAUCACACGGUUGGGGGUAAAAGUUGUGUUUGGAUCAAAACUUAACUUUGGGCCCAAGCAAAAGAAUGCCCAAAAGAAGGCCUGAAGGAAGAGUCGGCCGAAGCCCAGCCGAGACCCAGAAAAGCAGGAAAGGGCCUCCUCUGACUUGGUGCAGCUCAUGAAGACCACUUGCCCACCUACCCAAAGGUCAAGUGGUAUAGACUGACCAGCUACACAGCCCGUAAAGUACUUUAUGGUGGCAUUACAUGUAAAAAAACUGAUGAGUCAUCACCCUCAAACCGCAUUCGGGCAAGGCUGUUGCUACAGGAGGACAUGCUGGGUUGUCUAUAAAAAAAGAAAGAGAAAUCAGGAUUAAGGACACUCAAUCAAACAAACAAAUGCAAGCACAAACUCUGCUCAAAAGCUAGAUUUGCCUUCAAAACGAAGUUGUAGUCAGCCCAAGCCUUCAUCCCUCGCGGGAUAACCUUUCCUUCAAACCUUUGUAAUAGCUCUGCUACCUUGUUCAACCUUGUUGUAGUAUCGAUUCACCUUUUGUAAUCUUUCUCCCUCUCUCAAAACUUUCAGACCUUUAACAAAACUACAAAGAUAGGAGCCUGCAAGACGAGCAGCCUUGCCUGAUAAGGUUUAACCUUGCCCGACCUUCUAUGCUUUGUAUUUUUUGUCUUUUCAUUCAUUAAGCCUAGUAAUAUGUUGUAUGAUCCCAGUUAUAUGCAAGUUAUUUCUAGCAAGAUGACCAUUAAAAAGCUUUCUCAGUACAUAGACCCGAUUUGAAUAGAUCUUCAGUAUUCAAAUCAGAUCUAAGUCAUAAGCCCUCGGGCAUGUAUAUUUGAUCAGUUAAAAGUCCUUGGCCUCCAGGCAUAAAAAAGAACCUUAUGUGGACUUAACCCAUCCACAACAAUCCUUGAUAAACGAGAAGUCCAAAGUUACUUGGGGCGCAAGUAAUCGACCUACCAUUUAGUUUUAUUUCUAUUAUAUGAUGAUUAUCAUAGAACGUUUAUGCAUGGAAUGGAUUCUGAUAGGAAGCCUCAAGGCCUACACCUAAGGCCCCACAAAGGCACCUAUUUGGGUUCAUUCCGUUCUGCGGUCUAGAGCGUUCUGAGUAGAAAGAACAAAUUCUGAUAGGAAGCCUCAAGGCCUACACCUAAGGCCCCACAAAGGCACCUAUUUGGGUUCAUUCCGUUCUGCGGUCUAGAGCGUUCUGAGUAGAAAGAACAAAUUUCUGAUAGGAAGCCUCAAGGCCUACACCUAAGGCCCCACAAAGGCACCUAUUUGGGUUUGUUCUAUCUCUCGGACGCAGGUAAUCAGAAGUAUAAUAGUUAUAAAACUCCUGCAAUCAAUGGAAUAAGUAUUAUGUAUUCGAGUACUGGUUUAGUAACCGAUGGGAAGCCUCAAGGCCUACACCUAAGGCCCCACAAAGGCACCUAUCAUAACUAACCCGGUUCCUCGGGCACAUAUAUAUAUACAUACAACUAAAACUCGACAUCCAUUUCAUAUCUGCCAUGCUGAAGAUGGCAGUGGCACGCCUGAGUACCUAAAAGUUAAUUUUGAUUGUGAGCCUCAAGGCCUACACCUAAGGCCCCACAAAGGCACAUUUCAAAGUUAACUUUGUCCUUUUCUUUCAGCCUUGCCCGACGAGCCUUGCCGACGAGUCUUGCCCGAUAAAGAUUCGCCUGACGAGACUUGCCCGACAAAGCCCAACCGUGAAGCAGAAGCCCGACAGCAGCCCUCAACCGACGCAAAACCUCCAGGGGAGCUGUGCAUUUCGCCGACCAGGAUGGAAGAAUGGACAGCCUACUAAACCGAUGGGAGCCUACUAAACCGAUGGGAGCCUCUAUGAUCAGGAGAGUUCAAAGGCAGCACAAAGCCUACAUGAAUUCUCUGAAGACCCCCGCAACAUCUGAAGCCUCCCAGAAUAAAAAACUGGAGAAGACAUCAUCUGGGGGAAGUAAUCAGCUCCGCUGGAGAAGUAAGAAAGAGGUGGAAAAUGCCAGCAGCAAAAAAGAAGGUGUGGGGAAUCAUGUACCGCAGAACCAGCACCCUGGGAAGUAUAGGAUCUUGAGGAGAGCUCAAGAAGAUCUGAUCAUGGUGCCAACCCCUGGAUGGAAGCCAAAGCCUACUUGCGUUGGAGCUGUUUCAUCUGAAAGGAAACCACCUUCUCUGCCAUUGGUAGAUCCUUUUGGUGAAGUUCCAAAACAAACACUAUAUGCGGGCAUGAAUCAACAGCAACAGGAGGGGGCACCAGAACCACUACUUCCAGCCGAUGCCAUGGCCUGGUUGGAUGAGUUUAUGGACCAGAUUGGGAGCAAGAAAGAAGAUUUGCUCGAGCCUAGUAAUUUCCAUAUCAACAUGACAUACGUAUUAUCUGCCACGUUUGGUGCCCGACCUGAUCAGCCAGCUACUAUGGAAGGUGAUUACUUGACAACUGAGCCAAUGAUGGCACAUGUCAAUAUAGAGGAAGUCAAAGAAGGAGAAUCGGGCAAGGCUGAAACUUCUGAAGCAUCCAAAAGUGGUCCUUUAAGGAUUUAUACCGAUGAAAUGGUGUUCAGCCGCCCGAACAUCUCGCUAGCCAACCAUCUGAAGCCCAUAUACGUUACAGCUCACCUGGAAUGUGUGCCCUUCAAAAGAAUUUUAAUAGAUGGUGGAGCAGCUGUUAAUGUGUUACCAGCCAAGCAAAUGAAGAAAAUGGGAAGAGGAACGGAGGAUCUUAUUCCGACAGACCUCACGGUCUCUAGCUUCUCAGGCGCUAUCACCAAGACCCAUGGGAUAUUGCCUUUAGAAGUGGAUUUGGGGUCUAAGCAAAUCAUGCUGGCAUUCUUUGUGGUGGACUGCACCUCCACUUAUGGAGCCUUACUCGGAAGAGAUUGGAUCCACCAAAGUCUGGCCAUACCCUCCACUCUUCAUCAACAGGUAGCUGUUUACCAUGAGGCGGGCACAGAAGGACCAGGUUUUUGGGAGAUGGUGGAGGCCGAAUCAGGGCCAUUUCUCCCCACAGCCAACGUUGCGGAAACAAGUUUCUACAACCCCAACGUAGGAAUCUUGAAAUGUUCAGGAGCUGAUGAGAACGGCCGCCCUACCAAUGUGACGACCCAAAAGCUUUUGGAACAAGGAAUGCUCCUCACAAGAGAUGAGUGAGAUAGACCUUGUAUCAUCCCAAAUCCCCUACACCAUCAAUGACUGGACAGAAGAAAAAAGAUCAGGUAAUGGCAGUCAGAUCCCUGAUUAAAAGACUGUUGGUGUAUGAGAAUGGAAGAAGGCAAGAAAGAGAGCUCUUGGACAAGGAAGAGCAGGAAUAGCAGGUGGGAGAUACGAUCUAGACGGGCCAGAAGACCUGCCCGAGAGCCCGGAGUUGGUCGAGUUUUUGUGUGCAGAACCGGAUAAGCCACCACCAGAAGUCCAGGAUCCUCUGGAAGUUAUUGCUAGGAACAAAGGAGGAUCCGAGACCAAUACAAAUUAGUGGUUUAUUGGGGGUUGAUGAUCGGGCAAAGGUUGUCGAUCUGUUGCGAGAGUUCAAAGACUGUUUUGCUUGGCAUUAUACUGAGAUGCCAGGGUUAGAUUCAGCCUUGGUGGAACAUAGAAUGCCCAUCAAGGAGGGAUAUAAACCAGUUAAGCAAGCACCACGAAGGAUGUCAAAGGAGAUAGAAGAAAAUGUCAAAGAAGAGAUCGAAAGGCUAGUAAAAGCUGGCUUUAUCAGACCGGCCAAAUAUGUAGAGUGGUUAGCCAACAUUGUACCCGUUUUAAAAGCUAUAACAAAAGCAGUACGAUGUUGUGUUGAUUACAAAAAUCUUAAUAGUGCUACACCAAAAGAUGAGUAUCCUAUGCCCAUGGCCGAUCUAUCCAUAGAUGCAGUAGCAAAACAUAAAGUCUUAUCUUUUAUGGAUGGGAAUGCCGGGUAUAAUCAGAUAAAGAUGGCUUCAGAAGAUAUACAUAAAACAACAUUCAAGUGUCCCGGUCAUGUGGGGGUAUAUGAAUAUCUGGUCAUGCCAUUCGGGCUCAAGAAUGCUGGUGCCACCUACCAGAGGGCAAUGAAUGUCAUCUUUCACGAUCUGAUUGGCCAGAGUAUGAAAGUAUACAUUGAUGACAUCGUAGUGAAGUCUAAGACAGAAGAGCAGCAUUUGGAAGACCUCAGACAAGCAUUAACAAGGAUGAGGAUCCACAAAUUGAAGAUGAAUCCAAAGAAGUGCGUGUUUGGAGUGAGAGCAGGCAACUUCUUGGGAUUCCUGGUGCAUCAAAGAGGUGUAGAAGUAGACAAGAACAAGUCUCGGGCAAUAAUGGAGUCACCGUCACCCACCAACAAGGUACAACUCCAGAGGCUAUUGGGCAAAAUCAAUUUCUUGAGGAGAUUCAUUGCCAAUUUAGCGAGCAAGAUCCAGCCGUUGACUCCUUUAUUAAGACUGAAAGAUAAAGAAAACUUUGAGUGGGGACCACCACAUCAACAAGCCUUUGACAGCAUCAAGGUCUAUUUAACUUCUCCACCAGUGUUGGUGCCACCUCAAAGGGGAAAACCCUUAAAGCUGUAUAUUUCUGCCUUAGAGAAGUCAAUCGGGAGUUUGCUAGCCCAAAAUAAUGAAGGCGGGAAGGAGCAGGCAUCGUACUACCUCAGUAGGAUUCUGACCGAGGUAGAAACUAGAUAUUCCCCAGUGGAAAGAUUAUGCUUGGCUCUAUAUUUCACUGCCAGCAAGCUAAGGCAUUACAUGUUACCUUGUCACGUACACAUCAUCGCCAAGACAGAUGUGAUAAAGUACAUGUUGUCAAAGCCAAUGCUAACAGGGAGGAUUGGGAAGUGGAUUCUAGCAUUGUCAGAAUUCAGUUUCCAGUAUGUACCCCAGAGAGCGGUCAAAGGCCAAGCAAUUGCUGACUUCCUGGCCGAACAUCAAGAAUCUCAAGACGAAGUAAUCAAUAUCCCAGGAAGCCUGGAGGUCACUAGCAUUUGGAUCCCGCUAAGAGAAGAUAUCUCGGGCAAAGAAGAUUGGGUCCAGCAAGAGAUAAGAAGAGUGACUGGUCUCUGGAUCACUCCUUGGAGGUUAUAUUUUGAUGGAUCUCACACUCAGAAGGCUUAAGAAGCAGGGAUUGUGAUUAUAAACCCUCAUGGGGUCUAUCAUUAUUAUUCAUUCCUCCUAGACUACCAAGGAAAUACUAAUAAUCGGGCAGAGUAUGAAGCUUUGAUAAUUGGUCUGGAAAUCUUGAUGGAUCUGGGGGCAGUAGAGGUGGAGAUCUUUGGAGAUUCAGAGUUAGUAAUAAACCAGCUAAAUGGGGAGUUCAAGUGCAGACAUAUUACCAUGGCAGGAUAUUACUUGACGGCUACGCAAUUACUGAGUUUCUGGGAUUCUGAGAUAUCAGUCAAUCAUGUUCCCAGGGAAUCCAACUUAGCAGCCAACGAGAUGGCACAACUAGCCUCAGGAGUGCCAAUACAGGAGAGAAGAUAUGGGGUAGAUGUCGAGAUCCAAAGAAGGAACCUCCCUUCUAUCUUAGAAAGGGGAUUCAGCCUGGAUGUAAUAGCUCUAGAAACCGAAAUAGAAGAUUGGAGGUCCCCUAUCAUUCGUCAUUUGAAGGAUCCCUCUUCACCUACAAGCAAGAAGAAUAGACAGCAAGCAACCAAGUAUGUCUUGUGGGCGAAGAACUUGCUAAGGAAAACUCCAGAUGGAUUACUAUUGAAAUGCUUGGGCCAAGAAGAAUCCAUGAGGGUAAUGGCCGAAGUACAUGAAGGGGUAUGUGGAGCACAUCAGGCAGGAACUAAGAUGAGGUGGUUGCUUAGAAGAUAUGGUUAUUUCUGGCCCGACAUGGAAAAAGAUUGCAAGUCUUAUGCCAAAGGUUGUGAAGAAUGUCAACGGCACGGACCUCUCCAGCAUGUGCCCUCAGUACCUUUAAAUCCAGUAGUCAAGCCUUGGCCUUUCAGAGGAUGGGCAAUGGACUUCAUCGGGCAAAUCUAUCCAGCUUCUAGUAAAUGGCACACUUUCAUAAUUGUGGCAACGGAUUACUUCACCAAGUGGGUGGAAGCAUCAACAGUAAAAUCCAUAACUUCGGCCGAGGUCAAGAAUUUUAUCGAGACCAAGAUUCUGCACAGGUAUGGGGUGCCCGAAACUAUAGUAACGGAUCGUGGGCCAUCUUUUAUCUCAAAAGAAGUUGAGGAGUUUGCAAGCAAGUACAAAAUAAAGAUGAUCCAAUCCAGUCCAUACUACCCUCAAUCAAAUGGCCAAGCAGAGGCCAGCAACAAGAUCUUGGUCAACAUCAUCAAAAGAAUGGUGGUAGAUAGUCCAGAAAAGUGGCAUGAAAGGCUGGGGAACACUUUGUGGGCAUACAGAACUUCCAAGAGGGCAGGAACAGGGACAACUCCUUAUGCUUUAACUUUCGGGCAAGAUGCGGUACUCCCUAUGGAGAUCAAUGUAAGUUCGGUCAGAAUUCAGAACCAAUUUGGGUUACAUAGUGAAGAAUACAUCGAAGCCAUGUGUCAAGGAAUUGAAGACUUGGAUGUAGCCCGAAUUGAAGCCUUGAACCAGAUUCAAGAAGGAAAGAAAGUUGUUGCCCGAGCUUAUAACAAGAAGGUGAAGAUAAAGUCUUUCAAAGAAGGAGAUUUAGUGUGGAAAACAGUCAUCCCGCUAGGAGCUCAGCUCAGGGGCUUUGGAAAGUGGAGCCCGACAUGGGAAGGUCCUUUCAUUAUUAGUCGAGUUUUGAAUAAAGGAGGAUACUACCUAGCAUACCUCGAAGGAAAUGGGCAGAAACAUCCCAUUAAUGUUAAAUUCUUAAAGAAAUACUGUCCUACAUUAUGGGAUGUUAGAGAUUGUUACAUUGAAGAGGGGGCAAAGUAAAGCAGGCGUCGGGAGUUUCAUAUGCAGUGUUUGUUCAUCAACCAUUCAAAGAAAACAAAAAGACAAAAGUUGCUGAAAUAAUUUUUAUUUCAUGUCGACAAAUUGGUGAAAUUAACAAAAGAUUCAAUUUCUACAUAUUACAUUUGAUUCUCUCUAAGUAUAGUGAUUUCUUCAGCUGGUUUUCCGAUGUCUUCAUGGAUGGAACCCGAUCAGGUGAUCGGGUUGUGCGGCCAACAUAUGCUUGGUAGAGGAUCAUCCGACAGAGCCACCACCAUAUGUGAUGGUGAAGCCUGACUUAUGACGGCAGCAAGCAGGAAAUCAAGCCUUCGUGAAGAACUCGCCUGACCAAGGGUGUUGGGGAUAGCAGGGUGUUCGACCAAUGGUGUUGGAGAUAGCAGUCAUUUGAUGAAACCCCCUUUUUUCUCACGAAAAGGGAGUUUUAGGAAACUCCACUCAAAAUCUGAAGAACCCAUUUCUCAGUUUUUUUUUUUCCGAGGAAGAUUAGAUGGUUUUGACAGGAGGGGUUCCAAGCCAGAAUUUAUAGGACCCAGAGGACAGUUCAAAGGUCGUGGGAAGAUCAAGAGACUCCGGGUGCCAUUAAUUUCAUCCAAAAAACACAAGUUCCAAGGGCAAAGAUGCAGCCGCAUGAAGAACUUUUCAAUUAAUAUUGGCGCCUGGAAUUCCAGGCUAAAUAUCAAUUGAAGGGGGCACUGUUUGGAUCAAAACUUAACUUUGGGCCCAAGCAAAGAAGGCCCAAAAGAAGGCCUGAAGGAAGAGUCGGCCGAAGCCCAGCCGAGACCUAGAAAAGCAGGAAAGGGUCUCCUCUGACUUGGUGCAGCUCAUGAAGACCACUUGCCCACCUACCCAAAGGUCAAGUGGUAUAGACUGACCAGCUACACAGCCCAUAAAGUACUUUAUGGUGGCAUUACAUGUAAAAAAGCUGAUGAGUCAUCACCCUCAAACCACAUUCGGGCAAGGCUGUUGCUACAGGAGGACAUGCUGGGUUGUCUAUAAAAGAAGAAAGAGAAAUCAGGAUUAAGGACACUCAAUCAAACAAACAAAUGCAAGCACAAACUCUGCUCAAAAGCCAUAUUUGCCUUCAAAACGAAGCUGUAGUCAGCCCAAGCCUUCAUCCAUCGCGGGAUAACCUUUCCUUCAAACCUUUGUAAUAGCUCUGCUACCUUGUUCAACCUUGUUGUAGUAUCGAUUCACCUUUUGUAAUCUCUCUCCCUCUCUCAAAACUUUCAGACCUUUAACAAAACUACAAAGAUAGGAGCCUGCAAGACGAGCAGCCUUGCCUGAUAAGGUUUAACCUUGCCUGACCUUCUAUGCUUUGUAUUUUUUGUCUUUUCAUUCAUUAAGCCUAGUAAUAUGUUGUAUGAUCCCAGUUAUAUGCAAGUUAUUUCUAGCAAGAUGACCAUUAAAAAGCUUUCUCAGUACAUAGACCCGAUUUGAAUAGAUCUUCAGUAUUCAAAUCAGAUCUAAGUCCUAAGCCCUCGGGCAUGCAUAUUUGAUCAGUUAAAAGUCCUUGGCCUCAAGGCAUAAAAAAGAACCUUAUGUGGACUUAACCCAUCCACGACAAUCCUUGAUAAACGAGAAGUCCAAAGUUACUUGGGGCGCAAGUAAUCGACCUACCACUUAGUUUUAUUUCUAUUAUAUGAUGAUUAUCAUAGAACGUUUAUGCAUGGAAUGGAUUCUGAUAGGAAGCCUCAAGGCCUACACCUAAGGCCCCACAAAAGCACCUAUUUGGGUUCAUUCCGUUCUGCGAUCUAGAGCGUUCUGAGUAGAAAGAACAAAUUCUGAUAGAAAGCCUCAAGGCCUACACCUAAGGCCCCACAAAGGCACAUAUUUGGGUUUGUUCUAUCUCUCGGACGCAGGUAAUCAGAAGUAUAAUAGUUAUAAAACUCCUGCAAUCAAUGGAAUAAGUAUUAUGUAUUCGAGUACUGGUUUAGUAACCGAUGGGAAGCCUCAAGGCCUACACCUAAGGCCCCACAAAGGCACCUAUCAUAACUAACCCGGUUCCUCGGGCACAUAUAUAUAUACAUACAACUAAAACUCGACAUCCAUUUCAUAUCUGCCAUGCUGAAGAUGGCAGUGGCACGCCUGAGCACCUAAAAGUUAAUUUUGAUUGUGAGCCUCAAGGCCUACACCUAAGGCCCCACAAAGGCACAUUUCAAAGUUAACUUUGUCCUUCUCUUUCAGCCUUGCCCGACGAGCCUUGCCCGACGAGUCUUGCCCGAUAAAGAUUCGCCUGACGAAACUUGCCCGACAGAGCCCAACCGUGAAGCAGAAGCCCGACAGCAGCCCUCAACCGACGCCAAACCUCCAGGGGAGCUGUGCAUCUCGCCGACCAGGAAACUUGCCCGACGGGAAUUCCUGAAGCGAACAAGUUAGGUGGGCAUUGUUGUCAGUUAGGGUUGCAUUCGGUGGGAUCGAUGGCUCGGUGUGGGAUUUGGUGGGAAUGCAUGUUGCUUGCAAAGAGGAGGAGAGAGGGAAUGAGGGAGGGGGAGGGAGAGAUAUGGGUUUGGUGAGGGGAAGGCAUGCGACUUGCAGAGAGGAGUGAGGGAGAGAGGAUGAGAGAGGGAAUGAGGGAAGGGGAGGGAGAGAGAGAGGGGUUUGGUGAGGGGAAGGCAUGCGACUUGCAGAGAGGAAGGAGGGAGAGAGUUGGAGAGAGAGGGAAGGAUGGAGGGGGAGGGAGAGAGAGAGGGGUUUGGUGAGGGGAAGGCAUGCGACUUGUAGAGGGACGGAGCGAAGCUUAAAAGCAACUGCAAAAAGUUCAAUGGACAGGGUCGCAGCAAUGGAGACACCUCGCUCUGAACCAUUUCCCCUCUCCUCAGGCGAAUGCUGAACAAAGUUUUGAAGGAACAAAAAGAAGAAGAGCUACACAUAAUAGAAUCCGAUUUGCAAGGAAAAGAAGAAAGCCAGCUUUUCAAUGAAAAAGCUAAAAUCAAUCCCUUCAACCUCCUCAUCGGCAGCGGCACCCACGACCACCAGGUUCACUUUUAAUUUAAUUUUAAUUUUAAUUUUUUGCUUUUUUAGUGGAUUAAAGAAUAUGAAACGAAUUAUAAUUUAAAAUGGGGAAAUUUUGUUGAUUUUUGCGUUCAGUGUUCUGACUUUUGAGUGAUCAUCGAGCUGUGAUGGGUUGGUGUUGGAUUUGAUUCAAUUGAGGUAAAAGCUCUGCAUGAUUGUGAUACGGAGAAAAUGCUAGAAUCUUACCUUCGAUCCAAAUAUCUGAUUUUUGUUACAAUUGCUAUUUUCAUUGCAGGAAAAUGUGGCGGAGACAAUAAUUCCCAAAUCCUCGAGUUUUAUAAAUGCAUUCCAAUUGAUAGCCAUGUCAAAUGAUCUCGAUUUGUCAGGUAUGUUCGAGGAACAGGCAAGUUUACAAGAAAUAGAUUUACUAAAAUAACUAAUCCUACUUUUUUAGCUUAUAACGAAUAAUGUUGAACUGUUAACUUAAUUUAGGAUGAGAAAUAGAAGACAACAAGAAUUGGACCCAAGCAUACCAUUACUGAAACCAUGAAGAAAAUAGAAGCGGCUGCAACAGAUGCGAGUAUUCUGUAGCAAGAACAAACAACUUCAGGGUACAUGAAACUUAUAUUCAAUCGUACUUCUUUAUCUGCUUAUCAAAGUUCCUUCCUGCCAACUAAUGAUGUAUUAUUUUUUCAUCAGAUGUAAAUGCAUGCAAAAAUUCCAAUGGAAACGUAAAUCACCAUAUCCAGGUAAAUCCGAAUUGUAGAUCAGACUUAUAUUACAAUUUGCUUUCUUUGUGAAAUUUUAUUGUAAUCUCUGGCUUUUGAAAUUCUAUAUGAAAUUGUGAAUGUCAUUCGGAAUCAAGUCUGGCCGAGUUCUUUACUAAAUAGUGCGAAAAUAUGCAUGAUGAAACUAAAUUACUUUUGUAUCAUCUAUAUUUACCUGUUAUCAUAACAGGAUUUAAAAUAUAGAAACAUACUGCUUAAUGUAUAAUUGAGUGAAAUGCUAGUUUACAUAGAUAUUGUGCUUAUUUGUUUUAGGUGGAUUACCAAAAGGAGCUCAUCAAGUAUUCUGCGAGCACGAUCGACCUUGAUCAUUUGGAUAUUUAAAGGAGCCAUUGAUAAAGGGAAGACGACGAGUUGUGAACCUGUGUGCCAAUUUUGCCAAUUUUGCAGACAAGCAGAAACUCUGGCACUUGCCUCUGUCCUAUCCUCCUCUCGCCGCCGUCUCCCUUCUCUCACCUCCGUCGUCUUACUCCUCCUUUCUCUGUCUCUGGAAUCCUAUCGUCAUCUUCCUCGCAUGCAAGGCUCUGGCCCUUUCAAUUGAAACCAAAACGUGUUUCAGGUGCCUAACACAACCUCUCACUACUCACUCACAUCAGUUGGUUUUUGUAAUUUGAACUUUUUUUUCUAAUAAAUUUGUAUGCUUUCUGGAUUUUUAUGGCAGUUUUGGACCUUAUCUUUUCUGAAUUUGUGUGCUUCUCUGGGUUUUUUAAUGGCAGUUCUGAGGAAGAGCAAGAAAAAGGAAGAACCAGUAUUAGAAGAUCUUCCCAAAGAGUACUGUGAUGAUGUGAGUGCCUUUAUUCUUUAACUUGGCCAAAUGGGUGCUCAAAUUUCACGUUUUUCUGUGAUUAUACGAGUAAAUUUAUGUUUUUUGUUUUUGGGUUUUGCCAAAUUCAAUGGUGGUAUUUAUGGGUUUGGUAUUGAUUUUCAGAUUAACAAUGACUUUGGGGAAAUUGAUUGAGUCUGCAUUCAAUGUAACUUUUCAUGCAGUUACAUACUGAUGAAAUAGAAUUCAAUUUUUUCAUUCCUUUUUUUUUAAAUGCAGUUACAUUUAUAUGAUGAUUUACAGCAUAUAUUUAUCUUUUAGAUUCUAAUUCUUCAUGCAGUCUAAGCCAUGAAGGAUUUGAUAAACCCACAAUUGAUAACAAUGUGCGGCGGCACCAACGGUUUUGGACAAGGAACAAGUAAGUACCAUUUUGUUUCAUUGUUUCAAAGUAUUAUGUAGAGAUUGCUUUAAUAUCUUGGCUUCUUUGCUGUUUGUGGGGUGUAUGAGAUAGGAUUUAGGAGAUCUGGUUUAGAUUUUGCAAAGAGAGUGUGUCCGAGAGAAAUGUGGGAGGAUUUAGGCGAGGGAUUUCAGGGAUUUGUUUAGGGUUUCUUUUCUGCGAUUUGCAGACAGAGAGAUGGGACAAGGGUGAGAGAGAGAUGGGAGGAUUUUCUGCGAGGGUAGAGGGAACGGGUAAGGGAGGUAUGGGUAUGGGUAGGGGAUGGAAAAACAUUUCGUUUUCCAUUUGCUUCCUCAAACCCGAGGGAUUGCUGCAAUUGCAGAGAGAGAUGGGGGUGUUCGUUAGGUCCCCUUUCAGUGUCACAUUUGUGCUUUGUCCACCCUUGAUUGUUGUGUGAUUCAUUCUCACGAACGUUCUAUGCACAAGGUUUCAUGUUAUUCCUUCCUUUUAAUUUUGAUAUUAUUGUGCUUAAUUUCUAUUUUAUUUUAUUGGGUGAUUAGAUUAACAGACUUUGGAUAUUUGGUAUAAUAAUUUCACAUCACGUGUUGCCCUUUUGCAUCACCUUAAUUGUUCAUCAGAUGCUAACUUUUAAUUAUGUUUUCUUUGGGUCAGUCUCCAUCUGGUACAUGUGUCCAUCCUUCUGGAGUGGAGCACUAUCUUUCUGACAGCAUAAAUGCUCUGAGAAGCUACUAUGGAGACAAGCAGUUGUUUACUCCGUUCUAGGUAUGUUUUUCUUUAGUAUUUUAGAGGGAUUCUUAACUAUUCCCCAUUGUAAUCUUUACCUUUGUAUCUAUCUCUCUCAAAAGACGAUGAGAGUAGCAACUGUUGCAAAGCAAAUUCUCAGAUGUAUAUAAGCAUAUACAUACAUUGGACAAAAACCGAAUCUUAAAUUGGGGCAGUGAGUUCUGCAACAUCUUGGUGCUGCAUAUAUUCUCACACUUUUAAAAGUUGUAUUUCUCAUAUACAUUGGGAAUUUUAAUUAGUUUUAUUUCAUUUUUGUAGGGCAAUUUAGUAGAUAUUUAGACAUAAAAGAAGAUGCGUGAAUCAAUACAAUUAACCUAAUAGUGAUUUGGUUCAGCGUAAAGACCAUUGCUAGGGCACUCAAGCCAUUUUCUUAAUUUAUGCGCAUAUAUAUUAUACGUAACCAGAACAUGUUUCCAAAGGAUGUUAGUUAGUGUUCAUGCUCUGCUGAUAUUUUAUUCUGUUCAUUUUGAUUUUGUUUUUCAGUUGUGGUUAUAGGAUUGUUUUGUCUCUCUUUUUUUCUUUUUUGUUUUCCCUCGUACAACUUUUCUAAAAUUGAACUGUAGUUCUCAAUUUGGUUCUUUGAACCGAGGCCAAUUGGGCUGUGCCUUUGGAAGGUCUCACUGCUAUUAAAGUUGAAUGGUGCUAACUGAAUAUAAUGCGUUCAUUCUUCGGUGUGUGUGAGUGUAUGUGUAUGCAGUCUAUGCGAGUGCAUGCAGUGCGGUUAGGUUCAUUCCCGCAUGGGUUUUCGUCUUUUUUUCGUUAAAUGGUUAGGUUCAUUCCCGUAUGGGAGAGGUGUGUUUUUGCCAUCAAAUUGGUAGAGACUGAUCUUAAUCAAAUAUCAUGCCAUAGUGUUAUUUUGUUUGCAUCUAUGGAACUAUAUAUUUACUUCGUUGUUGUUGACAGCUUCGCAUGUUCCUUCCAGAUAAUGCUGCCUUUUUGGAUUUCGUAUGAGUGUCCCGGGUCGGUUCUGGACCAACAAAAGAGGGAUGAUCGCUGUCAUUCGGACUGCAGGCGUCCACUUCAAAAUCCCGGUAAACACAUCCUUUUCUUGAUUUCAGGCCAUGCAAAAUUCAUGGUGAAAAAACUGAGCUCAUGUCGUUGGUUUGUGCCUCUGUCCUAUUUCUUAUUUAUUUAUUUAUUUUAUCAAUCCUUUUCCUUCUUGGUUCUAUUUGUUGCUGCUGGUUCCGAUAUUUCAUUGCCCUAUGUGUGCAUGAUAUCAGUGCUGCCACUUUUCAUAUUCUUAUCAAUGCUUACAUCUUCACUCUUUUCCUUCUGUUUCUUUUGCUUAACAUGGUUUCGGCUUUUUGAGAUUGUGUGUUUGAUUAACAUUUGAUCGUAUGGUGUUAGAUUUUAAAUUUGAUGUGAAUAAAUUCUGCCAGCGGGGAUUUUGGUCUCUGGAUUUUUCAUGGUGUAAUUUUUAUGGCAUGAUCCAUUGGUGUUGUGUGCAUUUUUAUCAACAAUAAUAAGCUUUUUCUCAGCAUUGCAAACAAGUUUUCUUAUAACUAAGAGACGAGUGCAUGGUGCAUGUGUCUUAAUUUAUUCAGGUUAAAUAUAUCUUAUUUAUGCAGUUAAGGUGGGUGCAUUCAAGUCCCGCAGCAACACGCGGGCAUAUUUUCUCGUUGAGACUAAAGGAGGUCUUAACGCCAAAUACUGUUCUGUAUAUUUACGAAUGGUUUAAAGUUUGGGUUUAAUUGGAUAAUCAGAGAGUAGUGCGUCAGACUAUGGAUAUUCAGAAACUGAAAGCAUAAUUCAUAUUCUUCUAACAAGUCCACGCAAAUAACCACAAUCACAAUGUUAUUUAUAACUGGCCAUGUAGAACGCAGUACAAAAGCACUAAAAGCGUCCAAGUGAAAGUACUUUCUUCUCAUGUAGUUUCAUUUAACUUAGUUUUGACAUGCCAAUCAGUCACACACUCAAGUCCUGAACGUUCGGGCUCAAUGGCUCCAAGAGAGCUUCCACUUCACUCUGAUUCACCUCCUCUAACCUUGACAGGUUCCACUUCGGAUUCUGCAUUGACAAGAAACCGAAGCCAAAGAUAAAGAUCCGUUCUGAUAUACAGAAAGUAAGAUGAUUAUAUAACUGUAGGUCUUGUAGAGGCGAUCUUAUAGCAACUCAGUCCACAAAGACGAUCUUAUAGCAAGGCGAUAUUAUCACAUCAGUCAACUUUUGUUGGUCAAGUAAAGCACAUGUUACUCACAGAAAAUGUGAAAUACUACAAAACAAAACCUAUCAAAAGGAUGCAACCAUGUGAUGAAAGAAACGAAAAGGUACGAAGUCCAGACUCACUGGAUAAUUCAUAAUUGGUUGUCAUUUUUCCCAAGCGCAGAUGCCAACUUUGGAGAAGUAAUUUUUUGUCAAAUAAAGUGAAAAAGGAGCACCCUCUCCAAGACCUUGAAGAGCUUUGUUAGCCCACUCCACUGCAAUAGAAACAAUUUGGUCGAAAAUACUUGACAGUGACAUACAAGCCUCUCAAUAGAAGAGUACGACAAACUUACCAGUAGCAUCUGAACUCAGCUGCUGCUUUUUAAGUUCAUCAAUUGUCUCAAGAACCGACUUAUUUACACCAAAUGCUGAAGUUAUUUGAGGCAAAAGCCUCUUGAGUUGCGUUCCAGAAUCUGGGUUGCUGCUGAAUUUGGCCACAGUUGUUUCAAUGUUCUGAAGGGGAUCCUGGGAACUGCAUCAACAAUGGAGUUGCUUUUAUCUCAACAAACGCAUUAGACAAUGUGAUGAUGCCAACUAAAGCAUCGGAAACGCAUAGCAAGAACAGUGCUCUGAAAUUUGAAAAGCCACUGCAAUGUAAUUGACAACAUUGACAAUCUCUGUCUGACAAGGCAAUAGUACCUCUGCAAUGAUCCGGUAGCGACCGGUGACCUGAUAGGCCAAUACCAAAGCCCACUGUUAUGUCACCCAUGAAGCUUAUAUAGGGCUUCUUGCACAGAGAUUUUGCAUAUUAGAGAAUACUCAGCAGUGGAUACCUGAAAAACCUGCAGCACAGAUAUCAUAUCGCUAGCCUCUGAAUCUUGAGAAUACUAUAAAUGGUAGCUUAUAAAAGAAAUGAAUCCUAUCCAACCAAUACAUAUCAUACUACCCAAGUCAAAGCAAAAUCAAGACUAACAAAUGAUCAGAUGUUGUAGGUUGCCCGAGAAUGCCAAACAUGAAAUUACAAAAGGAAAAAUCGUAUGUGUUGGACAUUAGUAAAUAAAUGAUGAAAGCACAAUCUUAGCAAUUAAAGAAAUGUUGAAAUUUUACAUGGGUUUUUGUAAUGUUGAAAUGUUUCCGGAUGCAAUAUGUCUUCAAAAUUCAAAACAAUUACUUACUGGAAAAUCAUAAGAAUCUGAAAGAAGUAUGAAAUGUUGACUUGCUGAUGAUGAAGCUGGAGGUAAUCUGUAGUCCAGGAGCUCAGAAUGUGAUGAUGAGGAUGAGUCUGAUGAUGACAAUGCAACACGACCUUGAUCGUGUCUCACCAUAGAACCGAUCUGGGUGUGACUUAAUCUUGACAGAAGAUGCUUUCACUUCAAAAUUUUUGCCUUUUCCCCUUUCUGUCAUCUGUAGUAAUUCUCAUUUGAUUACUGGGAUUACUAUUAUCAGAUGAUUCAUGGCUUGGUUCUGCCUCAUCAUAGAACCAAGCUGGAUGUGGGUCAGAAACAUAACCAGCACUAUUCAUAGCAAGCAUAUUUUCUUUCAUUGGCUUAUCCCACGCUAGAUUAACUCCUGUUCUCUUAACAGUAAAUAAAUAAUAAGGAUCCACACUUACAAAAGGUUCUUCAAAAAUUAUAUCAACUUUAUCCCCGCCUUGCAAAUUGAGCUUAUCGUUCGAUAGUUGUCCUAGCCAAAUAUAAUCAGGUUCAGGCAUGUCGUCUAUUUCUUCUCCGUCUAUUUCUUCUCCGCGUAUGGCUAUGCAGGCUCGCAACUCAGUACGCUUGGUGUGAUUUAUAACAGUAAUGUGAAGAGAAUAAUAAUUAUUUUUUGAGUGGUAAAAGCAGAAUAGAGUCAGGCCUUUAAAAUUACGAACACUCCGGGGAAUAUCAAAACUGACUUUAUUGCCAUUGUUGACAAACUCAAACCAACCAGGAACAUAAUUCCCAUGGAAGAAAAUGCCACCAAAUCCGCAAGAAGUCCAUCCCUAUAUAAACAAUGCAAGUGUCAUAUAUAUACAUGUACAUGUGCGUUUGUGCGUGCAUGCGCACGAUAGGAAGGCAAUUAAAAGAAAGAGGGAGAGAUACCUGUAGGAUGUUCUUCUUAAAAUUAUCUGUGAGAUUGGUGCACCUUUUCAUAUCAAUCAAUGUCAUGGAGGAUAAUGACUUAUCCAAGCCUGGAACCUCAGUGAGUUUGGACGAAUCACUUAAAUUCAGUUUUCUCAUCUUUGACAUUUCCGAAAAAUUGGGCAUUAUUUUCAAUGUAGGGCAACCAGGUGCCUUCAAGACUUCCAAAUUUGUUGGUAAAUUGGGGAUUGUAUGAAGAUUUCUGCAUUUACUGAGCUUCAGAGUUUCAAGCUUUGAAAGAUCAUUGAGGCUCGGUAGGCUACAAAAAGAAUUCCCUUUAAGAUUCAAAUCUUGUAAGGAAAUUAGACUCCCAAGAUCCUUAGGGAUUUUAUUAUCAUCUAAUUUGCACCAUGAGAGAUCUAACCGAGUGAGAUUGUUCAAUCUUACUAUGGAAGGUGGUACUCGUUUUAUGGCUGUGGAAUCUGCAUCAAGUAUUUUCAAUGAUAUCAUCUUCCCUAAAUCCUUAUGCAGUUUUUUGAAAUUUGAACAGAACGAAAGAAAAAGAGUCUCAACAGAUUUCGACUUAUAGAAAUCCCCUGGAAGAAAAAUAAGAUUGUCACAGAAUCUAAGGUUCACCAAAGAAAGUCUUUUAAGAUAACCAAUAGAGGGGUGAAUUCCGGACAAUUUAUUGCAGUAUUCCAAUAUCAACUCUUCAAGAUUUGGGACUUGUGAAAAGUCUGGUGAUUUAAUUAGGUCACUAGAAAAACUGAGAUCAAUGAUCUUCAACUUCUGGAGCGAGAGCGACUAAUGCACAAAACCAAAGAAAAAUUGAAAUUAAUAUCCAAAAAGAAAAUCUUAUAAAAAAGAAGGAAUCCAAAAACAAAUAGAAACAGAACAUUAUGACGUGUAAUUGAUUAUACCUUGGAACCCUGCCAAAACUGUACCAAUUUACUAUCGUGCAUCUGUAUAGCAACUAGUUUCUCUUGAUUUAAAAAGUCAUCUGGUAUGGACUGUAAAGGGAAUUUACUCCAACAGAACCAUAUUAACUCUUUGGGAAGAUGUUCGUAUUUUCCAUUGAGCUUAUUAGCGUAGUCGAGCCGAAGUAAUCUCAGUUUCUUCAUAUUGGCAAAUGCUUCUGUACUGAAACUAGUCUUGUCAGAGCUUGGUAACCCGGGAUAAGGGAUAUCUAGAGCAAGUCCUUCAACUUCUUCAGUUCCCUGUUAAAAAAAAAAAAAAAAAGUUUAAGUAAGAAAUAGAUUAUUUGCAUAUGUUUACAUGAUUUUGCAUAAUGAAUUAUACUUGCAUUCCCCCUUUGGGGUGACAAGCUCAUUCUGCCGCUUGCAAAUAACAUUUCUUAAUCGUACAAAUUUUCAUUGUGGAACCAUUCAAUUUCUUACUCUUAUAAUCAUUACAAAAAAUUUGAAUCAGAGAUCACUUAAUUUAGACAUCCAAAUGUAUCAAUAAAUGGAUAAUUCAUUAUUGAUAUGUUACUUAGGCAAAAUCACGUACUAUGAAUAAAUGCGAGUACUAUUGUUGGCUAAUUGAGCUUUCCUUGUGCAACUAACAUAUAUACACAUGAAUGUUGUCUAAUGUAUAAUAGACAUUUUGUUAAAGAAAAAAUGUAUAAUAGACAUACGUGGGUUAUAUAUGCUUUUCCUGUACAAUGCAUUAAUCCAAAAUUUUAUUGGGAAUAUACUUACAAAUUUAUUUGUUAAUACAUUGGUGACCUCUCGAGAAUUCCACAACCUGCUCCAUUUUCCAGGGUGACCGGGGGACUUUUCAGAAAUGAUUACUCUGGCCAUUUCUCGAAGCAAAUCAUGCAUAUACAAUAUGUUGCGUUCAACAGUUACAAGGCAUCGUUCACAGAGGACACUGAUUUCUAUUGUUGCAAAAAAUUCACAUCCAUCUAAUACUUUUGCGACAUAGUCCUUUUCCCAUCCAAUAAAGAAACAAGAUAUGUCAAGGAAAGUAGCCUUUUGUGUACGAUCCAGCUUUUCAAAGCUUACUCUUAGCGGUUUCAUUAUUCCUUCAUGAGGAAUUUUUUUUAAUUUCUCCAACUGACUUUUCCACUCUGUUGGGACUCUUUCAAUCAUAGAAGAACCUAAAACUUCAAGGGCUAGUGGCAAACCACCACAGUGAGAAACAACCUCUUUUGAGAGUUCAAGAUAUCCUUCAUUAGGACAACUAUUUCCAAAGGCAUGCCAACUAAAGAGUUUCAAAGCUUCUUCUUCAUUCAUUUCCUUAAGCGGAUAUGUCUCGUCCACUUUCAUGUUCACUUGCUUUAGUAAACGAUCAUCUCGUGUCGUUAUGAUAAUUCUACUUCCUAGGCCAAACCAAUCACGAUUUCCAGCUAUUGCAUUUAGUUGUUCCACUUUGUCUACAUUGUCAAUAAUGACAAGUACUCUUCUACUUUGGAGAUGAUGUUUUAUCAGACUGAUACCUUCAUCAACACUGGUUAUCUCACGCUUGUUCUGUUUCAAGAUGUUAGAAACAAGUUGUUCUUGCGAAACAACCAGAUCUUUUUCACUAACGUUGUUAAGGAAACUUUUGAAUUGGAACUCAUGAUGAAUUUUGUUAUAAAUGGCUUUGGCAGCUGUUGUUUUACCCAAUCCACCCAUCCCCCAAAUUCCAACCAUGCGAACAACAUUUGAUCCACCAUUUGAAAGAAAAGUGAUGAUAUCUUGAAUGCGAGUAUAUAUUCCAACUGGGUGCUUGGCCACAUGUAAACUUUCUGCGCUCGGAAGCCAUUCCGGGAUAAUCUUGUUAACAAUUUCUCUAAUAAGCUUUGCUUCGCACCUGAAAAAUUGAAUUGGUAAGCUUAGUAAGUAGGCUCAGUAUGAGCUAUUAGUAUAUUUCCUUGUUUCCUUCGCGCGCGUGUGUGCACACAAACUAUCUACUAUAGCUAGUAUGUGAUUUUGGGACCAACGUCAAUAAAAGAAACAAAUUCAUUCAUGGAUAUAUUAAAGUUUGGUGUAUCAAUUAAACUCCAAUUAUGGUUUAGGUUUUACAGGAAAUUGGAGAAAUGGUCCCUGAACUAUGAUUGAACUGUAGCUUUGGUUCUUAAACUAAAAAAUUCAAUAAAUCUUGUCCUUGAACUUAACAAAAUAUGGAGCAUUCAUCCCUCCAUGUUAACACCGUAAGAUUUUCUGUUAAUUUGAUGACGUCAUCUUUGUGGGCUCUAUAUUUUUGUUUACUAGAUGCCACGUGGCUUGAAAAUUCAAAAUAAAAGAAAAUAAAUACAAACAUAGAGAAAGAAAAAGAAAAAAAAAAUAUUUCAAUUAUAAAAGUUAACUCUCUCCAAUCCUCCCUUCCGCCUCCCCUCCUCCAAACCCCAGCCACACCAUUGUAGCACUUUCCCAACAGCAAAAACAAAGAAAGUUUAUAAUCCAAAUUUGGAACACAUCUCCCUUUGCAAACAAAUUCACAAUGACAUCCAUCCACGUUGUCUCGACAGGUAAGAUUCAAGAAAUUUGUGAGAUGUGGGUUUGGGUGACGGCUGUGGUCCAUGGGCUACAGGUUGGGGCCGGCUGGGGAGUGGGGAUUAGGGAUUUGGGGUUGGAAGUGGGAGGUUGACGGGUGUGAAUCAAAGAUUGAAGGUGAAGGGGUGGGCUGCGAGCCUGCGAGUGUUGGUGGGAUGAGGUACGCCUGCAAUUAUAUAUAUAUAUAUAUAGUAGACACUUUUAACUAAAAUUUAAAGGAAUUGGUUACGAAGGACUAAUGCUCCAUAUUUUAUCAAGUUCAAGGACAAAAUAUAAUGAAUUUUUAAUUUAGGAACCAAAGCUACAAUUUUCCUCAAGAUUUUAUAUGAGAGAUUAAGGUGUAUUAAUUAAGCAUGUUAAUUAGAGUAAUACAACUUAAAUAUUGAAAAGCACAAUGAUUACCUGCAAUUAUAUAUAUAUAUAUAUAUAUAUAUAUAUAGUAGACACUUUUAACUAAAAUUUAAAGGAAUUGGUUACGAAGGACUAACGCUCCAUAUUUUAUCAAGUUCAAGGACAAAAUAUAAUGAAUUUUUAAUUUAGGAACCAAAGCUACAAUUUUCCUCUAGAUUUUAUAUGAGAGAUUAAGGUGUAUUAAUUAAGCAUGUUAAUUAGAGUAAUACAACUUAAAUAUUGAAAAGCACAAUGAUUACCUCUUAUCAGUGAUUUGAAGAUGGUAGCCAGACAAAUUUGCAGCUUUUGUAAGAACCUCUCCCCACUGCUUUAUCCCUUCUUGUUUAGCUUCACGUUUCUUGUCAUCCUUUUCUUCACCGAUGCCCUCUUCGUGCUUCUGAAAUUCUUCAGCCAACUCUGCAGCUUCUCUAAGAGCCUCUGUCCACUGCUUUACCCUUUCUCGUUUUUCUUCACGUUUCUUGUCAUCUUUUUCUUUACUGAUGUUCUCUUCGUGUUUCUUAAAUGCUUGGGCCAAAACUCCAUUCUGCUUCCUGACAUGUGAAGGAUCAACGUGAUAGAAUAUUGGCAAAACAUGUCGCCCCAAUUUGUCUCUGCACUCCAUGAUCUUCACCAGCUCGUUAAGACACCAACUCGAAUCCGCAUACCUCUCUGAGAAGACAAUGAUAUAGAUCUUCGAUUUUUCGAUUGCCUGUUCCAGUUCUUUUUUUAUUUCUUCCCCUCUUUCUAGAUCGUCCUCAUCGAUAUACGCUUGAUAUCCCCUAUCUGUUAAUGCCGCGUGGAGGUGGUCCGUGAAGCCACUGUGUGUGUCUACACCGCUGAAGCUCAAGAACACGUCGUAAUUCCAAAGUUUUGACUUGGGGGAGGAUGAAGAGGAGGCUUCAUGGUUUGUCAUGGCGGUAUCCACUGUUAUGGCACUGCAGUGGUUCAGAUUAUGACUGAAAAAUGGCAGUAGUUGUGUUUGUGCUAUUGAACAGAUGAUCCUGAAACACCUAAACCCAAGUCAAGCUCCUUAAGUCAACAAGAACAAAGUUUAUAAUAUAAUAAUGUUGGCGUAUGGAAACGACAUAAUGUUGGCCAGAAGGUGCAGAGACAAACUUGAAUGCAAGCUUUCUGAAAUCUUCCAACCAAUACAGAUAAAAAGGUAACACCCUAGUCAGAAAUGAACUGAGGUGUUAGCUUUCUAAGACACCCAGAUGACAAAAUCAACAAAAUAGAAUGGAAAACUGACUUACACUUUUAAGGCAUGCUAGAAUCUUGAUCUAAAAUUGGUGGUGGGUCGAUUGUUGGUCACCAACUCUAAAUGAAGAAUUCAUCAGAACCUAGAAAAUUAAACAAAGAACUUUCCAAAAUCAACAUUUACUAAAAACCAUUUACUUGGUUAUCAUGCAAGAUGGCUUGCCAAAGAUUGAAUUAAGGAAUGCAAAACUUUACUUUUAUGAUGAUUUCCAAUGACAGCUAAAAGGUCAGAACCAAAUGAAAAUAAAAGUUAGGACUUCACAAAACCAAUUAAAAUCUAAUUCCAAAGUUACAAACACCCACCAAAUGAUUCCAGAUAAAGUUUUAAACUCAAGGUCAGACCCAAAUGAAAUUAAAAGUUAGGACUUCACAAAACCAAUUGAAAAUCUGAUUCCAAAGUUUCAAACACACACCAAAUGAUUCCGAAUAAAGUUUAAACUAAAAAACCCAACAGAAACAAAAGCAUUGGUGUGAAUUAACAGUAUCUAAUUGAAGAAACUAAAACAAAAGUAAAGUAAAGUAUAUACCUCAAAAUAUCAAGCAAUUAAGUUCUUCCUCCGAUGACCCAAAACUCUGAAAAUUCCACACAAAAAAAAAGGUAAAUCCAUUAGCAAUUCAUAGCUUUCAAAAUCAGCAAAAACUUGGGCAACAAUAAAGAUGCGUUGAGAACCAUCACUCUUUCUCCUUAUGUAUUUGAAAAGAUAUUUUAUAAGCAAUUUAUGUAGUCAUUCUGAUCAUGUUGCAUAUAAAUUCCUUUUCUACAGAGUUCAAAAAAAAUAGGGCAGUUUAUGGCAUCUGUUGAAUAACAUGGUUGAAAGAUUUAAAAUUGAUAAAUUCAAUUUUUAUGUGUAAAACUAUAACAUAUAGCUAAAGCUAUUGGGUCUAUAUAUCCAUAUCAAUCAUGUCGUAAUUGAAGGUUUAUCGAUGUAAAUAGAUGAUUUCAGUCAUGUGAAGUAUAUGCUGAAGUUUGGUCUAAGUUAGAUAAAAAUUGACCAAAAUCUUAAUAAGAGACUCUUUUAGCUUUUAACCAAAAAAUGAGCACCACAAUACUACACUUAUAAGUUUUAUCAUGCACAAAAUACAUAGCACUGAUUGCUACUUUUAGAGCAAGAACAAUACUUUCCAAGAAAACAACAAAACACUCAAAACCCAGAAACAGAAACACACUUAGGACUCCAACUCCUCAAAAACAUGAGAAAGAGAGAGAGUGUGUGCGAGGAGAGAGAAUAAAAAACCAUAUUAAUUUUCACACAAACUCAAAAUUGCUUAUAAAAUUACAAAUCAAAACAAAUGAAAGCAAAUCCAAAUUGCCCUAAAUUAAAUCUGAUUAGUUAAACGUUUGUUGCCCUACAAAUGUCGUUACACCCGACACAACUUGCUUUGAAGUUGAUAUUUUGGUCAAUCCAGGGAAAAAGGAGUUAUUGGUUUUGGAGCGGUUGUCAUGGAGAAUACCAUCUCCCUGUUGAAUGAUCUAAAAAAGGACUUACAGCUUCUGCUGGCCAUAAUAAGGCCCUUCUCUCCAGAUUUUCUCAAUAACUUUCCUUUUCGUAGCUGGUAAGAUUGCAACUCCAAGAAUUGCUCUGAAGAGAUAUACAAAAAAAUCAAACUAAAACUAAGCUAUUGGAAGAAAUUUAGAAAACACAAACAUCACUACAACUCAGAUUUAAAGUCAACAGAAACCAAAUGGUAGAAGUUGAAAAAAUACAUGGUCAUGAAUCGAGAACUUCAUCAAGCUACAACAACAACAACAACAACAAAGCCUUUUCCCACUAAGUGGGGUCGGCUAUAUGAAUCCUAGAACGCCAUUGCGCUCGGUUUUGUGUCAUGUCCUCCGUUAGAUCCAAGUACUCUAAGUCUUUUCUUAGAGUCUCUUCCAAAGUUUUCCUAGGUCUUCCUCUACCCCUUCGGCCCUGAACCUCUGUCCCGUAGUCACAUCUUCGAACCGGAGCGUCAGUCGGCCUUCAUCAAGCUAACAGCAAUAAAAUCUCAUAUAAUCUGUCAAAAACCAAAAAAGAGAGAGAGGUAAUUUCAAGACCUUGUAAUGCCGAGGCCUCGUACAAUUGUAGUAAUAAUAUAUGGUUGAUGCACCUGUUGCUCAAUCAAAUCCUUUGUCUGGCUAAAAAAAAUAAAAAUCUAUAAAUACAUUCAUGUCCAAUUUAUGAGAAAUCAUGGGAAAGCAAAUGCACUGAUAACGGAAUCAUGAAUAUGAAAAACUUGCCAAAAAGAAAAAGAAAACUUCUUAUAGUGUGCCAAGAACAUCCUCCUACUCCUAGCAAACUUUUUAUGGCAUUAUCCACUUCUCAAUUCAUAAUUCAACCACUAACUCAAAGUCUAUAGUGUAUGAAAAAGUGAUAUCUUAGUUGAUCACGAUGAUAAUUAAGCAGAUUAAAUGACAACCCAUAAAGCAUACAAAUUCAGAAAAGAAAAGGUUCAAAACUGCCAUAAGAAAACAUAGAAUAUAUAAACGGGAAAUCAAAAGAAGAGAGGCGAAAAAGGAAGAAAAAACCAAACAAAAUUAUUAGGUUUGGGAUAUACCUUUAUCUGAAACGCCACAAUCAUCAAAGUCAAACAUAAACAAUCCAAAAAGUUGUGGAAAAUAACAAUAAAUGCUCAACGAAAAACGAAAGAAACGUAGAAUAAGUUUACCUGUCCUCCCCCUAAUAAUACAAUUCACCACUUAUAUUCUCGUCAUCCUCUUCAGCCUGAAAAAUUUAGUAGAAAUAUUCAAUGAAGGCGCUUAAUGGAGACAGUAAUAUUAGCAAUGGAGGAAUUGAAUUGAUAACUAAAACUGCAAGACCAAUUGACUACGAUAGGUUCAAAACAGAAACUCAUCUGUUAGAUGUCUCAUCUUUAGGCAGUGCCUUGUUCUUUUCUUUUUUUUGUUCUUUUUUUUUUUUUGUUUUUGGUUGCACGUCUUGUGACGUUCAUGUAAAUGAACAAAAUUGAUACUUUUGACACAACCAACAAUGGAGAGGUAAAAAGUUAAAAACAGAAGGAAUGUCUUUUGUUAUGUAAUAGAUUUUGCAAGUCAGAAAUUCUGUUCGAGAAUUUGCAACCCAGAAAGUCCGCCAGCAAUUAUUAACAAUCACAGAUAAGCACCGAAUGAAGGCCAAUCUAAUAAGCCAAAAUAUGUAGGGCACUAAAGAAAUUAUUGCCCAGUAACAAAUGAUAGAUAAGCACAUGUGAAACUAAAGAAAUUUUUCCUUACUAUCAACUCCAAAAAAAUAACCUAUACAAUUCAAAAAAUGUUGAUACAUGCCUGAAAUUGGUAUUUGAACCACCAACUACCUCCGUGAAUAUGUUUGUUUGCUUAAUGGUUUGCGUUGAAGUUGUGAAAGGAAAUGCAAUUUCUUAAAAGAAGGAGAAUGCAGAGACAAAUACAGAAUGGUUCACGUGGCCACCCUCAAAACAAUAAUGUCGUAUACAUUAAGCCUGCCAAUUACUAAAAACAAAACAUUUUGCCAUGAGGAGAAGUAAGAACAUACCGAAACUUGUUUGCAAAUAGAUGAGAAAAAUUAUACCUCAAACAGAUGGGAAAUUUAUUAGGAAAGAUAGAUCAGCCCACAUGUGUGUAAUCUAUAUACAAAAAACCACUCUCUUCAUUAGCCAAAUCGUUUCAUAAAUCCAACAACACAUAAUUAUAUCUUGAACAAUGCCAAUUAAUGAUUUCCCAUUUACUUAAGCCGGACAACAAAGCCAAUGAACUGAUGAAAGAGCGAAAAAGAGAAACAAAAAACCUCAAUUAAGCAAUUAAAUGGAGUAUUACUUGAUAGAGCUGGAAAUUACCCAAUUCCUCAGAGAGAGGAUCAAGAGUGACUGAUGAGAGUGCAGAGAAACGAAUUAUUGAGAAAUUCAAGUUCUGAGCUCAAAGUUGGGGCCUCCACUUUCCAACUGGGGAAGAAAUAACAGAGAAAACACAGAGAGAGCCAAUCCACCAAAAAUAUUAAUCAAAUGGGUUUCUUCUAAUUCAAAAUUUGGACCACCCAAUUUCCGAUGAAGCAAUAACCAUUCAAAAUUCCAACAGAUUGAAGCCCUCACAGACUACAAAUUAUCAAUACCCAGCAAUAAAAAAUUUGAAAACAGUAAUAAUGAAGGAAAAAGAAAUUAAAGCUGCGAGCCAUUCUCUAAAUCUCAGGCACCAAUCCAAAUCACCAGUAAUUUGCACAUAAUGAUAAGAAUCUAGCGGUAUUUCCAUUGUUUAAAAACCCAAAUUCAAGAAAUCAUGAAAAAUGGAAACUUUAUUUGGAAAUUGAAGCUUUACCUGCAGAUCAGCAGCAGCAAACGGAAUCCAACGGCAUGUACCUCAAAAGUGAGAGAGAGAGAGAGAGUUGAGAGAUGAGUGAGAGAAUCGAUAAACAAAACCCCCCAAAAUCACAAAAGGAAAAUUGAACAGAAAACAAAUUUGCAAAUCCAAAAUCACAAAAACGAAAUUGAAACACCCACACUGAGAAAGCUGCAAUACUCACCAGGAAGCUAGCUUUUCUGGGUAAAAAAAUUGUUCGAAUCGAAUUGAAGAACCGAGGAAAAUUCUACUGGUUCAGUGGUUUUUCCAGCAAGAAAGCACCUUGUUUGUAAUUCGUGAGAGGUUGGACGGCGAGAGAGAAAAACGUAAAGGAAAGGAAAAGCGGAGAAGAAGUCACGAUUAUCGACGCGUGGGUUGCAUUCCACUGUGCCAAGUUCGAAAAUGAACGGGGAAUGGGGAGCUUGGCUGAGGGAGACAGAAUUCGAGAAGCAACGUUCUGAUUUUUUUUUUUAUAUGAGAGAGGGAAAGAGGAAUGAAGAGAAUCGACAAGAGGAGGAACCAUUUUAAGCGAUGAUGGACGCGUGGGAAUUGAGGGCAAAUUUGCCAUUUUGCUGUGAACCCAAAAGUCAAGACUUGGCUUGGUUUAUAUAAUUAAUCAAUAAUAUUUCAUAACAAGAGCUAGGUCCAUAUAUUAUACAAGGUUCUAAUAUAAUAGAUGUUGUGGCUAGGCGAGGCUUAUUGUCUAUGCGAAUUUAAGUAAAUUUACUCUAUAUUAAAUAAAUAAAUAUAUUUUUACACUUAAAAUGACACAUAAUUGUAUUGUGAUAUAUAAAUUAUAAAAUAAAAUGAUAUAUAUAUUAUAAAGUAUUGGAGACCCAAAUGUGAAAUGACAACUAUAAACAAUUAUUCAAGGUGGACGGUAAAUGAUUCAGCCAUUUACAAGAUUCAAAACGUAGGAUCACGAUCUACUGGAUGAUUGUAUUAACUAUUAGGCGGUGCUCUAAUAUAAUACAUCCAAAUGGGGGUGGACCACAUAAUACACCCAAUAGGUCGUUUUAAGCUACUCCACUGCUAAAACUAUUGCAAAAUGCGCAUUAGGAUUUAUACUUCUAUUAGCUACGCCUUUCCUUACUAGGCAAAUGAACCAUAUAGUACACCAAGAUGGAUGUUAUACACGUUGGAGUUUGAGCAGAAUUCUUUUUGUUAUCAUGUCUCACAUUGCUAGAAUUGAAAAGUUCAUAAUAUAAUAACAUUCACGUAUGAACUUGAGAAACAACAUACUACUGGUUGGCCUGGAAGGUGCAGUGAAGGAGAGGAAAGAAAGUAACAAACACGAAAGGAUAAGGACUAUCCAAUAGAUUAUAAACAAUGACUUCUUGGGGGUGAUUACAGCUAUUCAACCAUCAAUAAUGCAUUAUUUUAGUUUGGAAUUUGGAAGCAUUUGAGAAGUAACAUGACAACAACCACAUAAUAAACAAAGAUGAUUAGAAAAAAGACCCGAAUGUGAAAGAAUAAUUAAAAACAAUUAUUCAAGAUUAGUGAUAAAUGAUUCAACCAUUUACAAGAUAUGAACUUAGAACAACAAUCUAUUAGAUCGUUGUAUUAAUUAUUAAGUGGUGCUCUAAUAUAAUAGAUCCAAAUCGGAACGGACCACAUAAUACACCCAAAUGGAUCAUUUUUAGGCUCCACUGCUAAAAACUAAUGCACCAUGGGCAUUAGGAGUAGACUUUUAUAGCUAUCUUUCCUUACUAGUCAAAUGAACCAUACAAUACACCCAAAUGGAUGCCAUCAUGCCAUAUAUAAACAAUGUUUUGAAAGGACAAGGUAGCUAACGCUGUCUUUUUAUAUAUGUAAGCAACAACCCUAAAUGAAUCUUAUUGGAGCUAAUUAACUAAUGUAUUUAUUAGACAGUUGGAUUCCUUAGCAAGGGGUUAACUAUUUUUGUUUAGAUUAGUAGUCAGGUGGUAAUUAAUUAGUCAAAUGAACCAUAUAAUACACCCAAAUGGAUGUGCAUAUAUAAACAAUGUUUUCGAAGGAUGAAAUGACUUUCUUGCCGGUAUGGGGGAAGAGGAUUGCGCGAAAAUUUUCGCACUAAUCUAAAUAUUGUGUUUCAAGCUUUGAAAAACCAUUGAAGCUUUGAAAAGUUUGGUGAUUUUGUUAGGUUAUGUGUAUGAGUGACAUUAAUAAUUUUCAACUUCCCAAGCAAUUGUUACACAAAAUUAAAUUUAAAAUCCAAGAGGCCGUGGUUACAGCUAUUCAACUUUUGUAGAUUUUCCGGUUUUAUGAGAUUGGCAUUCUUUUUCAACACAACUUCUAUUGAGUUCAUAUAAACUAUUAUAUGAAGGAGAAAUGGUAAAAAGACUCCCUCAAAAUCCCAAAUGUGAUAGGAGAAAAGACACAAAUAUGAAACAAUUAAAAACAAUUAUUCAAGGUGGGUAGUAAAUGAUUCAGUCAUUUACAAGAUUCAAACAUGGGACCACGAUCUACUGGAUGACUGUAUUAACUAUUAGGCGGUGCUUUGAUAUAAUACAUCCAAAUGGGGGUGGACCACAUAAUACACCCCAAUGGUUCGCUAAAAACUAUUGCAAAAUGCGCGUUGGGCUUAUACUUCUAUUAGCUGCGCCUUUCCUUACUAGGCAAAUGAACCAUAUCCAAAAUGGAUGUUAUACACGUUAGAGUUUGACCAUAAUUUUUUUCGGUUAUCUCAUUGUCUCACAUUGCUAGAAUUGAAAAGUUUUAAUAACGUUUGUGUAUGAACUUGAGAGACGACAUACUAUCGGCCGGCGGGGAAGGUGCAGUGAAAGAGAGGAAAGGAAGAAAGAAGUCAACACGGAAUGACAAAGACUAACCAAUAGGUUAUAAGCAAUUACUUCUUGGGGUGAUUACAGCUAUUCAACUAUCAACAACGCAUUAUUUUAGUUUGGAAUUUGGAAGCAUUUGAGAAGUAACAUGGCAACAACCACAUACUAAACUAAAGUGAUUAGAAAAAAGACCCAAAAUGUGAAAGAAUAAUUAAAAACAAUUAUUUAAGAUAAGCGAUAAAUGAUUCAACUAUUUACAAGAUAUGAACUUAGAACAACAAUCUAUUUGAUCGUUGUAUUAACUAUUAAGUGGUGUUCUAAUAUAAUAGAUCCAAAUGGGGACCGACCAUAUAAUACACCCAAAUGGACCAUUUUUAGGCUCCACUGCUAAAAACUAAUGCAAAGUGGACAUUAGGAUUAAACUUGUAUUAGCUAUCUUUCCUUACUAGUCAAAUGAACCAUACAAUACACCCAAAUGGAUGGCAUCAUGCCAUAUAUAAACAAUGUUUUGAAGGGACAAGGUAGCUAACGCUGUCUUUUUAUAUAUGUAAGCAACAACCCUAAAUGAAUUUUACUGGAGCUAAUUAACUAAUGUAUUUAUUAGACAGUUGGAUUCCUUAGCAAGUGGUUAACUAGUUUUGUUUAGUUUAGUAGUCAGGUCGUAAUUAAUUAGUCAAAUGAACCUGCAUAUAACACACGCAAAUGGAUGCCAUAUAUGCAUACUAUUUUUGUUUAGUUUAGUAGUCAGGUCGUAAUUAAUUAGUCAAAUGAACCUGCAUAUAACACACCCAAAUGGAUGCCAUAUAUGCAUAUAUAAACAAUGUUUUCAAAGGAUGAAAUGACUUUCUUGCCGGUAUGGGGGGAAGAGGAAAGAAACUAGCACGAAACUGCAGACCCUAUCGAUCCAUUAUAAUAAAUUUCAAUGGUCCAAGUUGUAAGUUAAUUGUGUAACGUAAAAACUUAUUUACAGUUAUCAACUUAACCACGUACAUGUGGAAGACAUUAUCUCAGAAAACUAGAAAGUUCAAUUGCAACUCUACACAACUGAAAGCAAGGCUCGCUCAAUAGGGCUUGAGUUUUUUUGUAAACUUGCGUAUUUUUGUAAACGCAUCACAUAGUAGUUAAAACAUCCGGCCGUAAAUAAAGGGUUUGAGUGUCACAUCCUAGCUCGGGGCAGACCACUUCCCGGGCUCACUCCACUACCGUAGCAUGAUAUUGUCCGCUUUGGGCCCCGACCACGCCAUUACGGUUUUGUUUCUAGGAACUCACGAGCAACUUCCCAGUGGAUCACCCAUUAUGGGAGUGCUCUGGCCACCUUCUCGCUUAACUUCGGAGUUCCGAAGGAACCCGAAGCCAGUGAGCUCCCAAAAGGCCUCAUGCUAGAUAGGGAUGAGAAUAUACAUUUAAGGAUCACUCCCCUGGGCGAUGUGGGAUGUUACAAUCCACCCCCCUUAGGGGCCUGACGUCCUCGUCGGCACACUUCCGGCCAGGGAUUGGCUCUGAUACCAUUGUCACAUCCCGGCCCGGGGCAGAACACUUCCCGGGCCCGCUCCACCACCGUAGCACGAUAUUGUCCACUUUGGGCUUACCAUUCCCUCACGGUUUUGUUUUUGGGAACUCACGAGCAACUUCCCAGUGGGUCACCUAUCCUGGGAGUGCUCUGGCCCCCUUCUCGCUUAACUUCGGAGUUCCUACGGAACCCGAAGCCAGUGAACUCCCAAAAGGCCUCGUGAUAGGUAGGGAUGAGAAUAUACAUUUAAGUAUCACUCCUCUGAGCGAUGUGGGAUGUCACAAUCCAAUUGUAACAGUGUCAUGAUCAGACUUGUAAGACUGUCUUUAAUAAGAAGUUGUUGCGUUUUGUCAAAACUAGGUAUGGGCAACGGUUAUGGCGGGCGGGUAACCGCGGUUAAUUAUCCAUAACCGUUUAUUCUCAUACAUGCAUAACUGUUUACCCGUUGGGUAAUUGUCUAAACGGUUAUACCCAUACCCAUAACCGUUUAUAAACGGUUAACCAUAACCAUAACCGUGUACCCAUUUAACCGUAACCGUUUAGUACCCAUUUACCCAUUUAUCAUUUUUAAACCCGUUUAUCCUUUCUUUUUUACCAUUUACUCAUUUUUCACGCAUCUACGUGUUUUUUUAACAACUUGAAAAUUAAAAAAGAAAAAUUUGUCAUAAUUUUCUUUUUCUAACAAUUAAACACCGUUGUAGUAUUCAUCAUACAUUUCCGUAUUUUAAUUUUUAAGUCCUUAUACCAUUUCAAUAAUUGAAAUAAUAGUUUACAGACAAUAUUUUUAAUUGUUAGCAAUGAAGGUAAUAUAAAAUUUGCUAAGUAUUCUUUGGUUACGAAAACUGUUAAAAGACAGUAUUCUUGGGUUAUUUAACUCAGAAUGUAUAAUAUAUAUAAUGGACCAUGAAAUUUAAAGUGGUUAAGGAAAACUAUAUUAUAUUAGCUAUAGAAAUCAUGCACUAUAGUCAAUAGCAUUGAUCUAAGUUUUGUCCGAUAGUGAACAUGGUUUGUGUUAAUUUUACAUAUAUAAAAUAAAUGGGUAAAUGGUUACCCGUUUAUAACCACGGUUAAUACCCAUACCGCCCAUUUAAAUUUCACGAGUAAACGCCCAUAACUGUAACCGUGAAAUUUAAAUAGGCGGAUAACCGCAGUUACCCAUAACCAAUGAGUAUUUACCCAUCCCUAGUCAAAACCGGUCCAUCUAAUUACAAAUUGUAACCAUAUUAGUUGAGUGCAUAUGCUACAUCACAUUUAGUGAAUAUUCAGUACGGGUGACACAUGGUCAGACUUGUAGGUUGUUCAUUAAGAAGUUAGUUACCACGUUCUCAAGAGUGGAGCUAGAGGGGAGCACUUCCCUACCAAAGUGUUUUCCUUCUCCCCUUUGCAAGGGAUUUGUGUCACUAUUAGAUAGGAGAUUCAAACACAAGACCUUCAAUUGAGAGGUAAACGCUUUUACAAAGCUUCUACGAGCACCUUCUUGUUUACCAAACUUAUUGAGACUAAAGGAGGUCUUAACGCCAUUUUGGCUAAUACUAUUCUGUAUAUUUACGAAUGGUUUUAAGUUUGGGUUUAAUUGGAUAAUCAGAUAGUAGUGCAUCAAACUAUGGAUAUUCAGAAACCGAAAGCAUAAUUCAUAUUCCUCCAACAAGUCCACGCAAAUAACCACAAUCAGAAUGUUAGUUCAUAACUGGCCAUAUAGAACGCAGUACAAAAGCACUAAAAGCGUCCAAGUGAAAGUGCUUUCUCCUCAUGUAGUUUCAUUUAACUUAGUUUCACAUGCCACUCCGUCACACACUCAACUCCUCAACGUUCGGGCUCAAAGCAUUCUUUAUCCCUUCUGCACGAGAGACAAUAAGUUUAAAGUUCUUGUGAUGAAAUCAUGUAAAACAUUCAGAAAUCUUGAUUUAACCCUUUAUCAAGAUCAUAGGUUGUGUCAUCUCAACUUAUAUCUUAGGUCUUAUGAGUGCUCGUAAUACACUAAUAUGACACUUGUUUUCUGGCCAGGACAGAAACAAAAUCAUGCAGGAAAUUGUCAUGACAACUUCAGUGUAAAAUAAAGGUCGUACCCAGUGCACAAGGCUCCCGCUUUACGCAGGGUCUGGGAGAGGUGAAUGUCGGCUAACCUUACCCCCAUUUAUGGAGAGGCUGCUCCCAAACAACUUCAGUGUAAAAUGCGACCGGAAAAACACUAAACAAGAUUGCUAUGCUCUCUUAGUGUAAACCUUAACAACAAAGACUAUACCGUAUCUGUCACAGUGAUAUGCGACCAUAAGCCCAACUCCAAGAGCUUUGAAGGCUACAAAUCAAAAGUUACAUGCAGUGACGACAUAAUCAUGAAAAAAUACAAUCAUAAAUUAAAGGAAAACAUACCGACUUCUAGUUCUGGCAAUUCACUAUUGGGCCAUAUAUUUGAACCACAGUAUGAUGGAUACCUACAAUACAGAUCACAAAUAAAAUCUGAGCAGACACAAAGUAUUAUGUUCUGUUUACACAAAAUCUGUAAGUUCUCAAAUAGGAUAAAUAAAGAUAAACAUAUCCCAGCAUAAAGACGAUUUGUCCUGGCUAAUUCUAAGAAACCUUGUAUCAAAUGUAUGAUAGUUAUUCAUAACUAACACAAACAAUAGUUUUGCCGAACAUUUCUGGUCUGAGCCGUAUACUGUGUGACCUCAGACAAAACAGAUCCCACAUGGACCCAGAUUAUGAUUGAUGUCCCUAUAGACUUUUACCUUUGAAUUAGAGAUUCAUCUGUUGUAGGGCUUCCAAUAUUGGAUUUGCAUAAAACGAGCCUUUUAACGUAUCUGCAAAACCAGAACAGAAACGGAAAAUGAAUGAUCCUACGUUCUUAGAGUUUCCAAAGAAACAAAAUUUAAAACAAAGAACAUAAAGUGAUACCAGGCUUUCCAGAUUCCAGCUUCUCUUUUCCAUGACUCCAUCCAAAAUUGUACCUAAACAUGGAUGGCAGGUAAAAAGAAGAUAAGCAAUAAGACUUUGUAAAGAUUCCCAAGAAAAGCAAUAAAACUACGUAAAUAUUAGUUAAUAAUGCCAAGACCAUAGUCUGUGACAAAUCCAAGAGUUGAGAUGAGACUAUCUUUCAGGCAGGAAUUUUUGGAAUUUUUCUCUAUUGGGACUAAAAUGAAAGCAUAACAAUGGGACUAAAAUGACUUAGCUACUAUGAGGAUCUUCAAGUUCCUUCUUCACCUCUUCGGGCAGAUUGGCUAAUCUAAUAAACGAAAAGAAAACUCCCAUGAGCAGUGCUAUAACAAACUAUCUUCCUAAAUUCAUUAUGAAUUGCAGUUAAAACUUAAAAUGAACAUGAAAAUCCUACGUAGAAGGGAUAUACCUAGGUGACAAGCCUAGAAGAUUCUCACGCAAGGAAGAAUAUCCCGGAACCUACUGCCAUUAAGGUUGUUAUUAAUAUCAAUUCAUGUAUAUUUCCGCAUGUGUCAUAUUAUUAAGUUAGACAGUGAAAAAUAUAUAUCGGAUGUUAUGAGAAUAUGUGUGGCUGUCAAGCUUGACACGUGAAUAACAUGCUCUCUACUACUUUAUUACACUGUGAAGAUUUUAUCCAAAAUUAAUUGACGAUGAGCGAAUAAACUGAAAGAUUAUGCGCUACUUUGAUUAUGCAACGAGUGAAGAGGCAAUUUACGCCAACCUCCAGUCAAGAAUUUGGACUCACAAUCACUAGCCAAUAUGCUUUUUUCUCACAUUUCCCCUGACACGGCAAGUUCAUUGUUCAAUAUUCUGGUUCUGGUGUCCUAUGACCCUGACACGGCAAGUUCCACUUUUUGUUCAUUUUCUUGACGAAACCAUCACACUUACCCUUACGGCACGGCACGGUUCCGGGCAUAGAGCAUGGAUUGGGUUUCGUUGCAGUCCCGACACUACUUAGCACUGUAGAGAAGGAAAUACAAAGACAAGUUUGGAUUUCUUACAACGUAUUGAGUCUCUCGUCAUGGCUCUUGCUGUGUUGUUCUUAUUUCACAUCCUGUUUCUCGAGUUUGGUGUUUCCGGUUGCAAAUUUGGUUCGGCAGUGUAGUGCUCAAGAGAGGGGACUGUCUCACAUUGUUCCAAGCAGACACAGGCGGUUGACAACGAUUGCGAUAAUGUGUUUUUCUACUGGGAGAACAUACAGCAGUCAGCAGUCAUCUUUUCACAACCGUCUUCAGUAUUUGGAGGCACCUCAAGAAAUUAUCAAGGACAAACGAAUGUAGAAAAGAAGAAAUAUCGAAGUUAGUUGACAAAAGGGGCCGAAAAAUUGUGAGAUACAGAGAAGAAGAUUAGACGAAACUCGAUGCAAAUUUUAAGCUAGAUUAGUUAUUUUUCAUUAACGAGCGAUACAGAGAAGAAGAAACAGCUGCAUUUGGAGAAAGCUGCUUUAGUUGCCUAGUUUGUAACAUUAGCUUUCUGUAAUUCCGGGGAAGAAACAGGAGUAAAAAAAAAACACAAUCAGGCAGUACCAAAAAAGAAAAAUGUACAAUUAGGAACAAUCGCCACUUCUCAAACUUUGUAGUAGAUCCAGGUAUCUGAUGGACUCGGGGCUAAUGUACCUGCAUUAACAAGAAACAAAAAUCAGAUUUGUGGAAGGGAGUCACAUAGUGGUUAAAAUACUUGGCCGUGCAUGAAUGGUUUGAGAUACCAUCAUAGAGGCAUCCUCCAGGUGUGAGUUUCUCUCGUAUCUGAUCACUUAUUAUAAGAAUAUCAGUAGUGAAAGUGAAAUACCCGUGUCGGGAAAGGAAGUCAAUGAUGACAAAAGAGCAAUUUGGCUUGAAAUAUUGUGUCCUCCGUAUGAUGCUUGCAACAUGCAUCACCGAAUCCACUUGAAGCUCUCCACCUCUCCAUCUGUUAAAUGUUUCAUAAGCAGCAUUGUUAAAGUUCUCUCUAUUUGGGGGGAUAUUGCAGAUGGUUUUGAAUGAAGAAAGGCAAAAAUUCAUGCAGAAGGCAUAAUUUACAACUAGUUUUGUAAAAGCUAAGCUCUAAAGGUCUCACCUUGAUUCUUUGGCACAAAUAGCUAAAGUUUUGAGAUGGGACAAAAUGGGUCCCAAGACCCACAUACAGCGCAUCCGAUGGUGUUGAAAUCCUUUUCCCAGUAAGUCAAAGAUAAGCGCCAAGAAAGACAUGACAGUGUUAAACUUAAAACAAAUACAGAACUAAGAAUUGAUGCAUGAAUCAAACAGAGAAAUGGUACAGGCCAUUCUCUUUAUAUUCUUAUAAUCUAAACAUUUCUCCUUAUCAACACUGGAAAAACAGCUUGCUUCAGUCAUAGGAAAUAAAUUGCGCCUGGAGUAUAGAAAAGACAUACCUACAGAUCCUCCUCCUGGACUCUUUGCCGCUAUACGUGAAAACCCAACAUCUGGGAACAAACAAAUUACAUUCUCUGCCAUAGCAAGAACAGUCCUCUGAAAUGUAUCCAUACAAAGUUAAGACACAAAAAAUUCAAAAAGGCAAUGUAAUUCACAACAUUGACAAUCUCUGUCUGACAAGGCAAUAAUACCUCUGUAAUGAUCUGGUAGUGACCGUGACCUGAUAGGCCAACACCAAAGCCCAUUGUUAUGCCAUCCAUGAAGAUAGGGCUUCUUGUACUCAGAGAUUUUGCAUAUUAGAGAAUACUCAGCAGUGAAUACCUGAAAAACAUGCAGCACAAGUAUCAUACCGGUAGCCUCUCAAUCUUAAGAAAUGGUAGCUUAGAAAAGAUAUGAAUCCUAUCCAACCAAUACAAAUCAUAUUACCCAAGUUCAAGCAAAAUCACGACUAAACAAAUGAUCAGAUGUUGUAGGUUGCCCGAGAAUGUCAAACAUGAAAUUACAAAAGAAAAAAAAACAAUCGUAUGUAUUGAACAUUAAUAAAUACUUGCUGAAAGCACAAUCUUAGCUGCAAUUUAUGACAUUUAUACGAGAUUGAAUAGCCAAAGCAAUUAAAGAAGUAGCAGAACUCAUAUAAGUGAUUUUCACUUUGAACUUUUAGGCUUAUCAGCAAAUACAUCAUUACGAUUCUAACGCAUGAAUUUUGUUAAAAGGGGCUUGCUUGCUUGUAUUAAGGCUUAAUCAUCAAUGAUUUUGCAAGGGUCAAUCGUCUUGCUAGUUGUAAAUCCAUGCACUAUGAAAAUUACCAAAAUUACAUCUUAUAUGGUAGAGAAGGAAGUCAUCUUAUAUUAUCUGGAUUUUAGAAGACGGUGUAAGGUUAUAAGUCUGUUAUUCUAUAUAGUUUAAAGGACACAAUUAGACAACAAUCAUAUUCGGUGGUUGGUUUUUGGCCGUGAUCUGCUUCACAUCACCGCCCGCAGGUAAUCUAAAUCUGGGUUAUUACUUAUCAAUGAAUCAAAGUGCCAACUUAUCGGACACCAACUAUCUCUCUAUGGCAAAAAAAUAACACAAAAAGGAACAAUGAAGUGAAACAAUAAACAACAUGACAUGAAACAGCACAAACAUCAAAGACCAACAAUCUAUCACAUAAGCACCUAAACAAGAAACAACUUUAGUUCAAAGCAAAGCGUAAUGUAGAAACCUUCAGCACAAGAGGCGUGUUUUUGUCCUUUUGAAUUUCGGCAACAACAACUUUAAUAUCCUUACCUGCAUUUACCAUGAUUGGUCACUCUCAAAACCUUACCUAAGAGACCCAAAAACCAAAAUAACUGCUAAAAGAGCUGAACAUACAUAUCUAGAAAAACUUAUUCAACUACAUGCUAAAAUGGAAGUGUAAAAUUGCCAGGAAAGAUAAGAAACUAUUCAAAUACGAGUUCUGGGCGUUACCGCCACAAAAGGCACGAGCCGAGCGGCUAUCAACAAGAACACACUUCACAUUUGGGUCAGAUUCCCAUUCAUCCAGAUAGCUCUUGUAUUUCACAUCCAAAUCUGCAUUUUCCAACAAUUCCCACUUAAACAGAAACACAAAAUUCUUCCAAAAAGAGCUAACUUCUUUGAAAUUUGAAUCCAACGUUUCGUCUUAUAACAAAUGCAAUAACAUAGAUUUGUAAUCAAUACGAUGCCAUAAAGUUCAAGCUCAAAAAUUCAAAUCAUCUCCAAAUCAAAAGCAAUUACAGAUAUAUACAUAUAUACAUAUGCGUGUGUGUGUUUAUCUACAUACCUAGGUUUAUGGCGUUGAGAGCUCGGGGGGCGACCGAGGGUGAUGACGGCGACGCCAAAGGUGCGGAGAAGGCGAGGGGAUUUGGAGGGUUUUGUAAAGAGGGGAUUUGCUCAGAAUUUGGGUCGCUCGUCCCUCUUAUGAGAGUGAUUCAAAAAUCGAAAAAGUUGAAAUUUAUUGAUUGUGAUCUGACUCAAACAUGUGAUGAUGACGAUGCAUCACAACCUUGGUUGUGCCUCUGGAUCAAAAUCCUGUUCCAUCAAAUUCGUGCUCAUUUUCCUUCAUAGGUUUGUCCCAUACUAGAUUAACCCCUGUUCCCUUAAUUGUCACAUUACCAUAUUUACUGUAUGGCUCUGGCAUUUCAAAAGUUAUAUCAACUUUAUCCCCGCUUUGCAAAUUGAGCUUAUCAUUCGAUAUUUGUCCCUGCCAAAGAUAACAUUUUCCAGAUACAUUGCACAUUUUUAUAACCCAAUCUUCUUUGCCUAUGUAGGUCUGCAACUCAGUACGCUUGGUAUUAUUUAUAUCAAUAUUGGCACGAGGAUGACAUUCUCCACAACUGGCAUAAGGGCUUCUUGACUCAUUAGUAUUUGAGCAGUAAAAGCAUAAUAGAGUCAGUCCUUCCAAAUUACGACCAUCACUCGGGAGGAUAUCAAAACUGACUUUAUUACCAUCGUUGACAAACUCGAACCAAUCAGGAACAUAAUUCCCAUUGAGAAAAAUGCCAUCACUUGGGAGGAUAUCAAAACUGACUUUAUUACCAUCGUUGACAAACUCAAACCAAUCAGGAACAUCAGGAACAUAAUUCCCAUUGAGAAAAAUGCCAUCACUCGGGAGGAUAUCAAAACUGACUUUAUUACCAUCGUUGACAAACUUGAACCAAUCAGGAACAUAUUUCCCUUUGAAAAAAAUAUCCGCAAGAAGUCCAUCCCUACAUAUACAGUGCAAGUGUCAUAUUUAUAUAUAUACACACACACAAUGUACAUGUGCGUUGUGUGUGUGCAUGUGCGCAAUAGGAAGACAAUUAAAGAGAGAUACCUUUAGGACGUUACUCAUAAAACCAGCGGUGAGUUUGGGGCAGUACCUCAUAUUAAAAUGUCGUGGAGUUUAAUGACUUAUCCAAGUCUGGAACCUCAGUGAGUGCGCGUGAAUCACAUACAUGUAGCUCUCUCAUAUUCGACAUUUUCGAAAAAUUGGGCAUUGUUACCAAACGGGAGCAAUCAGACGCAUACAGAAAUUUCAAAUUUGUUGGUAAACCAUAGAUUGUAUGAAGGUUACGGCAGUAAUUUAACUGCAAACGUUCAAGCUUUGAAAAACCAAUGAGGCUGGGUAAGGUAUGAAAAUCAUUACAUGUGAGACACAAAUCUUGCAAAGAAAUUAGACUCCCAAAAUCUUUUGGGAAUGCAUCAUCGCUUAAGCGCUGGAAUGAGAGAUCUAAAUUUCUUAAAGAGUCUAAGCCGUGUAACGAAUUGGGAAAUUGUGUGACAUGCCCCCUUAAAAUGAAAUCAGUGGUAAACCAUGAUUUCCGUAGAAAUAAAUGAGUGAGAUUCUUCAAUCUUACUGUGGAACGCGGUACUUGUCUUAUGGCUGUUUCAGACGCUUUAAGUACUCUCAAUGAUAUCAUCUUCCCUAAAUCCUCGGGCAGUUCAUUGAAUCGCCUACAAAAAUCAAGAACAAGAGUCUGAACGGAUUUGGACUUGUAGAAAUCCCCAGGAAGAGAAAUAAGAUUAUGGCAGCAUGUGAGGUUCACCAAAGAAAGUUUUUUAAGCUGACCAAUGGAGGGGUGAAUCUCGAACAAACUCUCACACCUUCCCAAUAUCAACUCUUCAAGACUUGGGAGAUUUGAUAAGUCUGGUGAUUUUUUUAAGUCACAGCAAUUACUGAGAUUAAGGAUUUUCAAGUUUUCAAGCGACUGUUGCACAAAAUCCAAAAGGUCAUACCCAGUGCACAAGGCUCCCGCUUUACGCAGGGUCUGGGAGAGGUGAAUGUCGGCUAGCCUUACCCCCAUUUAUGGAGAGGCUGCUCCCAAGUCUCGAACCCGAGACCUACCGCUUAUGGGCGAAGGCAUUUGUCAUCGCACCAAGUGCGACCUCUUUGGGGAAAUCCAAGAAAAAUUAAAAUUAAUAUCCAAAAGGAAUAUCUCAUAAAAUAAAUAAAUAAAUAAAUAAAUAAAGAGAGAAGGAAAUCCAAAAACAAAUAGAAACUUAACAUCAUCAUGUGUAAUCGAUUGUACCUUGGAGCCCUCCCAAACUUGUACCAGUUUGCUAUGCUUUAUCUCUAAAAUAACUAGUGUUCUUGGUUGAUCAAAGAAGUCAUCUGGUAUGGACUCUAAAAGGUAUCCUUCCCAACGCAACCAUACUAACUCUUUGGGGAGAUGUUUGUAUUCUCCAUUGAGCUGCACGUUCUGGAGCAUGAGCAGUCUCAGUUUCUUCAUAUUAGCAAAUGCUUCUGUACUGAUACAACUAGACUUUAAAGGGAAUUCUCCACGGAGCUGCACGCGGUGGAUCAGUCCCAGUUCCCUCGAAUUGGUAGGGAAACUUACAACAAGUCCUUCAACUUCUUUAGUUCCCUGUUAACAACACAUUAUACUGGGUAAGAAAAGGAUUAUGUGCAUCUAUUUUACGUGAUUUUGCUAAUUGAGCUUCUUAAUGCAAAUACAUAUAUUUACACAUGAAUUUUUUAAUGUAUAAUAGGCAUACGUGGGUUACAUAUAUGCUUUUCUUGUACGAUGCAUUAAUACAAAUUUUUUUUGGGAAUCUACUUACAGAUUUAUUUGUUAGUACAUCAUAGACAUCUCCAGGGAUCCACAACCUGCUCCAUUCUCCAGGGGGACGAGUGGAUUUUUCAGAAAUGAUUAAUUUGGCCAUUUCUCGAAGCAAAUCAUGCAUAUUCAACUUCUUGUCUUCAACAGUUAUAAGGCAUCGUUCACGGAGGUUACUGAUUCCUAUUGUUGCAAAAAACUUACAUUCAUCUAAUAUUUUUGCGACAUCGUCCUUAUCCCAUCCAAUAAAGAAACAAGAUAUGUCAAGGAAUAUAUCCUUCUGCGUAGGAUCUAGCCUUUCAAAGCUUACUUUUAGCGGUUUCAUUAUUCCUUCAUCAUGAAAUUUUUUCAAUUUCUUCAAUUGACUUUUCCACUCUGCUGGGGUUCUUUCAGUCAUAGAAGAACCUAAAACUUCAAGGGCUAGUGGCAAACCACCACAGUAAGAAACCACCUCUUUUGAGAGUUCAAGAUAUCCUUCAUUAGGCCAACUAUUUCCAAAGGCAUGCCAACUAAAGAGCAUCAGGGCUUCUUCUUCAUUCAUUUCUUGAAGCGGAUAUGUCUUGUCCACUUUCAUGUUCACUUGCUUUAGUAAACGUUCAUCUCGUGUCGUUAUGAUAAUUCUACUUCCUGGGCCAAACCAAUCACGAUUUCCAGCCAUUGCAUUUAGUUGUUCCACUUUGUCUACAUUGUCAACAAUGACAAAUACGCUUCUACGUCGGAGAUGAUUUUUUAUCAGACUGAUACCUCCAUCAACACUGGUUAUCUUAUUAGACUCGGUCUGUUUCAAGAUGUCAGAAACAAGUUUUCUUUGCAAAUCAACCAGAUCAUAUUCGCUAACGUUGGCAAGGAAACUUUUGAACUGGAACUUAUGAUGAAUUUGGUUAUAAAUGGCUUUGGCAGCUGUUGUUUUACCCAAUCCACCCAUCCCCCAAAUUCCAACCAUGCGUACAUCUGAUCCACCAUUUGAAAGAUAAGUGAUGAUAUCUUGAAUGCGGGUAUAUAUUCCAACUGGGUGCUUGGCCACAUGUAAUUUUUCUGCGCUCGGAAGCCAUUCCGGGAUAAUCUUGUCAACAAUUUCUCUAAUAAGCUUUGCUUCGCGCCUGAAAAUUGAAUUCGUAAGCGUUAGUGGGACUCAAUGAACAGUAGGAGCUAUCAGUACAUAGACAAUUGUCUUUACUUCAUAAAAGAAAGAAAUUCAUUCACUAAAAUGUUUCAAAACUUGAAAAGCAGGUGAAUGAUUACCCAUUGUUAGUGAUUUGAAGAUGUUGGCCAAACAAAUUUGCAGCUUCUGUAAGAGCCUUUCUCCAUUGCUUUACCCUUUCUUGUUUAGCUUCACGUUCCUUGUCAUCUUUUUCUUCAUGGAUGCCCUCUUCGUGCUUCUGAAAUGCUUGAGCUAAAUCUCCGUUCUGCUUCCUAAUGUGAAGGAUCAACAUGAUAGAAUAUUGGCAAAACACGUCGCCCCAGUUUGUAUCUGCACUCCAUGAUCUUCACCAGCUCGUCAAGACACCAACUCGAGUCCGCAUAACUCUUUGAGAAGACAAUGAUAGAGAUCCUCGCCUCUUUGAUUGCCCGGACCAGUUCCUCUUUUAUUUCUUCCCCUCUUUCUAGAUCGUCCUCAUCGAUAUAAGCCUGGUAUCCCCUGUCAGUUAAUGCCGCAUGGAGGUGGCCCGUGAAACCAUUGCGUGUGUCUACACCGCUGAAUCUCAAGAACAUGUCGUAAUUCCAAAGUUUUGACUUGGAGGACGAUGAAGAGGAGGCUUCGUGGGUCGUCAUGGCGGUAUCCACCGUUAUGGCACUGCAGUGGUUCAGAUCACGACUGAAAAAUGGCAGUAGUUGUGCUCAUGCUGUCGAACGAAUGAUCCUGAAAUACCUAAAACCCAAGUCAAGCUCCUUCAGUCAACAAGAAUAAAGUUUUAAUAUAAUAAUGUUGGUGUAUGGACUUGAGAAACGACAUAAUGUUGGCCGGAAAGUGCAGAGAAAGAGAGAGGAAAAGAGGAACAAAAGGAGAAAGACUAUCCAAAUGAUUCUUGGCUGUGAUUACAGCUAUUCAUAGGAGAAACAACGUACAUAUUUUCAUAGGAGAAACAACUUGCCCAUCUUCAUAUAUAAUACAUUUCAACAGACAUAUUUUAAUAGGAGAAACUAGGGGUGGGCAAACGGGUCCAGGAACCGCAGGUCGGGGCGGGUAAUGGCGGUUCAGGGCGGGUACAGGCCGGGUCUUAUUUUUUUAAAGAAGAAACGGGGUGGGGGCGGGGAGGUGGUAUUUAUGGGGCGGGUCGAGUUCAAAUUUGUACAAGCAUGGGGCCCCGGGCCGACCCGUUCCUAAAAUGGACUGAUUGGAACCUGGACAAUAUGUUGUGGGCUUACUACACAAGGCAAUGGCCCAUGUGGGCUUACUGCUCGAAUACUCUAGAAACUAUGAUCCGACUCCUAUCUCUCCUGGAUCGAUCCCCAAAUCCCACUACUCUCUCUCCUCGUCGGCAUCACCGAACACAGAACCACCGAUUCACCACCAUCGUCACCCAUCACCGCCGUGGCGACCAUCACCAUCGCAGACGCUAUUAACCGUUAGUUUCACCCUAGGUCUCCCCUAUGUCUAUCACUCAAGUCCUCGAUCGUUUCUCUCCCGCGUGCGUCAUUCCCUCCACGGUUCUUCCACUACACUCUGUCACUCUCCGUCACUCUCCGUCAGUCACCUCCUCCACCACCCCGACAUCAACCCCGUCGCGAGUCUGGGCCCUGGCGACCACCACGACGAGCCAGCAACCUCGAUUGUCUUCCUCGAGUCCUCGAUGGCAUCCCAGAUUUAGAGAACUUUAGGGUUCUCUUUCUCCCUCCCACCCCUCGAAUCGACUGCGUCGACAUCAAAUCAGCCACCACACGAGUCACGAGGCUUCAAAUUCGGCUGGUGACUGCCCAAUCUGGUGCGACUCAACCGAUUCCGAGCGCUCUUGACUCUGUCGACGAAGAAGAAGAAGAGAAGAAAAAAAAAAAUAACCCGUGGACCCGGGCCGGGUUAGGUCAGGUUUCUGUGUUAAAAUUAGUUGUACCCGCCCCUGCCCGACCUGUUUCUUUUAAACCUGGGUCCGGCCGGUCCCUUCAAAAUUGGGCCCGGCCCUGGGCCCGGCCCGGCCCAUGCCCAGCCCUAGGAGAAACAACUUUAGUUUUUACUAGAAAUUUUUACCCACACGUUGCUACAGGAUUUGAAAUUGUAUAAAAGAUUAUCUUUGAAAUAUAUAAUAGAUUGUGUGAUUGAAGAUUAAUACUAUUUACACUGAAAACGUUGGGAAAAGUUUUACAUACAAAAGAUUUUACAAUACAAUCCACAUACAAAAGAUGGUAAAUUUUUUUCUAUCUACAUGCAUUAUGUUAUGGAAUGAUAUAUAUAUAACUAAGUUCCAGAAUACGUAAAUUUCAUAAUUUCGAAUUUUUUUGACAAAUUAAUCAGAUUCAACUGUGGGAUAGAAAGGUCGCCUAUAAAGUUGUGAAGUCGUGGAAGCAUAAAGGACAAAUAACAAAUGAGUUUUGAGAAAUUAUUCCACAAAAGUCAUUUUGCAAAAUGCAAAUGUAUUAAAGACGAUUGGUACAAGAUUAGUAAUCAUAAGUAGUGUAACAACAUCAACAAAAUAACUAUAAACCAUAGUUGAACAUAAUUCAAAUUUCGUUUGCAAAAACAAAAGAAAAAGAAAGAAAACAUACUUACAAUAAUUCAGCCUUUAAUCCUAAAGUCCUACUCAAAGAUCCAAACUUGAAUGCAAGCUUUCUGAAAUCUUCCAAACAAUACAGAUAAAAAGGUAACACCCUAGUCAGAAAUGAACCAAGGUGCGAGCUUUCUUAGAAACUCAGAUGAAAAAAUCAACAAAAUAGAAUGAAAAAAUGACUUACACUUUUAAGGCAUGCUCGAAUCGUGAUCUAAAAUUGGUGGUGGGUCGAUUGUUGGUCACCAACUCUAAAUGAAGAAUUCAUCAGAACCUAGAAAUUUAACAAAGAAUUUUCCAAAAUCAACAUUUACUAAAAACCAGUUACUUGGUUAUCAUGCAUGAUGGCUUGCCAAAGACUAAAUUAAGGAAUGCACAACUUUACCUUUAUGAUAUUUUCAAUGACAGCUAAAAGGUCAGAUUCAAAUGAAAAUAAAAGUUAGGACUUCACAAAACCAAUUAAAAAUCUAAUUCCAAAGUUACAAACACCAACCAAAUGAUUCCAGAUAAAGUUUUAAACUCAAAGUCAGACCCAAAUGAAAUUAAAAGUUAGGACUUCACAAAACCAAUUGAAAAUCUGAUUCCAAAGUUCCAAACACCCACCAAAUGAUUCUGGAUAAAGUUUAAACUCAAAAACCCAACAGAAACAAAAACCCAAAGUUCCAAACACCCACCAAUUGGUGUGACUUAAUUGUAUCUAAUUGAAGAAACUAAAACAAAAAUAAAGCAAAGUAUAUACCUCAAAAUAUCAACCAACUAAGUUCUUCCUCCGACAACCCAAAACUCUGAAAAUUCCACACAAAAAGGGUAAAUCCGUAAGCAAUUCAUAGCUUUCAAAAUUAACAAAAACUUGGGCAACAAUAAAGACACGUUGAGAACCAUCACUCUUUCUCCUUGUGUAUUUGAAAAUAUAUUUUAUAAGCAGUUUAUGUAGUCAUUCUGAUCAUGUUGCAGUUAAAUUCCUUUUCCACAGAGUUCAAAAUUAUAUGGCAGUUUAUGGCAUCUGUUGAACAACAUGGUUGAAAGAUUUAAAAUUGAUACAUUCAAUUUUUAUGUGUAAAACUAUAACAUAUACCUAAAGCUAUUUGGUCUAUAUAUCCAUAUCAAUCAUGUUGUAAUUAAAUGUUUAUCGAUGUAAAUAGAUGAUUUCAGUCAUGUGAUAACAUGUUUCUUGUUAGUAUACGCUGAAGUUUGGUCUAAGUUGGAUAAAAAUCGACCAAAAUCUUAGUAAGAGACUCUUUUAACUUUUAACCAAAAAAUGAGCACCACAAUACUACACUCAUAAGUUUUAUCAUGCACAAAAUAUACAACACUGAUAGCCACUUUUAGAGCAAGAACAAUACUUUACCAGACGAAAACAACAAAACACUCAAAACCCAGAAACAGAAACACACUUAGGACUCAAACUCCUCAAAAACAUAAGAAAGAGAGUGCAUGAGGAGAGAGAAUAAAAAAAAAUAUUAUUUUUCACAAACUCAAAAUUGCUUAUAAAAUUACAAAUCAAAACAAAUGAAUGCAAAUCCAAAAUUGCCCUAAAUUAAAUCUGUUUAGUUAAAUGUUUGUUGCCCUUCAAAUGUCAUUACACCUGACAAUUGCUUUGAAGUUGAUAUUUUGGUCAAUCCAGGGGAAAAGGAGUUAUUUCUUUUGGAGCAGUUGUCAUGGAGAAUCCCAUCUCCAUGUUGAAUGAUCUAAAAAAUUACUUACAUCUUCUGGUGGCCACAAUAAUUUAGGAGGCCCUUCUCUCCAGAUUUUCUCAAUAACUUUGCUUUUCGUAGCUGGUAAGAUUGCAACUCCAAGAAUUGCUCUGAAGAGAUAUAUACAAACAAAAUCAACCUAAAACUAAGCUAUUGGAACAAAUUUGGAAAACACAAACACCACUACAACUCAGAGUUAAAGUCAAUAGAAACCAAAUGGGAGAAGUUGAAAAAAUAUAUGGUCAUGAAUCGAGAACUUCAUCAAACUAACAGCAAUAAAAUCUCAUAUAAUCUGUCUAAAACCAAAAGAGAGAGAGAGGUAAUUUCAAGACCUUGUAACGCUAAGGCCUCGUACAGUUGUAGUAAUAAUAUAUGGUUGAUGCACCUGUUGCUCAAUCAAAUCCUUUGUCUGGCUAAAAAAAUAAAAAUCUAUAAAUACAUUCACGUCCAAUUUAUGAGAAAUCAUGGGAAAGCAAAUGCACUGAUAACGGAAUCAUGAAUAUGAAGAACUUGCCAAAAAGAAAAAGAAAACUUCUUAUAGUGUGCCAAGAACAUCCUCCUACUCCUAGCAAAUUUUUUAUGGCAUUAUCCACUUCUCAAUUCAUAAUUCAACCAGUAACUCAAAGUCUAUAGUGUAUGAAAAAGUGAUAUCUUAGUUGAUCACGAUGAUAAUUAAGCAGAUUAAAUGACGACCCAUAAAGCAUACAAAUUCAGAAAAGAAAAGGUUCAAAACUGCCAUAAGAAAACACAGAAUAUAUAAACGGGAAAUCAAAAGAAGAGAAGCGAAAAGGAAGAAAAAACCAAACAAAAUUAUUAGGUUUGUGAUAUACCUUUAUCCGAAACGCCACAAUCAUCAAAGUCAAACAUAAACAAUCCAAAAAUUUGUGGAAAAUAACAAUAAAUGCUUAACUAAAAACGAAAGAAAACGUAGAAUAAGUUUACAUGUUCUCCCCCUAAUUAAACUGGAAUACAAUUCACCACUAAUAUUCUCGUCAUCCUCUUCAGCCUGAAAAAUUUAGUAGAAAUAUUCAAUGAAGACGCUUAAUGGAGACAGUAAUAUUAGCAAUGGAGGAAUUGAAUUGAUAACUAAAACUGCAAGACCAAAUGACUACAAUAGGUUCACAACAGAAACUCGUCUGUUAGAUGUCUCAUCUUUAGGCAGUGCCUUGUUCUUUUUUUUUCUUUUUUGUCCUUUUGAAUUUCGGCAACAACAACUUUAAUAUCCUUACCUGCAUUUACCAUGAUUGGUCACUCUCAAAACCUUACCUAAGAGACCCAAAAACCAAAAUAACUGCCAAAAGAGCUGAACAUACAUAUCUAGAAAAACUUAUUCAACUACAUGCUAAAAUGGAAGUGUAAAAUUGCCAGGAAAGAUAAGAAACUAUUCAAAUACGAGUUCUGGGCGUUACUGCCACAAAAGGCACGAGCCGAGCGGCUAUCAACAAGAACACACUUCACAUUUGGGUCAGAUUCCCAUUCAUCCAGAUAGCUCUUGUAUUUCACAUCCAAAUCUGCAUUUUCCAACAAUUCCCACUUAAACAGAAACACAAAAUUCUUCCAAAAAGAGCUAACUUCUUCGAAAUUUGAAUCUAACGUUUCGUCUUAUAACAAAUGCAAUAACAUAGACUUGUAAUCAAUACGAUGCCAUAAAGUUCAAGCUCAAAAAUUCAAAUCAUCUCCAAAUCAAAAGCAAUUACAGAUAUACACAUGUAUACAUAUGCGUUUGUGUGUUUAUCUACAUACCUAGGUUUAUGGCGUUGAGAGCUCGGGGGGCGACCGAGGGUGAUGACGGCGACGCCAAAGGUGCGGAGAAGGCGAGGGGAUUUGCUCAGAAUUUGGGUCGCUCGUCCCUCUUAUGAGAGUGACUCAAAAAUCGAAAAAGUUGAAAUUUAUUGAUUGUGAUCUGACUCAAACAUGUGAUGAUGACGAUGCAUCACCACCUUGGUUGUGCCUCUGGAUCAAAAACCCACCAUCACCAUCAAAAUCGUGCUCAUUUUCCUUCAUAGGUUUGUCCCAUACUAGAUUAACCCCUGUUCCCUUAAUUGUCACAUUAUCUAAUGUAACGUAUGGCUCUGGCAUUUCAAAAGUUAUAUCAACUGUAUCCCCGCUUUGCAAAUUGAGCUUAUCGUUCGAUAUUUGUCCCUGCCAAAGAAAACAUUCUUUAUAUACAACAUCGCGCAUGAGGUUUUUUCUUUUUUUGGCGUAACAAUCGCGCAUUUUUAUAACCCAAUCUUCCUUGCUUAUGCAGGUCCGCAACUCAGUACGCUUGGUAUUAUUUAUAUCAAUCCUGGCAAGAGGAUGACUAUCUUUACAUCUGAUAUAAGGGCCGAACUGAGAAGGACUUGAGCAAUAAAAGCAUAACAGAGUCAGCCCUUCAAAAUUACAACCAUCACUCGGGGGGAUAUCAAAAGUGAUUUUAUUACCAUCGUUGACAAACUCGAACCAAUCAGGAACAUAAUUCCCAUUGAGAAAAAUGCCACCAUAUCCGCAAGAAGUCCAUCCCUAUAUACACAGUGCAAGUGUCAUAUAUAUAUACAUGUACAUGUGCGUUGUGUGUGUGCAUGUGCCCAAUAGGAAGACAAUUAAAGAGAGAGAUACCUUUAGGACUUUCCUCAUAAAAUCAGCGGUGAGUUCGGCGCAAUACGUCAUAUCAAUCCAUGUCAUGGAGUUUAAUGACUUAUCCAAGUCUGGAACCUCAGUGAGUGCAUGUGAAUCACGUACAUUUAGCUCUCUUAUAUUCGACAUUUUCGAAAAAUUUGGCAUUGUUAUCAAACGAUAGCAACGAGACGCAUCCAGAAAUUUCAAAUUUGUUGGUAAACCAUAGAUUGUAUGAAGGUUAUGGCAGUAACCUAACCACAAAUUUUCAAGCUUUGAAAGACCACUGAGGCUGGGUAGGGUAUGAAAAUCAUUAGAUGAGAGAUCUAAAUUUCUUAAAAAGUCUAAGCUGAGUAACGAAUCGGGAAAUUGCAAAUGAGUGAGAUUCGUCAAUCCUAGAGAUAAAUGAGUGAGAUUCUUCAAUCUUACUGUGGAACGCGGUACUUGUCUUAUGGCUGUCUCAUAUGCUUUAAGUACUCUCAAUGAUAUCAUAUUCCCUAAAUCCUCGGACAGUUCACUGAAUUGCCCACAAAAAAUCAAGAACAAGAGUCUGAACGGAUUUGGACCUGUAGAAAUCCCCAGGAAGAGAAAUAAGAUUCUUGCAGCCUGUGAGGUUCACCAAAGAAAGUUUUUUAAGAUGACCAAUGGAGGGGUGAAUCUCGGACAAACUCUCACACCAUUCCAAUAUCAACUCUUCAAGACUUGGGAGAUUUGAUAAGUCUGGUGAUUUUUCUAAGUCAGAGCAACCACUGAAAUCAAGGAUUUUCAAGUUUUUAAGCGACUGUUGCACAAAAUCCAAGAAAAAUUAAAAUUAAUAUCCAAAAGGAAUAUCUCAUAAAAUAAAUAAAUAAAGAGAGAAGGAAAUCCAAAAACAAAUAGAAACUUAACAUCAUCAUGUGUAAUCGAUUGUACCUUCGAGCCCUCCCAAACUUGUACCAGUUUGCUAUACUUUAUCUCUAAAAUAACUAGUCUUGGUUGAUCAAAGAAGUCAUCUGGUAUGGACUUUAAAGGGCAUUCAUUCCAACACAACCAUAUUAACUCUUUGGGGAGAUGUUUGUAUUCUCCAUUGAGUUGCACGUUGUAGAGCUGGAGCAGUCUCAGUUUCUUCAUAUUGGCAAAUGCUUCUGUACUGAUACUUGGAGACAGAAGAUCAGGGAAACCUACAACAAGUCCUUCAACUUCUUUAGUUCCCUGUUAACAACACAUUAUACUGGGUAAGAAAAGGAUUAUGUGCAUCUAUUUUACGUGAUUUUGCUAAUUGAGCUUCUUAAUGCGAAUACAUAUAUUUACACAUAAAGGUCGUACCCAGUGCACAAGGCUCCCGCUUUACGCAGGGUCUGGGAGAGGUGAAUGUCGGCUAGCCUUACCCCCAUUUAUGGAGAGGCUGCUCCCAAGUCUCGAACCCGAGACCUACCGCUCAUGGGCGAAGGCACUUGCCAUCGCACCAAGUGCGACCUCUGAAUACAUAUAUUUACACAUAAAUGUUUUUAAUGUAUGACAGCUAUACGUGGGUUACAUAUUUGCUUUUCUUGUACGAUGCAUUAAUACAAAAUUUUAUAGGGAAUGUACUUACAGAUUUAUCUCUCAAUACAUCAGUGACCUCCUGCUGGUUCCACAACCUACUCCAUUCUCCAGGGUGACGAGGGGAUUUUUCAGAAAUGAUUAAUUUGGCCAUUUCUCGAAGCAAAUCAUGUAUAUUCAACUUGUUGUCUUCAACAGUUAUAAGGCAUCAUUCACGAAGGACACUCAUUCCUAUUGUCGCAAAAAAGUCACAUCCAUCUAAUAUUUUUGUGACAUAGUCAUUAUCCCAUCCAAUGAAGAAACAAGAUAUGUCAAGGAAUAUAGCCUUCUGUUUAUCAUCUAGCCCUUCAAAGCUUAUUCUUAGUCGUUGUAUUAUUUCUCCUUCAGGAGUUGUUUUCAAUUUUACCAAUUGAUUUUCCCACUCUGCUAUGGUUCUUCCAAUUAAAAAAGUGCCUAAAACUUCAAGUGCUAGUGGCAAACCUCCACAGUAAGAAACGAUCUUCCUUGAGAGUUCAAGAUAUCCUUCAUUAGGCCAACAAUUUCUAAAGGCAUGCCAACUAAAGAGCUCCAGAGCUUCUUCUUCAUUCAUUUUAUGAAGCGGAUAUAUCUUGUCCACUCCAACUUGGCGUAGUAAAUGUUCAUCUCGUGUCGUUAUGAUAAUUCUACUUCCUAAGCCAAACCAAUCACAAUUUCCAGCUAUUGCAUUUAGUUGUUUCAUUUUGUCUACAUUGUCAAUAAUGACAAGUACGCUUCUACGUUGGAGAUGAUAUUUUAUCAGGCCGAUACCUUCAUCAACACUGGUUAUCUCAGGCUUGGUCUGUUUCAAGAUGUCAGAAACAAGUUUUUUUUGCGAAACAACCAGAUCUUUUUCACUAACGUUGUCAAGGAAACUUUUGAAUUGGAACUCAUGAUGAAUUUUGUUAUAAAUGGCUUUGGCAGCUGUUGUUUUACCCAAUCCACCCAUCCCCCCAAAUUCCAACCAUGCGAACAUCAUCUGAUCCACCACUUGAAAGAUAACUGAUAAUAUCUUGAACGCGAGAAUUGAUUCCAACCAGGUGAUUGGCCACAUGUAAUUUGUUUGCUCUCCGAAGCCAUUCCGGAAUAAUCUUGUCAACAAUUUCUCUAAUACGCUGUGCUUCGCAACUGAAAAUUGAAUUGGCAAGCUUAGUAAGCUCAGUAGGAGCUAUUAGUACACAAACAAUUUUCUUUCCUUCGUGUGUGUGUGUGUGUGUGUGUGUGUGUGUGUGUGUAUACACACUAACUAGCUACUAGCUAGUAUGUGAGUUUGUGAUCAACUUCAAUAAAAGAAACAAAUUCAUUCACUGAUAUAUUAAAGUUUGGUGUAUCAAUUAAACUCAUUAUGGUUUAGAUUUUAGAAGAAAUUGGAGAAAUGGUCCAUGAACUAUGAUCGAAUUGUAGCUUUGGUUCUUAAACUAAAAAUUCAUUAAAUCUCGUCCCUGAACUUAACAAAAUAUGGAACAUUGGUCCCUCCAUGUUAACACCGUAAGAUUUUCUGUUAAUUUGAUAACGUCGUCUUUGUGGGCUCCAUAUUUUUGUUUAUUAGAUGCCACGUUGCUUGAAAAUUCAAAUAAAAGAAAAUAAAUACAAGCAUUGAGAAACAAAGAGAAAAAAAAAUACUUUAAAUUAUAAAAGUUAACUCUCUCCCAUCCUCCCUUCCGCCUCACCUUCUCCAAACCCCAGCCACACCAUUGUAGCACUUUCCCAACAGCCAAAACAAAAGAAAAGUUCCUCAUCCAAAUUUGGAACACACCUCACCUUGCAAACGACUUCACAAUGACAUUCAUCUACGCUGUCUCGAAAGGUAAGAUUCAAGAAAUUUGUGGGAUGCGGGUUCGGGGUUCGGGUGAAGGCUGUGGUCCGUGGGCUAAAGGUUGGGGUCGGCUGGGGAGUGGGGAUUAGGGAUUGGGGGUUGGAAGUGGGAGGUUGACGGGGUGGGAAUCAACGAUUGAAGGUGAAGGGGUGGGCUGCGAGCCUGCGAGUGUUGGUGGGAUGAGGUAGGCCUGCAAUUAUAUAUAUAUAUGUAUGUAUGUAUGUAUGUAUGUAUGUAUGUAUAUAUAUAUGUAUGUAUGUAUAUAUGUAUAUAUAUGUAUGUAUAUAUAAUAUAGGUGAAACUAACAUGUAAAGUUGUAAACACUUUUAACUAAAACUGAAAGGAAUUGGUUACGAAGGACUAACGCUCCAUAUUUUAUCAAGUUCAAGGACAAAAUAUAAUGAAAUUUUAGUUUAGGAACCAAAGCUACAAUUUUCCUCUAGAUUUGAUAUGAGAUUUAAGGCGUAUUAAUUAAGCAUGUUAAUUAGAGUAAUGCAACUUAGAUAUUGAAAAGCACGUGAAUGAUUACCUAUUAUCAGUGAUUUGAAGAUGGUAGCCAGACAAAUUUGCAGCUUCUCUAAGAGCAUUUCUCCACUGCUUUACCCUUUCUUGUUUUUCUUCACGUUUCUUGUCAUCUUUUUCUUUACGAAUGUUCUUUUUGUGUUUCUUAAAUGCUUGGGCUAAAACUCCAUUCUGGUUCCUGACAUGUGAAGGAUCAACGUGAUAGAAUAUUGGCAAAACAUGGCGCUCCAGUUUGUCUCUGCACUCGAUGAUCUUCAUCAGCUCAUUAAGACACCAACUCGAACUCGCAUACCUCUUUGAGAAGACAAUGAUAGAGAUCUUCGAUUCUUCGAUUGCCUGGAACAGUUCUUUUUGUAUUUCUUCCCCUCUUUUUAGAUCGUCCUCAUCAAUAUAAGCCUGGUAUCCCCUGUCCGUUAAUGCCCUGUGGAGGUGGCCCGUGAAACCAUUGCGUGUGUCUACACCGCUGAAGCUCAAGAACACGUCGUAAUUCCAAAGUUUUGACUUGGAGGACGAUGAAGAGGAGGCUUCGUGGGUCGUCAUGGCGGUAUCCACCAUUAUGGCGCUGCAGUGGUUCAGAUCACGACUGAAAAAUGGCAGUAGUUGUGCUCGUGCUGUCGAACGGAUGAUCCUGAAAUACCUAAACCCAAGUCAAGCUCCUUCAGUCAACAAGAACAAAGUUUUAAUAUAAUAAUGUUGGUGUAUGGACUUGAGAAACGACAUAAUGUUGGCCGGAAAGUGCAGAGAAAGAGAGAGGAAAAGACGAAUGAAAGGAGAAAAGACUAUCCAAAUGAUUCUUGGCUGUGAUUACAGCUAUUCAUAGGAGAAACAAUGGACAUAUUUUCAUAGGAGAAACAACCUGCCCACUUCAUUUAUAAUAUAUUUCAACAGAGAUAUUUUAAUAGGAGAAACAACUUUCGUUUGUACUAGAAAUUUUUACCCGCGUGUUGCUACGUGAUUUGAAAUUGUAAGAAAGAUUAUCUUUGAAAUAUAUAAUAGAUUGUGUGAUUGAAGAUUAAUACUAUUUACAUUGAAAACGUUGGAAAAAGUUUUACAUACAAAAGAUUUUACGAUACAAUCCACAUCAAAAGAUGGUAAAUUUUUUUCUAUCUACAUGCAUUAAGUUAUGGAAUGAUAUAUAGAUAUAUAUAUAUAACUGAGUUCCAGAAUACGUAAACUUCAUAACUUGGAAAUUUUUUGACAAAUUAAUCAGAUUCAACUGUGGGAUAGCAAGGUCGCCUAUAAAGUUGUGAAGUCGUGGAAGCAUAAAGGACAAAUAACAAAUGAGUUUUGAGAAAUUAUUCCACAAAUGUCAUUUUGCAAAAUGUAUUAAAGACGAUUGGGUACAAGAUUAGUAAUCAUGAGUAGUGUAACAACAUCAACAAAAUAACUAUAAUCCAUAGUUGUUGAACAUAAUUCAAAUUUCGUUUGCAAAAACAAAAGAAAAAGAAAACAGACUUACAAUAAUUCAGCCUUCAAUCCUGAAGUCCUACUCAAAGAGCCAAACUUGAAUGCAAGCUUUCUGAAAUCUUCCAAACAAUACAGAUAAAAAGGUAACAUCCUAGUCAGAAACGAACCGAGGUGCAAGCUUUCUUAGAAACCCAGAUGACAAAAUCAACAAAAGAGAAUGGAAAAAUGACUUACACUUUUAAGGCAUGCUCAAAUCUUGAUCUAAAAUUUGUGGUGGGUCGAUUGUUGGCCACCAACUCUAAAUGAAGAAUUCAUCAGAAACUAGAAAUUUAAACAAAGAAUUUUCCAAAAUCAACAUUUACUAAAAACCAGUUACUUGGUUAUCAUGCAUGAUGGCUUGCCAAAGACUGAAUUAAGGAAUGCACAACUUUACUUUUUAUGAUUAUUUUCAAUGAUAGCUAAAAGGUCAGAUCCAAAUGAAAAUAAAACUUAGGACUUCACAAAACCAAUUAAAAAUCUAAUUCCAAAGUUACAAACACCCACCAAAUGAUUCCAGAUAAAGUUUUAAACUCAACGUCAGACCCAAAUGAAAUUAAAAGUUAGGACUUCACAAAACCAAUUGAAAAUCUGAUUCCAAAGUUCCAAACACCCACCAAAUGAUUCCGGAUAAAGUUUAAACUCAAAAACCCAACAGAAACAAAAGCAUUGGUGUGAAUUAACUGUAUCUAAUUGAAGAAACUAAAACAAAAGUAAAGCAAAGUACAUACCUCAAAAUGUCAAGCAACUAAGUUCUUCCUCCGACGACCCAAAAUUCUGAAAAUUCCACACAAAAAAAGAGUAAGCCCAUUAGCAAUUCAUAGCUUUCAAAAUUAGCAAAAACUUGGGCAACAAUAAAGACGCGUUGAGAACCAUCACUCUUUCUCCUUAUAUAUUUGAAAAGAUAUUUUAUAAGCAGUUUAUGUAGUCAUUCAGAUCAUGUUGCAUAUAAAUUCCUUUUCUACAGAGUUCAUAAAAGUAUGGCAGUUUAUGGUAUCUGUUGAAUGACAUGGUUGAAAGAUUUCAAAUUGAUAUAUUCAAUUUAUGUGUAAAACUAUAACAUAUAGCUAAAGCUAUUGGGUCUAUAUAUCCAUAUCAAUCAUGUCGUAAUUGAAUGUUUAUCAAUGUAAAUAGAUGAUUUCAGUCAUGUGAUAACAUGUUUCUUGAUAGUAUACGCUGAAGAUUGGUCUAAGUGGGAUAUGAAUCGACCAAAAUCUUAAGAAGAGACUCUUUUAACUUUUAACCAAAAAUGAACACCACAGUACUACACUAAGUUUUAUCAUGCAUAAAAUACACAACACUGAUUGCCACUUUUAGAAAACAACAAAACACUCAAAACCCAGAAACAGAAACACACUUUAGGACUCAAACUCCCCAAAAACAUAUGAGAGAGAUAGAGAGAUAGAGAGAGAGAGAGAGAGAGAGAGAGAGAGAGAGAAUAAAAACAAUAUUAUUUUUCACACAAACUCAAAAUUGCUUAUAAAAUUACAAAUCAAAACAAAUGAAAGCAAAUCCAAAAUUGCCCUAAAUUAAAUCUGAUUAGUUAAAUGUUUGUUGCCCUACAAAUGUCAUUACACCCGACAAAACUUGCUUUGAAGUUGAUAUUUUGGUCAAUCCGGGGGAAAAUGAGCUAUUGCUUUUGGAGCAGUUGUCAUGGAGAUUACCAUCUCCCUGUUGAAUGAUCUAAAAAAGGACUUACAGCUUCUGGUGGCCAUAAUAAUUUAGGAGGUCCUUCGCUCCAGAUUUUCUCAAUAACUUUCCUUUUCGUGGCUGGUAGGAUUGCAACUCCAAGAAUUGCUCUGAAGAGAUAUAUGCAAACAAAAUCAAACUAAAACUAAGCUGUUGGAAGAAAUUUAGAAAACACAAACACCACAACUCAGAGUUAAAGUCAACAGAAACCAAAUGGUAGAAGUUGAAAAAAAUAUAUGGUGAUGAAUCGAGAACUUCAUUAAACUAACAGCAAUAAAAUCUCAUAUAAUCUGUCAAAAACCAAAAAAGAGAGAGGUAAUUUCAAAACCUUGUAACGCUGAGGCGUCGUACAGUUGUAGUAAUAAUAUAUGGUUGAUGCACCUGUUGCUCAAUCAAAUCCUCUGUCUGGCUAAAAAAAUAAAAAUCUAUAAAUACAUUCACGUCCAAUUUAUGAGAAAUCAUGGGAAAGUAAAUGCACUGAUAACGGAAUUAUGAAUAUGAACUUGCCAAAAAGAAAAAGAAAACUUCUUAUAGUGUGCCAAGAACAUCCUCCUACUCCUAGCAAUUUUUAAUGGCAUUGUCCACUUCUCAAUUCAUAAUUCAACCAAUAACUCAAAGUCUAUAGUGUUUGAAAAAGUGAUAUCUUAGUUGAUCACGAUGAUAAUUAAGCAGAUUAAAUGAUGACCCAUAAAGCAUACAAAUUCAGAAAAGAAAAGGUUCAAAACUGUCAUGAGAAAAUACAGAAUAUAUAAACAGGAAAUCAAAAAAAGAGAAGUGAAAAAGGAAGAAACAACCAAACAAAAUUAUUAGGUUUGGGAUAUACCUUUAUCUGAAACGCCACAAUCAUCAAAGUCAAACUUAAACAACAACAACAACAACAACAACAACAAAGCCUUUUCCCACUAAGUGGGAAAGUCAAACUUAAACAAUCCAAAAAUUUGUGGAAAAUACCAAUAAAUGCUCAACUAAAAACGAAAGAAACGUAGAAUAAGUUUACCUGUUCUGCCCCUAAUUAAACUGGAAUACAAUUCACCACUAAUAUUCCUUGGUGUAUGCUUUUCGCAGACGAUAUAGUGUUGAUAGAUGAAACUCAGGAAGGGGUAAAUGCAAAGCUUAACCUUUGGAGAGAAGUGUUGGAAUCUAAAGGUCUUCGCCUAAGCCGAUCAAAGACAGAAUAUAUGGAGUGCAAGUUCAGUGCAAAUGGAGGCCAAAACGAGUUAGGGGUGAGGAUCGGAGAUCAAGAAAUACUAAAGAGCGACCGUUUUCGUUACCUAGGAUCUAUCUUGCAAAAGAACGGAGAAUUAGAUGGAGAUCUCAACCAUAGAAUACAAGCUGGAUGGAUGAAGUGGAAGAGUGCAUCCGGCGUGUUAUGUGACCGCCGUAUGCCACUGAAGCUCAAGGGAAAAUUUUAUAAGGACGGCAAUAAGGCCGGCGAUGCUGUAUGGCACAGAAUGUUGGGCGGUGAAACAUCAAACACGUACACAAAAUGGGUGUAGCGGAGAUGAGGAUGCUUCGUUGGAUGUGUGGGCACACGAGAAAGGAUAAGAUUAGGAAUGAGGAUAUCCGGGGUAAAGUAGGAGUAGCCGAAAUUGAAGGAAAGAUGAGAGAAAAUCGGUUACGGUGGUUUGGACAUGUGCAAAGAAAGGCCUACUGACGCUCCGAUUAGAAGAUGCGACUAUGGGACAGAGGUUCAGGGCCGAAGGGGUAGAGGAAGACCUAGGAAAACUUUGGAAGAGACUCUAAGAAAAGACUUAGAGUACUUGGAUCUAACGAAGGACAUGACACAGGAUCGAGCACAAUGGCGUUCUAAGAUUCAUAUAGCCGAUCCCACUCAGUGACUUGGAUUUUCCAAGUCUCCAACCGAGAAGUUUUCCUCACUCGGAAAAUUAAGGGAACACUACCCCAACCUACAUGCUCCACUCAGAAAGCUUCAACAUACAAGCUUCAACAAAAGAAAAUUCAAAGAACUUAGCGAAGAAGGCUUUGGUGUAUUAACACAAUACGUUGAAAUGAAGGAAAGCUUAUUUAUUGAUAUCCCCGAUAAGCUACAAAUAUGUACAUAUACAUGAGUCAAAAUAAACACACAAGAGGGAGCCUUCACAAAGGUUGCUUAGGAGAAGUCUCAGCAGUCGGUAGAGCCCCAGAAAGAGAAGGCACCGGAGGGGGAUCAUUUGGAGCCUCAGUACUGGACAGAACCCUAGAAGGAGGAGGCAUCAGAGGUUGAUCAUUUGGAGCUUCAUUACGCGGUACAGCCCCAGAAGACGAAGGCAAUAAAUGCCUUUGGAACAAACCCACAAAUCUCUGAUGAUCAAGUAAAACCUGACCAUCAGUUUCCUUCAUCUGGUCAAGCUUCCUCUUCAUGUUUGUAGCAUAGUCAUGUGCGAGCCGGUGCAACUGUUUAUUCUCAUGCUUGAGCCCUCUAAUCUCCUGUUUGAGACUCAUCACUUCAGCCGCCAAUGAUUCAACUUGGCGGGUUCGAGCAAAUAGGCGUUGGGCCAUAUUAGACACAGAACCUGCACACUGAACACUGAGAGCCAGCGAAUCCUUAACAGCUAACUCAUCAGACCGUUUGGAAAGUAGUCUGUUAUCUUUGGGAGUGAGAAGGUUCCUGGCCACCACCGCAGCGGUCAUAUCAUUCUUCAUCACGGAAUCCCCAACGGUAAGAGGACCAGUAGGGGAGACGAAGGAUGGGCGCCAUAUGUUGUCUGGAGAAGGCGGGGCUGCCUCUUCAACAAGGUUCAAGUCAAAACGACGGUCGGAGGGGCCAGACAUUUUCAAAGGUGUUGAAGAGAGAAGAGGUCGGACAAAUCAAGAUCUUAGAAGUGCAAGAAUGAAGCUUCUACUGGUGGAGAUUCAAGUGUGCUUUGGAACUUAAUGCCAGCCCCUAUAAAAAUCUGCACUCGACGGAGCUUCAGAAAAUCGAAGAGGCGCCUGCUCAGAAAUCGAAGAGGCGUUUGCUUUCUCAAAAGCUGGGCUGCUUAGAGAUCACGAGGGUUGAUCUCAGAAAUCGAAGAGGCGUUUGCUUUCUCAAAAGUUGGGCUGCUCAAAGACCACGAAGGCCGAUCUCAGAAAAUCGAAGAGGCGCUCGCUUUCUCAAAAGCUGGGCUCCCCAGAGACCACGAGGGCCGAUCUCAGAAAUCGAAGAGGCACCUACUUUUCCAGCCUUGUCAGCACCUGUCACACGCACACUCAGCUUUGCGGAAAUUAUGGGCAUUCUGUCGAAGACUUCUGGGGAAGUAGAAAACACAUGAAUCUUACUGUUCAAUCACCCACUUCCCACACGCAACAAUAGCUCAUGGGUACCACAGAUAACUUUGCCAAAGUUCUCUGCCAAAGUUGAGCACGUGAAGCUUGCAGCUCCCACUACAUCGCUCUGACCAAGAAGGGUAAAAGAAUAGCAAAGAAACAGCACUAACAAAGUUUAGACCCAUAAAUUUUGAAGGUCUAGCUACCAUAUUAUUACCCACAAGGGUAAAGGAACAGUACCACUGCUGGAUAAUUGGAAAGUCCCUGUGUGUCAACCUCUGUGCUUCGUGGCAAGGUAGACUAGCAAACAUGCCCAACCUUUACUCACAUUCGAGAAAACACUCCCAAUAAGAUUGCUUGCUCCAAAAUCGAAGAGGCACCGUCCUCCGAAUCUCGAGAGCCAGACUCCCAACAUGACUACUUUCUUAAAAAUCGAAGAGAGGGUAAAGGAACAGUACCAUUGCUGGAUAAUUGGAAAGUCCCUGUGUGUCAACCUCUGUGCUUCGUGGCAAGGUAGACUAGCAAACAUGCCCAACCUUUACUCACAUUCGAGAAAACACUCCCAACAAGAUUGCUUGCUCCAAAAUCGAAGAGGCACCCGCCCUCCGAAUCUCGAGAGCCAGACUCCCAACAUGAUUACUUUCUCAAAAAUCGAAGAGACACUGCUCCCCGAAUCUUCGAGAGCCAGACCCCCAGCAUGAUUGCUUUCUCAAAAAUCGAUGAGGCAUCGUUCUCCGAAUCAAUCGAAGAGGCGCUCGCUUUCUCAAAAGCUGGGCUGCUCAGAGACCACGAGGGCCGAUCUCAGAAAUCGAAGAGGCACCUACUUUUCUAGCCUUGUCAGCACCUGUCACACGCACACUCAGCUUUGCAGAAAUUAUGGGCAUUCUGUCGAAGACUUCUGGUGAAGUAGAAAGCACAUGAAUCUUACUGUUCAAUCACCCACUUCCCACACGCAACAAUAGCUCAUGGGUACCACAGAUAACUUUGCCAAAGUUCUCUGCCAAAGUUGAGCACGUGAAGCUUGCAGCUCCCACUACAUCGCUCUGACCAAGAAAGGUAAAAGAAUAGCAAAGAAACAGCACUAACAAAGUUUAGACACAUAAAUUUUUGAAGGUCUAGCUACCAUAUUAUUACCCACAAGGGUAAAGGAACAGUACCACUGCUGGAUAAUUGGAAAGUCCCUGUGUGUCAACCUCUGUGCUUCGUGGCAAGGUAGACUAGCAAACAUGCCCAACCUUUACUCACAUUCGAGAAAACACUCCCAACAAGAUUGCUUGCUCCAAAAUCGAAGAGGCACCGUCCUCCGAAUCUCGAGAGCCAGACUCCCAACAUGACUACUUUCUCAAAAUCGAAGAGAGGGUAAAGGAACAGUACCAUUGCUGGAUAAUUGGAAAGUCCCUGUGUGUCAACCUUUGUGCUUCGUGGCAAGGUAGACUAGCAAACAUGCCCAACCUUUACUCACAUUCGAGACAACACUCCCAACAAGAUUGCUUGCUCCAAAAUCGAAGAGGCACCCGCCCUCCGAAUCUCGAGAGCCAGACUCCCAACAUGAUUACUUUCCUCAAAAAUCGAAGAGACACUGCUCUCCGAAUCUCGAGAGCCAGACCCCCAGCAUGAUUGCUUUCUCAAAAAUCGAAGAGGCAUCGUUCUCCGAAUCUCGAGAGCCAGAUACCACAGACCACUUUUUCAAAGUGCUCUGACAGAGUUAAAACAUGUGAAACUGGCAGCUCCCACUACCGUGCUAUGACCAAGCAGGGUAAAGGAAUAGCAUUACUACUUGUUGUUAGGGAGACUCCUAUAUAUGUCGACCUCCAUCCCCAACGGACAGGCAGACCUGCAAAAAUGCUCAACCCUUCAUCAUAUCUGAGAGGGCACUCCCAACGAAGCCUUUCGAAAUAUUCAGCUUUCUUUCCCCCCGAUAAUACCUCUGCAAACAAGCUAUACUACUAGAGCAAGAAUAUCUCAUAUCAUCAGGGUUAAAAGCAAGAGUAUCCCAUAUCAUGCUUUUUCCCUGUCUUUUCCUUUGGCCUUGUUUUUUACCUGCAAGACAAGGAGAAAGAGAGAGCAAUCAGUCAGCACUUGGAAUCAAGCUUCCAGCCAGGAACUGACUGCCUGGAACCCCUUACCUGAUUACUUACCUGGCAUUGCUCUCGAGUACUCAUCUUCAACAUCUUAUGUUUCCAGGGAAGAUUCCGCAUCUGCUUGAGGAACAGAUAGGGCAAGUGCGAAGGAUACAAGGAAGCAUGUGGAGACAAGCGUAACAGCACACGUGCCGAUACAUCCAUUACUCUGUCAAAAGCAAAAGUAUCCCAUAUCAGCAGGGUGGAACGUACUCUAGAUUUGAUGGACUUGUUUUGACCCUCAAAUUCUUCAGUCGGCCUUAUACUCUGGAGGAAACCAGAAAACCCUCCAGCUCAGUUCAAGAAUAAGCCUGUGGAAAGUUACUUCUUCAAAAGCAAAAGUAUCUCUCAUAUCAUCUCUUCUCAUUUUUUCUUCUCUUUAUCCUUCAUGCUGCUGCAAGAUGGGGAGAAGGUGAACAAUCAGUCGGAGCUCUGAUUGCUUACCUUGUCUGUCACCUCUUUCAGCAGACCCCCUAGCUCGGCGACUUGGGGGACUCCUACUACAUGGUUUGUAUCGCGCUUGACCAAGCCUGAAACUACAAGUAAGCUUCAAGUGAAAUUGAUACAUUACCUUGUGCAUCUCCACCAGUUAAAGAUACCACCCCUGGAUGGAGGAAGAGUACUUCCAGAGAAGAUGCCACAUCUACCUAUGAGACAGAUAAGGCAAGUCAAGACGACACCACACUCCGAUACUUAGAAGUUUCGUGAUUACGAGAUCAUUCUCCCACAAUAUUUCCUAAUGUCAUUUGUACUAAAUCAUUCACUUGUACUCACUAAAGGAGAGCUUGAACCUAUGUACUUGUGUAAACCCUUCACAAUUAAUGAGAACUCUUCUAUUCCGUGGACGUAGCCAAUCUGGGUGAACCACGUACAUCUUGUGUUUGCUUUCCUAUCUCUAUCCAUUUAUAUACUUAUCCACACUAAUGACCGGAGCAAUCUAGCGAAGAUCACAAAAAAGCGACCGUUUUCGCUACCUAGGAUCUAUCUUGCAAGAGAACGGAGAAUUAGAUGGAGAUCUCAACCAUAGAAUACGAGCUGGAUGGAUGAAGUGUAAGAAUGCAUCCGGCGUGUUGUGUGACCGUCGUAGGCCACUGAAGCUCAAGGGAAAAUUUUAUAGGACGGCAAUAAGGCCAGCGAUGUUGUAUGGCACAGAAGAAUGUUGGGUGGUGAAGCAUCAACACGUACACAAAAUGGGUGUAGCGGAGAUGAGGAUGCUUCGUGGGAUGUGUGGGCACACGAGAAAGGAUAAGAUUGGGAAUGAGGAUAUCCGAGGUAAAGUAGGAGUAGCCGAAAUUGUAGGAAAGAUGAGAGAAAAUCGGCUCCGGUGAUUUGGACAUGUGCAAAGAAGGCUGAAUGACGCUCCGGUUCGAAGAUGUGACUACGGGACAGAGGUUCAGGGUUGAAGGGGUAGAGGAAGACCUAGGAAAACUUUGGAAGAGACUAUAAGAAAAGACUUAGAGUACUUGGAUCUAACGGAGGACAUGACACAAAACCGAGCGCAAUGGCGUUCUAGGAUUCAUAUAGCCGACCCCACUUAGUGGGAAAAGGCUUUGUUGUUGUUGUUGUUGUAUUCAAUGAAGAUGCUUAAAGGAGACAGUAAUAUUAGCAAUGAAGGAAUUUAAUUGAUAACUAAAACUGCAAAACAAAAUGACUACAAUAGGUUCAAAACAGAAACUCGUCCGAUAGAUAUCUCAUCUUUAGGCAAUGCCUUGUUCCCUUUUUUUUUUUUUUUUUUUUUUUUUUUUUUUGUUGCAUGUCUUGUGAACUUCAUGUAAAUCAACAAAAUUGAUACCUUAACCAACAAUGGAGAGGUAAAAAGUUAAAAACAGAAGGAAUGUCUUCAGUUUUGUAAUGGAUUUUGCAAGUCAAAUUCUGUUCGAGAAUUUGCAACCCAGAAAGUCCCAGCAAUUAUUAACAAUCACAGAUAAGCACCGAAUGAAGGCCAAUCUAAUAAGCCAAAAUAUGUAGGGCACUAAAGAAAUUAUUGCCCAGUAACAAUGAUAGAUAAGCACAUGUGAAACUAAAGAAAAUUUUCAUUACUAUCAACUCCAAAAAAAAUUACCUAUGCAAUCCAAAAAAUGUUGAUACAGAGUUGGAGUAUCGAUGCCUGAAAUUGGUAUUUGAACCACCAACUACCUCCGUGAAUAUGCUUGUCACUUAAUGGUUUGGGUUGAAGUUGUGAAAGGAAAUGUAAUUUCUUAAAAGGAAGGAGAGAAUGCAGAGAAGAAUACAGAAUGGUUCACGUGGCCACCGCAAAACAGGUUAAUAAUCAAGCUUCACUAUGAAUGGAAAGAUUAAUAGAUGAUAAUUAAGAAGGCCUGAUACCCAAGCCGAAAUCAGAGAUAUCCUUUGUAAACAAAGAGAUUGAACAUUUCCUCUCAAAAAAUAACUUUUUUUUUUGUUUUGGGGGGGAGGUUGGGAAGGCUCAGAAAAAGACAUCCAAUAUAAUACUUAUUGCAUGCAAGGUAUGAAACAGCCUCCCCCCGAGUAAAAUCACAGAAAUAAAAGAAAUCGAAUCAAGAAAAAAGAUAAUUACACAAGAAUUACACCUUCACUAAGAAAAUAAAUUAUAAAAACGAAGACUCUGAGAAUAAUUGCCUGUGAUUUGCUGCCAAAAACAAAAAUAAUGUCGUAUACAUUAAGCCUGCCGAUUACUAAAAACAAAACAUUUUUCCAUGAGAAGAAGUAAGAACAUACCGAAACUUGUUUGCUAAUAGAUGAGAAAAAUUUAUAACUGAAACAUAUAGGAAAUUUAUUAGGAAAAGAUAAACAAAACACCUAAAUUAAGCAAUUAAAUGGAGUAUUACUUGAUAGAGCUGGAAAAUUACCCAGUUCCUCAGAGAGAGGAUCAAGAGUGAAUGAUGAGAGUGCAGAGAAACGAAUGAUUGAGAAAUUCAAGCUCUGAGCUCACAGUUGGGGCUUCCACUUUCCAACUGGGGAAGAAAUAACAGAGAAAACACAAGGCCAAUCCACCAAAAAUAUUAAUCAAAUGGGUUUCUUCUAAUUCAAAAUUUUGACCACCCAAAUUCCGAUGAAGCAAUAAUUGUUCAAAAUUCCAACAGAUUGAAGGAAAAAGUAAUAAAUUUUUUUAAAACAGUAAUAAUGAAGGAAAAAGAAAUUAAAGCUGCGAGCCAUUCUCUAAAUCUCAGGCACCAAUCCAAAUCACCAGUAAUUUGCACAUAAUGAUAAGAAUCUAGCAAUACUUCCAUUGUUUAAAACCCAAAUUCCAGAAAUCAUGAAAAAUGGAAACUUUAUAUGGAAAUUGAAGCUUUACCUGCAGAUCAGCAGCAGCAAACGAAAUUCAAGAAGUCACGAUUAUCGACGCGUGGGUAGCAUUCCACUGUGCCAAGGACGAAAAUGAACGGGGAAUGUAGAGCUGGCUGACGAAGACAGGAUUCGCGAAGCGCUCUGAUUUUUUUUUUCACGAGAAUGCGGAAUGAAGAGAAGCGAGUAGAGGAGGAAUCAUUUUAAGCGAUGAUCGACGCGUGGAAAUUGAGGGCAAAUCUGCCAUUUUGCUGUGAACGAAAGUGAAAAAAGGCACAAUCAAAGAGUAAUUUGAGGGCAUUCUAGCCACUUUAAUAAACAGUAGCUUUGUGUUUGAGAUUUAAUAUAGGUAUAUAUAGAGCCCUACAGAGCAACUCCACCCAUGGAGCCCUCCUCUCUGACAAUCUACUAUUGAAUUCACCUUUUUGAACAGUAACUGCCUUUAAUAAAUAGUAACUACCAUUAAUGAACAAUAAUUGUCAUUUGCAUCUCCACCCUUGGAGCCCUCCCCCCUGGCAAUAGGCAAUAAAAUAUUAAUUUUUUUUGUUUGUUUAAAUAAUACAAAAUAAAAUUAUUUGUAAUUUUGGAUAAGAUUUUUUAAAUCGUUCUCGUUGCGCCACGUGUCAUUUUAUAAAAAAAACAAUUAUUUAGCGAUGGAUUUCGAUAAGAUUUUUAUCCAAUGUCAUCGUGUCACAUGUCGUUAUCUUUUGAUAAUCUUUGACGAUAUCUUUCGAUCAGAUUUUAACUCGUUCAAAAUUGCGUCACGUGUCAUUAUUCGAAAAGAUAAUUAUUGGAGAUCGAUUUCGAUAAGAUUUUUAUCCAAUACGAUCUUGUCACGUUUCAUUAUCUUUCAUAAUAUUUGAGGAUAGAUUUCGAUCAGAUUUUUAACGAAUGACGGCAUGCCACGUGGCCUUAUCUACAAUCCAAUCCUUUCUGAAUCAUCCAUAUAAUCCACCAUCCAUCCUCACAAAUCUCACACCAAAUUUCUCAACAUUUCUAUCUCAUUAUUCAUAGUUUCUGCUUCUUCUUCACCAUCCAUCAUUACAAUGUCUUCUUCUUCAUCAAGGAUGAUGUGGGAAAUCGAUCAGCAAGAGGAAGAAUUGUUUAACCAAUCUGAAGGAAUGUUCAACCUUCAGAUAGCCGAAAAUGAGAUGGAUGAGGAUGAGGAGCGUAGAAGGAGAGACGACGAAACAAGAAUGGCCAGAGCCUCACAUUCCCGUUGAGUCAUCCAGACUGUUGCUCAGAUAUGCAUGCCCAACCGUUCAAGAAACCUUGGUAGAAGCAGGCAACGAUGGGGUGAAGAGCUAUUGGACGAUUACUUUGUCCAUAACAGUGCAUUUCCUGAUACGUACUUCAGACGUCGUUUUAGAAUGGAACGACAUUUGUUCAACAGAAUCAUGACUGAUGUUUACAACCAUGAUUCUUACUUUGUGCAAAAGAAUGAUGCUUGUGGUGUUAUGGGUUUCCUGCCUGAGCAAAAAAUCACUGUUGCGUUGCGGAUGCUUGCGUAUGGAGCAUCUGUAGACCAAGUGGAUGAGAUAACGAGGAUGGGGAAAUCAACCAUUCUUGAGGCCCUUAUGAGGUUUUGCGGAGCAGUCGAAUCUUUGUACACCGCAUAGUACCUCCGAAAACCUACUUGUAGGGACUUGCAAAGGCUUCUGAAGAAGGGCGAGAUGCGAGGUUUUCCUGGGAUGAUAGGAAGCAUCAAUUGUAUGCACUGGACGUGGAAAAAUUGUCCAAGUGCAUGGCAAGGCGCAUAUGGGGACAUAAAAGGAUCAAAAACUAUCAUUUUGGAGGCAGUGGCAUCUUUUGAUACAUGGAUAUGGCACGCCUUUUUCGGGGUUCCGGGGGCUCAAAAUGAUCUCAACGUCCUUGCCCAAUCCCCAGCGUUCAACGACAUCCUGCAAGGAAAGGCACCAAAAGUCACGUACAUCGUCAACGGACGUAGGUACGACGGGCCAUACUAUCUAGCUGACGGCAUUUACCCACGGUGGGAAACAUUUGUCAAAACAGUGCCACGUCCGCGAAGUGCAAAGGAAAAACACUUUGCAAGCUGUCAAAAGGGGUGCAGGAAGGAUGUGGAGCGUUGUUUUGGUAUCCUUCAAGCUCGUUGGGCGAUCGUCAGGGGUGCUGCCAGAAUGUUCGAUGUAGAGUCACUUUGAUCCAUCAUGAUGACAUGCGUCAUUCUUCACAAUAUGAUUGUGGAAGAUGAGUUCGAUUAUGAUGCGGUUGAUGAAUAUGAGCCAGAGCCAGACACGAUGAACAAUUCAAGAACACGGAUAUAUUGUGCGCAUGAUGCCACCAAAGAACCCGUGCAACAUGAGCCAUUAGAAAGGGAUGAACGUUACAAUGAAAUGGUCAUUCAACGAUAUACUGCACUUCAAAUGUCAUCUAUGCACAAUGAUCGGCAAAUUGACUUGAUAGAGCACCAGUGGACAUUAAAACAAGCUGAAGAUACUUAAGUUUAUUUAGUAUGUUUGUUUGUAUUUGGUAUGUUUAUGUAAUUUUAUUUGGUGUGUUUUUUGUAGUGAGUUUUUUAUUAUUUCGUAUGUUUAUGUAAUUUUAUUUGGUGUGUUUAUGUAAUUCCAAUUGGUAAGAAAAUAUGAAAUUGUGGUGUAAGGUAGAUGGAGAAGAAGUGGUAUUUAUAGAAAAGUAAAAACAAUUUUUUACAAAUUUUUUUUUUUAGAUUUUUUACAAUUUUUUCGGAUUUUUUCCAUUUUUUUUAAUUUUUUUUUCAAAUAAUUAAUCUCUGCCGUUGGAUUUAAAAAAAAUUGAAUUCCAACACUCCAGAUUGUGCCACGUGUCACAACGGUAAUUUUUCUUAAUUUUAAAACUAUUUUUUCUUUAUUUAUAAAGCAUAUUAAUAUCGACCGUUGAUCUGAAAUCGAACGGUUGAUAUUAAAUAAGAUUUGUUUUAUUUUUUUUACCGUUGAGAUCCAACAGUCCAAAUGAAAGAGCCGUUGAGAUCGAACGGACCGUGGGAAACCACGUGGCUUCCCAAUGGUAACUGAGACAACUGCAAAAGUGGGCUGCUUUUCUGAAAAGCUGUCAGGCGACGCGCCCCCACGCGCGAGUGGGGUGCACGCGCCUGACAAAAAAAAAAAAAAUGGGUGAAGAGCUCGGGCUCACGGCUGUCACAAAUUGACAGGCCUUCUGCUCGGGCCUUCUCCACGAGCUCGGGCUCUUCAAGACUGGAGCUGAUUGACUAGCCCUCGGGCCUUUCUUUUCCCCUGUCCCCCGGCCUACAUGCAUGGGUGGAGUUGCUCUAAGAGAAGGGAUUUCCAUUCUUGUUUUUUUAAAUGUGGACACCUUUUUUACUGUUAGAUUUGACUUUAACGAAAUUUUGUGGUUGAGAUUAAAUCACAAACCACAGAAUCUCAACCAUAGAAUUUCAUUAAAGCUAUAUUUAACGAUCAAUAGGGUGUUCCCAUUUUUUUUGAAAAAUAGGAAUCCCUUCCCUUAAGGCUUUCAGUAUAUUAUAUACACUAAAACUCAAUUGAUGAACACUGUUCAUUAACAGUGAUUUUACGUUUUAGCCCCUGUUUUGCUGUUUGUUUGCCCUUUUAUUUUUCGAUCUUAACAGUAAAAUGACAGUUUUGCCCGUUCUUUCCACGCGUCAGUCAUCGUUGAGCUCUUCACUUCAAGAGUCUUCUUUUAGGUUUAGCCUUUUCUUUGCACUGGUGAUUCUCUGAUUUCGUCUCUUCGUCUCGCCCUCUGUUUUUUCUCAAAUCCUCCAUUCCUCUCAAAUAUUCCGUUCUUUAUUUCACAAAAUAUUCAGGAGAAAGUUCCUGAUUUUCGUGUUUUAAGGGAUAUAAUGAUUUGGUGUUGUUUAUCUCAAACAGCGGGCUUGCAGGUAAAAUGUUAAGCUUUAUGUCCAAAGCAAUCUUUCUCUGCAUGCUGACUGUGUGUUGAUUUGAAGGGGUGGUUUAGUGAAUGGGUGCUUCUUAUUUUUGGCCUUUCUCUAUUAUCAUAUAUGUUUCUCUAUUCUCAGGUAUCAGAUCAUUCGAAACAAAAACAUUUUAACGUUAUUUUUGCAGGUUAAUGUUGGGUUUGAGUCCAACACGAUAUACACUUGAACAGAGUAGAGUAGAAGACAGUAUGCAAACAUGAUUUAGGACACAGUUUACCUAAUUGUAAACACUCUGUGAAAUAUUAUUAGUUAUGAACAUCCAAUUUGAAUCCCCCACAUGCUAAAUUAGGUACCAUUAAAUUAGUUUUAUGUCUUUUUUUUAUUUGAAAGCUGCUUCUUAUUUCUGUCUCUAUUAAGAUUCUGGGGUGUGCUUUGGAUUUGCUACAUAUGGUCAUAUUUUUUGUCAUUGGCUUUUUGUUCUGCUUAGUUUUUUUUAAUCGAGUGUUUUAUCUGGUAUUUCAUUUUGUUUUGUUUAUUUGUUUCCUUUUUAUGUUUAAAUGUUUUUUGUUCUUUCUAAAUUUGGGCUUCUGGGAAAUUCUUGCUCACUGUUUGGAUUCCGAGAAAAUUUAGGGGAUGUCCAGUAAUAUUCACAUCCUGAAAACUCAGUGAAAAUAGAUACCAAUUUAUGUGCAGCUGAAAAUUUUGUUAUCUGAUUCUGUUCUAAAUAACAUGAUUUAUUUGUUUUUUAAACUUUUAAUUAUUUCGUAUUUAUUUUGUGAUUGCAGAUGUUUAAAUGAUGGAGAGUUUCGCAAAGCUGUUACUCGGAGGAGACAUGUCUAGAUGAGGGAAAGGUGUCUCCACUGCCCUUGCUAUCUCAAAUGCCAUCACCAAUCUCUCUGGUUAGUCACAUUCCUCUUGGAAUAUGCAUAUUCUUAUGUGAUGUUGGCUGAUACCUUGGUGAGUCAACUUAAUAAAAAAUGUGAGAUGGACAAAUUGAAAAGUCUAUUUUCUUCUCAUAUGCAUCCUUUAACAUAUGUCAGUUUUAAUUAUUGAUGAGCAAUUGAAAAUUUAGUUUUUCUUCUCAUGGUACACUUACAUUGGUAGUUCAACAUAUGUUUGUUUAACAUAUCUUAUUAAAUGCAUUUGAGAAUCGAUUGAAGAAACUCAGUUCUUUUAGCAAUUAAGAACAAGGUAAACAUAGUUGUAAAUAUGUGUAAAUAAGAUAGGAAUUUUGAUGAAUUUAUGUUUUUUCCUCCGUUUUUCAGUGUUUUCAGGCAUUGAAGCUAAAUAUGGAGAGGGUUUUGAGACUUUUAGACCUAUUGGACCUCUCAAGGUUUGCGUGGUAAGGAGUUUAUGGAGUUAUACGCAUAGUAGGCAUUAUAUUUUAUGUUCUGUUGAAUUUAAUUUAAUGGUUAUAUUUUAUGCUCCUAUGAGUUAUUACUGUUAUGUUUACUCUGAGUAGGAUUUGUUGAACGACAAACUGCAAGGAGGUUUUCUUAAACGAAUAUGAUAUGCUAUGAAACCGAAUGAAGCUUACUGUCUUCUAUUCUCUUUUGUUAAUUUCGUGGUAAGUUUCUAUAACACUGAUUAGUUAUGUCUUCGAGGUUCUAAUGGCUAGAUAUGCUAAUGUAAUGAACUAUGGAAUAUUGUAAUAGUUUAUGGUCAAUGUGAUCCCAUAUCUGUUUGAUUGAAAUAUUGUUCUAUAACAGGUUUAAACUUUGUUUUUCCAAUACCUUAUCACAAAAUAAUUCCACCUUGGACAAAUUACAAGGUAUGCUGCAACAUGUGCUUUGAUUAAUUGCAUUCAAAUUGAUACUGCUUAAGAAUGCAUUUGAACAUGUUGAAUUUCACGCCCGCAGCAUCGCGCGGGCAAUAUUGCUAGUAUAAUAUAUAAUUGGGUGAUAAAGAGAGUAGGUGAAAGAACACAAUUUGCUCUUAAAAAUGUUGUUUUUAAGAACGAGUGAUUUUUCUUUUCUGACUCUUUCUGUCUAACCCAAAAGCAUACUGGUAAUAGGGUCCAGUAAGAAAAUUAUUUUUAGAAAUUAAACAUGAAAAAAUACAAAAUUUACAAUUUCGAAUUAUACAAAAAAGACAAAAAAAGCGCAAAAUAAAAAGAGCAGGACAGAAAAACAGAAACAAAAGAAAGGAGACACUAAGAAUACAAAUAGCGUGAUUUGAGCCCUCAAUUUUGGCAGGCAACAUGAUUGUUAACGCAUGAUUGUGAACCCAUCCAUUGAAGAAAGAAGCAUCAUAAUACACAAGAGUCAAGACUGGGCUUGGUUUAUAUAAUGAAUAAUGUUAGGGAGAUCAAAUUUUUUAAACUAAAUUUGUAAAUUAAAUGAUGUAGUUAUAGAUGAUUGGGUUAUUACUAAGUGUCGAUUAAUAUGUUUAUUUCUUAUUGGUGACAUAUCAUUUGGUUUAAAAAUUUGGUCUCCCUAGCAUUAUCCUUAUAUAAUUAAUCAAUAAUAUUCCAUAACAAGAGCUAGGUCCAUAUAUUACGAGGUUAUAAAAUAUGCUAGGUGCUAGUCGAGAGGCGGGCGGGGCCUAAGCAGAUUUAAGUAAAUUUAUUAUAUAUUGUAUAAAUAAAUGCCUUUUUAUACUUAAAAUGACACACAAUUGUAUCGAAAUAUAUAAAUUGCAAAAUAAAAUGACAUAUAGAUUAUAAAUUACUAGAACAUAAUGAACAAUCAUAUAAUGAGGGUUUAUCCAAAUAUUUAUUGGAAAACAAAAAACAAAAUGAGUGUUAUCGAUUUUCUGUCUAAAUGAAAGUUGCGGGCUAGGCAGGUUUAAGUGGGUUAGGCGGACGCCUAAGCAAGUCUAGAGCACUUUCUUAAUUUUUAAAUGAUUAGGGACUAAUUAGGGUGGUGGACAACUGCCUAGCGCUAGACAUGGGUUUUUAGAACAGUAAUUACUUGUUCUCAUAGAUCUCUGGGUUCAAGAAAAUUAUGAUCACCUAUUGUUCGAUCUUAAUACCGUCGGUAAGCGGUUAUUUAACCAUUUUUUAUAUUGAGUAAUUUUCCUGGAUCCUGAAAUCUAGAAGAACAAAACUCUUAUGUCACAUGGAUAAACAUAAUCAGGCAUAAGAAAAAGGUUGAAGAAUUCAUAAGUCAUAUAGGGGGCGUUUGUUUGCCCUCACUAAGUAUCACUGGACUAACUAUUAGUCCAGUCCCGUGUUUCUUCUGUAGAGGGAUUAUGUUUCAUGAGACUAAAGGGGAGUCACACGGACAAACUCCUUCACUAGGAGUUCUUAGCGAGAUCCCCCAAUGCCCAUGGGAUUGCUAAGACCUCGUAUACUCCAUCUUUGUAUGCUAUGUCUCAUCCUCUCUAUGCUCUCUAUUAUCUUGAGCACCAUCACACCACAACUCACCAACUCCAGUGAGAUCACACCACCAACCCACCACCACUUUCUCCCUCUCUCUUCACAUGAACCCAAAAUUUCGAACUGAGGAAGAUCCCGUUCUUACAGUAAUUCGUCCAGCUCUAGCUGUCUGCUUCGCUUCGCUGCACUUCAAACUCGACCUUGGACUCGUCUGAUUCGCUUUGAACUCGACCUCGUAUUUGUCGACUUUACGCAAUUGACGAGAUCUUGUGAACUUGAUGAUGGGUGAGCCACCCAGUGCACUUGAAGGAAUAUGGGAGGCCAAGAACGCCAAAGCCUACGACGGCAAUGAAGACGUUGGCUGGAUUGGGAUGACAGCGACGUGUUCCACAUCAAGGGCAGCGGCUUGGGAUUCUUGUUUUCAUUUGGUUUUGAUUUAAAUUAGGUUUUGAUUUCGAAUUGGGUUUGAUGUGAUCUGGUAUUGGCAUUUGAUUUGCUCUGUAAUUGUUUGAAUGUGUGGAAUAAAUUUUGGGGAAAGAGGAAGAAAAUUUAGAAAAAGAAAAAUAGACUAAAUAAUAAAAUAUUAAUAUAUAUUAGAUUAAAUAAUAUCAUAUUAGAAUUUAUUAUUAUCCUACUUCUUGGUCCGACACUGCACCAAACGCUUUACUAAGCUAAUCCAACUUAGUCUAGUCUAAGUCAAUCCAGCUUAGUUCCUGAAGUUAGUCUAGUCCAAGACAAUCCGGUGCAACAAACACAUUCAUAGAGUAAUUAUAGGGAUACUAAAUUUGUAAAUAAAAUUUUGUAAACUAAAUGACAUGGAAGUUGAUCGUUGAAUUAUUACUUAAACGUUAAUAAAUGUACUCAUUAUCACUAAAGACACGUUAUUUAAUUUGUAAAUUUUAUUUAUAAAUCUAAAGCAUUACCCAAACUCAUAAUACAAAUAGCUACUUUGAGAGAAGAAAAGAUGGAGAGUGAUAUGAUUGCAUUCUUUUUUAAAGCAACUUCUGAAGAUUCCAUAAUAAACUAUUAUUAUAUAUGAAGAUGUGCCGUGGUAAAAGAGAGGAAAAAAUGAAUGGAAAGUUUAUCCAAAAGAUUCUUGACCGUGAUUACAACUAUUUAACUUUUGUAAAUUUUCAUGGACCGAGAUCCAAGAAAAGAUGGAGAGUGAGAUUGGCAUUCUUUUUUGUAAAGGGAUUUUUUUUCCGAUCCCUUCCAUCUAAUUCACCUGAGUCAACCAUUUGAGUUCUUGAAAUUUAUUUAAACAACUAAAAUUAUUAUAACUUUUAAUGAAGCCCCUAUUUGUAGUCGUUAAAUCAAAUUUUAAAGAUUCGAAUUAGUGAAUUAGGUGGAUUAGGUGGAAGGGAUCCGAAGAAUAUCAAUUUCCUUCUUUUUCAACACAACUUUUGUUGAGUCCAUAAUAAACUAUUAUAUGAAGAAAGAAUACUAAAAAGACUCUCUCAAAAUCGAAACUUUUUGCGAACUUUUUAGCAUCUCAUGUUUUUGAGAUUAAUAACUAACAUUAUCUGAGAUUUAUUAAGUUUUCACAAAAUUCCCUUACGUAUGAGAUAUUACGCUAACAACACUUUAGUGUAAUGUCUCAAACGUAAUGGGACCUUGUAAAAUUUGAUUAACUUCGACAGUAUUAGUAUAUUUUUAUGUAAAUAUUAUAAAAUAUUAUGUUAAAUACAUUAAAUAACAGAUAGUCUUUAAGAGAGAUUUCUUACAUCUUUCUAAUGGAUACGGACGGUGGAAAAAGAUCAUUCCAUAAUUAAAUAUUGUGCUGUUGAUUACGCGUCUCUCCAUUUGACUAAGUUCCUUUUCACAUUCUUCCCUAAAUAAAAUGGUUCACUUUUCACAUUAUUACAAUAUUUAUAUUUAUAUUUUUACAAAAGGGAUUCGUCUAAAUUAAAUUUUUCGAAAAAUUUCGUAUAGUGAGUGAAAGUGAAACACUCCCUUUGUUAUGAUUAUGACAAUAUUUAUAUUUUUACAAAAGGGAUUUAUCUAAAUUAAAAUUUUCAAAAUUCCGAACAAGAUUUGAACUUUCGUGUAUAUGAAUAUAUGGAGUAAAUUGAUCAUGGCUGAAAAUAUGGCAGUGGUUGUGUUUGUGUUGCCUAACGGAUGAUAUUGAAAUACCUAAACACAAGUCAAGCUCCUUCAGUUAACAAAAACAGAAGUUUAUAAUAUGAUAAUGUUGGCGCACGGACUUGAGAAACAACAUAGGCCGGGAAUGUGCACAAAAAGUAAGAGAGAGGUAAAGAGGAAAGAAACGAACAUGAAAGAACAAAGACUAUCGAAUACAUUAUAAAACAAUGACUUCUUGGUAGUCAUUACAUCUCAACCAUCAAUAAUGCAUUAAUUUUGGUUGAAAUGUAGAAGUAUUUGAGAAGUAGCAUGACAACAACCACAUAAUAAACAAAAGUGGACGCAAAUGUGAAAGGAUAAUUAAAAACAAUUAUUCAAGAUGGGCGGUAGUUGAUUCAGCCAUUUAGAAGAUUCAAACCUAGAAUCAUUAUUGUAUUAACUAUUAACAGGUGCUAUAAUAUAGUUCUUAGGGAUUUCAAGGAGGCAUAUGGGGGACUACAUAAUGUGCAAUAGGAUUAAACUUUUUUUGUUACUAGGCAAAUGAACCAUAUUGAAAAAAGUUGAGGUUUAACCAUAAAAUUAAUUGACGAUAUAAAAAGUAGCUCAACCUCUUAUAAGCGUUUGCAAGAUUUCUCUUUUGACCUAUACAAGACUCUUUUACUUUCACAUCCUCGAACAUAUAAUACACCCAAAUGGAUGCCAAUAUAUAAACAUUGUUUUGAAAGGACAAGGGAGCUAACAGUGUCUUUUUAUAUGACUUGGACUUGGAGUACGGGCUGCAAAUUGCAUGCAAUUGCAACGAGAGCCAAAGAUAAUUGCCUUGUCCUUCAAAUUUGUUGGUAAAUUGGGGAUUGCACGAAGAUUUUCGCACUAAUCUGAAUACAGUGUUUCAAGCUUUUAAAGACCACUGAAGCUUUGAAAACUCUGUUGAUUUUACUUCCCAAGUAAGUGACAUAAAACUAAAUUGGGCAGUUGCAUGACAACAACCACUUAAUAAUCAAAAGUGAUUCGAAAAAGACCGAAAGUGAGAUGACCGCAUUCUUUUUCAGACAACUUUGGUAGAUUCCAGAAUAAACUAUUAUACAUGAAGAUGGGCGGUGGUAAUUGUCCUUUUGAUUAAAGUUUUUUGAGUCGAAAAUCAUUUUUCUAUAAUUAAUUCUUAACUAGAAAUUUGUACCAGUACACCGUUGUGGGACUGAAAAUCUUAUGAAAUAUUUUAUAACUUUAAUUUUCAUAAAUAAUGUGCGAGUGAAAAACAAAAAAUUACGAAUGGUAAUGCAAUUUAUAUGUAACCUUAUCAUGAACGGAACAAAUUUAGAUACUAAAAGAAAAAUUAAAAAUCUAUUUUUUCAAAGUGCGAAGAGAUAAUUGUUUAUUAAAAAAGUUGGACCAAUGAUAACUGCAUAAAUUACAAAUGCAAUAUUAAGAGUAUACCAGUCAAACUAAGCUUGCUACAGGCUAAACAAUGUUGAAAAACAUCAUUAGCUUUUUCAAGUGUUAUAUGCAAUGAAUGUAAUUAGCACGAAACUAGCACGAAACUGCAGAGGCUUUCGAUCCAUUAUAAUAUAAAAUAAAUAAUAAUAUUUACGUAUAAAAUAUGAUAUGAUUAUAUGAAAGUAACGACCCAAAUCUUAUUGGAGCUAAUUAACUAAUGUAUGCUCAUCAGGCAGCUGGAUUCCUUGGCAAGUGUUUAACCCCUACUUUCUUCACGCUCACAGAAUCACCAUUUGCAAAGUCAAUCGGCCUCACACCAAUAAAAACUUAAUCCCCGGCUAGUAAACUGAUCAGCUUAUCGUCCGAUAUAUGUCACUGCAAAGAUAAUCACCUUGUCUUUCAAAUUUGUUGGUAAAUUGGGGAUUGCGAGAAGAUUUUCGCACUAAUCCAAAUAUAUUGUUUCGAGCUUUGAAUGACCACUGAAGCUUUGAAAAGUCUGAUGGUUUUGUUAGGUCAUGUGUAUGACUAACGUUAAUGAUUUUCAACUUCCCAAGCAACUGUUACACAACUAAAUUUAAAAUCCAAGAGGAGGAUAUGAUCAGAGAAGAAAGAAAUGCAAUCCACUAAUAAUCAACAUCGAUAUUGUCUUCAACUUAAUCAUGAAUAAGUUUUAAGGCACAAAAGACCUCAUGCUUUUGUAGUUGAGCCAUUUAAUGUAAGGAGAAUCACAAUGUUAGUUAACCACAUCACAGUACAAAAGCACUAAAAGCGUCCAAGUGAAAGUGAAAGUGCUUUCUUCUCAUGUAGUUUCAUUUAACUUAAUUUUCCACAAUGGUAAUUAUGUUUCAAUGGUUCUGUUUUCACAUGCCAGUCGGUCAGUCACAUACUCAACUCCUUAAUGUUCGGGCUCAAUGGCUCGAAGAGAGCUUCCACUUCACUCUGAUUCACCUCCUCUAACUUUGACGGAUUCCACUUCGGAUUCUGCAUUGACAAGAAACAGAAGCCAGAGAUAAAGAUUCGUUGAUAUACGGAAAGUAAGAUGAUUAUACAACCGUAGGUCUAGUAGAGGCUGUAAUGGUUUAUGUUGCAGCAACUGCGUCAGCAAGUGAUUUUAUAGCAAGGAAUCUUGAGCAUAAUUAACGAACCUGAUCCUUGUCCACCAAAACUGCCGUACACCUUCAGCAAAAUCAUUCCGUAAAGACGAUCUUAUAGCAACGUGAUAUUCAGUUUCAUCACACCAGUUAACUGGUAUUGGUCAAGUAAAGCACAUGUUACUUUCUGAAAAUUUGAAAUACUACAACGCAAAACCUAUCAAAAGGAUGCAACCAUGUGAUGCAAGAAACGAAAAGGUACAAAGUCCAGACUCACUCUGGAUAAUUGAUUGUCAUUUUUCCCAAGCACGGAUGCAACUUUAGCGAAAUAAUUUUGUGUCAAAAAAGUGAAAACAGAGCACCCUUUCCAAGACCUUAAAGAGCUUCGUUAGCCCACUCACCACUGCAAUACAAACAAUUUAUACAAAAUACUUGACAGCGACAUACAAGCUGCUCAAUAGACAAAUGGCAUUAAAAAACUUACCAGUAGCAUCUGAACUCUGAUGCUGCUUUUUAAGUUCAUCAAUUGUCUCAAGAACCAACUUAUCUGCACCAAAUGCUGAAGUUAUUUGAGGUAAAAGAGUCUUGAGUUGCGCUUCAGAAUCUGGGUAGCUGGUGAAUUUCACCACAAUUGUUUCAAUGUCCUGAUGGGGAUCCUGGGAACUGAUUCAACAAUGGAGUUGCUUUUAUCUCAAGAAACGCAUUGGACAAUGUGAUGAUGGCAACUAAAGUUAAACCCACUGAAGCAUUGGAAAUUGCGUCUGAGGAUAGAAAAGGCAUACCUGCAGAUACUCCUCCCAGACUCUUUGCCUCUAUAUGUGAAAACCCAUCUGGGAACAAACCAAUUCCAUUCUCUGGCAUAGCAAGAACAGUCCUCAGAAAUGUAUCCAUACAAAGUUUGACACACAAAAUUAAAAAAGCCAUUGCAAUGUAAUUGACAACAUUGACAAUCUCUGUCUGACCGGGCAAUAAUGCCUCUGUAAUGAUCCGGUAGCGACUGUGACCUGAUAGGCCAAUACCAAAGCCCACUGUUAUGCCAUCCAUGAAGCUUAUAUGGGCUUCUUGUACUCGGAGAUAUUGCAUAUUAGAGAAUACUCAGCAGUGAAUACCUGAAAAACGUGCAGCACAAAUAUCAUAUCGGUAGCCUCUCAAAUCUUAAGAAAACUACAAAUGGUAGCUUAGAAAAGAAAUGAAUCCUCUCCAACCAAUACAAAUCAUAUUACCCAAGUUCAAGCAAAAUCAAGACUAAACAAAUGACCAGAUGUUGUAGGUUGCCAGAGAAUGUCAAACAUGAAAUUACAAAAGAAAAAAAUAAUCGUAUGUAUUGAACAUUAAUAAAUACAUGCUGAAAGCACAAUCUUAGCCGCAAUUUAUGACAUUUAUACAAGAUUAAAUCGCCAAAGAAAUUAAAGAAAUUGCAGAGCUCAUAUAAGUGAUGUUCACUAUGAACUUUUAGGCUUAUCAACAAAUACACCAUAACGAUUCUAAUGCAUGAAUUUUGUUAAAGGGGGCUUGCUUGCUUGUAUUAAGGCUUAAUCAUCAAUGAUUUUGCAAGGGUCAAUCGUAUUGCUAGUUGUAAAUCUAUUCACUAUGAAAAUUACCAAAAUUACAUCUAAUAUGGUAGUGAAGGAAGUCAUCUUACAUUAUCUGGAAUUUAGAAAACUGUGUAAGGUUAUAAUAUAUGGUUACAAGGACACAAUUAGACCUCAAUCAUAUUCGGUGGUUGGUUUUUGGCCGUGAUCUGCUUCACAUCACCGCCUGCAGGUAAACUAAAUCUGGGUUACUACAUAUCAAUGAAUCAACGUGCCAACUUAACGGACACCAUCUAUCUCUAUAUGGCAAAAAAAACAACACAAAAAGGAACAUGAAGUGAAACAAUAAACAACAUGACAUGAAACAGCACGAACAUCAAAGACCAACAAUCUAUCACGUAAGCACCUAAACAAGAAACAACUUUAGUUCAAAGCAAAGCGUAAUGUAGAAACCUUCGGCACAACAGGUGUGUUUUUGUCCUUUCGAGUUUCGGCAACAACCACUUUAAUAUCCUUUCCUGCAUUUACCAUGAUUGGUCACUCUUAAAACCUUAACUCCGCCGUGUAAGUUUAUCUUACAUUGCCGGUCCCAAGCCCGGAUAAAGGAGGAGGGGGAGGGCGUCAGGUAGUCGACAGCCGGCACUCCAUGAUUACGUCGAAUCCUUACGAAAAUGAAUCCAGAACGAAAUCGCGCUAAAGCUAGGGCGUCACCCGUAAGUGGCGCGCUGUGUGGCCCGAGCACAGUGAUAAGUGAGCAAGGGUCGCUAUAUCUCCAUCGGCACCCGGAUGCAGUGUUAAAUGAGCAAGGGGGCUAUAGAAACUUCUUUUCGAACGACUCCACUCAAAGUUGUUUGGGAGCAUAUGCUCCUAUCAACUUUACACGGGACACACAAAAGAAGUACUUUGAUCCUAUUAGACGGGGAAGGGUGAAGAAGCUAGGACAGAAGGGUAGAGUUCAAGAGAGCAAAAUGCGUUUAGGAACGUGGAAUAUAGGAACCUUGACGGGAAAAUCUAUGGAAGUAGUAGCAGUUAUGGUGAGGAGAAGGAUAAAUAUUAUGUGCCUACAAGAAACUAAGUGGGUUGGGCGUAAGGCAAAGGAUCUAGAAAACUCAGGGUUUAAACUAUGGUAUUCGGGCACAAAUAGAACGAGAAACGGUGUUGGCAUCAUCGUGGACAAGACCUUGACACAAGAUGUUGUAGAUGUUAAGAGGGUAGGAGAUAGAAUCAUGUCAAUCAAGAUUGUAAUAGGACAAGAACUUAUCAAUGUGAUUAGUGCGUACGCACCUCAAGUAGGGUUGGAUACGAGUUCGAAGGAGAAAUUUUGGGAAGACCUUGGAGACUUGGUGCAAGGAAUUGCUCAGACGGAGAAGUUAUUUAUAGGAGGAGAUUUAAAUGGACACGUGGGCAGGGAGACAGACAACUAUGGAGGUUUUUAUGGUGGCCAUGGUUUUGGGGAGAGAAAUGAGGAUGGGGAAGCUAUCUUGAAUUUUGCAAUGGCAUAUGAUCUCUUCUUAGCCAACACCUUCUUUAAGAAGAGAGAAGAACAUGUGAUCACCUACAAGAGUGGGUCGUCAAAAACACAAAUAGAUUUUCUCCUAAUGAGGAAAGGGGAUCGUAUAACUUGUAAGGAUUGCAAAGUUAUACCAGGAGAGAGCGUGGCUAAUCAACAUCGCUUGUUGGUGAUGGAUGUAAAUAUCAAAAGAGUGAGAAAAAAGAACAAGACUUGGAAGUGCCCAAGGACUAGAUGGUGGAAUCUAAAAGAAGAAAAACAAGCCAUUUUCAAAGAGAAAGUAAUCACCCAGUGUGUGUGGGAUAGAGAGGGGGAAGCUAACCAAAUGUGGGAUUCCAUGGCUAGUUGUAUCCGAAAAGUAGCAAAAGAGGUAUUAGGAGAGUCCAAGGGCUUUGCCCCACACCAAAAGGAAUCUUGGUGGUGGAAUGAGGAGGUACAAACAAAGGUGAAGGCUAAGAAGGAAUGUUGUAAAGCCUUAUACAAGGAUAGGACCGAUGAAAAUGGUGAAAGGUAUAGAAAAGCGAAGCAAGAGGCGAAGAAAGCUGUGAGAGAAGCUAAGUUAGCGGCUUAUGACGAUAUGUAUAAGCGACUAGAUACCAAAGAAGGAGAGUUGGAUAUCUAUAAACUAGCUAGAGCAAGGGAAAAGAAAGACAAGGGACCUAAACCAAGUGAGGUGCAUCAAGGAUGAGGAUGGAAAGGUUCUUGCUACAGAGAACGCGGUUAAAGACAGAUGGAAAGGUUAUUUUCAUAAUCUUUUCAAUGAAGGACAUGAAAGGAGUGCUUCUUUAGGGGAGUUGAGUAACUCAGAAGAGUGUAGAAACUACUCUUUUUUAUCGUAGAAUUCGGAAGGAAGAAGUGGUUGUAGCUUUGAAGAAGAUGAAGCAUAGAAAAGCAGUAGACCUAGACGAUAUACCAAUUGAAGUGUGGAAAGUUUUGGGAGAGACAGGUAUAACAUGGCUCACUGACCUUUUCAAUAGGAUUUUGAAAACGAAGAAGAUGCCAAAUGAGUGGCGAACGAGCACUUUGGUGCCUAUCUACAAGAAUAAGGGUGAUGUACAAAAUUGCAUGAACUAUAGGGGUAUUAAGCUAAUGAGUCAUACAAUGAAGCUCUGGGAGAGAGUCAUUGAGCAUAGAUUGAGGCAAGAGACACGGGUUUCGGACAACCAAUUCGGGUUCAUGCCAGGGCGCUCAACCAUGGAGGCAAUCUAUCUCUUACGAAGAUUGAUGGAAAGAUAUAGAGAUGGGAAAAAGGAUUUACACAUGGUCUUUAUAGAUUUGGAAAAAGCGUAUGAUAGGGUCCCAAGAGACAUUCUUUGGAGGAUUUUAGAGAAGAAAGGAGUACGAGUAGCAUAUAUCCAAGCUAUACAGGAUAUGUAUGAAGGAGCAAAGACUGCCGUAAGAACUCAUGAAGGACAAACCGAAAGCUUUCCCAUAACUGUAGGAUUACAUCAAGGCUCAUCCUUAAGUCCUUACCUUUUUGCGUUGGUAAUGGAUGAGUUAACAGGACAUAUUCAAGAUGAUAUUCCUUGGUGUAUGCUUUUCGCAGACGAUAUAGUGUUGAUAGAUGAAACUCAGGAAGGGGUAAAUGCAAAGCUUAACCUUUGGAGAGAAGUGUUGGAAUCUAAAGGUCUUCGCCUAAGCCGAUCAAAGACAGAAUAUAUGGAGUGCAAGUUCAGUGCAAAUGGAGGCCAAAACGAGUUAGGGGUGAGGAUCGGAGAUCAAGAAAUACCAAAGAGCGACCGUUUUCGUUACCUAGGAUCUAUCUUGCAAAAGAACGGAGAAUUAGAUGGAGAUCUCAACCAUAGAAUACAAGCUGGAUGGAUGAAGUGGAAGAGAGUGCAUCCGGCGUAUUGUGUGACCGCCGUAUGCCACUGAAGCUCAAGGGAAAAUUUUAUAGGAACGGCAAUAAGGCCGGCGAUGCUGUAUGGCACAGAAUGUUGGGCGGUGAAGCAUCAACACGUACACAAAAUGGGUGUAGCGGAGAUGAGGAUGCUUCGUUGGAUGUGUGGGCACACGAAGAAAGGAUAAGAUUAUGGAAUGAGGAUAUCCGGGGUAAAGUAGGAGUAGCCGAAAUUGAAGGAAAGAUGAGAGAAAAUCGGUUACGGUGGUUUGGACAUGUGCAAAGAAGGCCUACUGACGCUCCGAUUAGAAGAUGCGACUAUGGGACAGAGGUUCAGGGCCGAAGGGGUAGAGGAAGACCUAGGAAAACUUUGGAAGAGACCCUAAGAAAAGACUUAGAGUACUUGGAUCUAACGGAGGACAUGACACAGGACAGAACACAAUGGCGUUCUAAGAUUCAUAUAGCCGAUCCCACUCAGUGACUUGGAUUUUCCAAGUCUCCAACCGAGAAGUUUUCCUCACUCGGGAAAUUAAGGGAACACUACCUCAACCUACAUGCUCCACUCACAAAGCUUCAACAAAAGAAAAAUUCAAAGAACUUAGCGAAGAAGGCUUUUGGUGUAUUUAACACAAUACGUUGAAAUGAAGGAAAGCUUAUUUAUUGAUAUCCCCGAUAAGUUACAAAUAUGUACAUAUACUUGAGUCAAAAUAAACAAACAAGAGGGAGCCUUCACAAAGGUUGCUUAGGAGAAGUCUCAGCAGUCGGUAGAGCCCCAGAAAGAGAAGGCACCGGAGGGGGAUCAUUCGGAGCCUCAGUACUGGACAGAACCCUAGAAGGAGGAGGCAUCAGAGGUUGAUCAUUUGGAGCUUCAUUACGCGGUACAGCCCCAGAAGACGAAGGCAAUAAAUGCCUUUGGAACAAACCCACAAAUCUCUGAUGAUCAAGUAAAACCUGACCAUCAGAUUCCUUCAUCUGGUCAAGCUUCCUCUUCAUGUUUGUAGCAUAGUCAUGUGCGAGCCGGUGCAACUGUUUAUUCUCAUGCUUGAGCCCUCUAAUCUCCUGUUUGAGACUCAUCACUUCAGCCGCCAAUGAUUCAACUUGGCGGGUUCGAGCAAAUAGGCGUUGGGCCAUAUUAGACACAGAACCUGCACACUGAACACUGAAGAGCCAGAGAAUCCUUAACAGCCAACUCAUCAGACCGUUUGGAAAGUAGUCUGUUAUCUUUGGGAGUGAGAAGGUUCCUAGGCCACUACCGCAGCGGUCAUAUCAUUCUUCAUCACGGAAUCCCCAACGGUAAGAGGACCAGUAGGGGAGACGAAGGAUGGGCGCCAUAUGUUGUCUGAAGAAGGCGGGGCUGCCUCUUCAACAAGGUUCAAGUCAAAACGACGGUCGGAGGGGCCAGACAUUUUCAAAGGUGUUGAAGAGAGAAGAGGUCGGACAAAUCAAGAUCUUAGAAGUGCAAGAAUGGAGCUUCUACUGGUGGAUAUUCAAGUGUGCUUUGGAACUUAAUGUCAGCCCCUAUAAAAAAUCUGCACUCGACGAAGCUUCAGAAAUCGAAGAGGCGCCUGCUCAGAAAUCGAAGAGGCGUUUGCUUUCUCAAAAGCUGGGCUGCUCAGAGACCACGAGGGUUUGAUCUCAGAAAUCGAAGAGGCGUUUGCUUUCUCAAAAGCUGGGCUGCUCAAAGACCACGAAGGCCGAUCUCAGAAAUCGAAGAGGCUUGCUUUCUCAAAAGCUGGGCUGCUCAGAGACCACGAGGGCCGAUCUUAGAAAUCGAAGAGGCACCUACUUUUCCAGCCUUGUCAGCACCUGUCACACGCACACUCAGCUUUGCGGAAAUUAUGGGCAUUCUGUCGAAGAUUUCUGGUGAAGUAGAAAGCACAUGAAUCGUACUGUUCAAUCACCCACUUCCCACACGCAACAGUAGCUCAUGGGUACCACAGAUAACUUUGCCAAAGUUCUCUGACAAAGUUGAGACACGUGAAGCUUGCAGCUCCCACUACAUCGCUCUGACCAAGAAGGGUAAAAGAAUAGCAAAGAAACAACACUAACAAAGUUUAGACACAUAAAUUUUGAAGGUCUAGCUACCAUAUUAUUACCCACAAGGGUAAAGGAACAGUACCACUGCUGGAUAAUUGGAAAGUCCCGGUGUGUCAACCUCUGUGCUUCGUGGCAAGGUAGACUAGCAAACAUGCCCAACCUUUACUCACAUUCGAGAAAACACUCCCAACAAGAUUGCUUGCUCCAAAAUCGAAGAGGCACCCGCUCCUCCGAAUCUCGAGAGCCAGACUCCCAACAUGAUUACUUUCUCAAAAAUCGAAGAGACAUCCGCUCUCCGAAUCUCGAGAGCCAGACCUCCAGCAGGAUUGCUUUCUCAAAAAUCGAAAAGGCAUCGUUCUCCGAAUCUCAAGAGCUGGAUCCCUGACAGGAUUGCUUGUUCGAAAACCAAAGAGGCACCACUUUCCCAACUUCAAGAGCUGGAUCUCCUUGGAUAAAGCUUGUCUGUAAUCUUCACACACGCAACAUCAGCUUUUCCAGAUACCACAGACCCACUUUUUCAAAGUGCUCUGACAGAGUUAAAACUUGUGAAGCUGGCAGCUCCCACUACCGUGCUAUGACCAAGCAGGGUAAAGGAAUAGCAUUAUUACUUGAUGUUAGGGAGACUCCUAUAUAUGUCGACCUCCAUCCCCAACGGACAGGCAGACCUGCAAAAAUGCUCAACCCUUCCUCUUAUCUGAGAGGGCACUCCCAACGAAGCCUUUCGAAAUAUUCAGCUUUCUUUCCCCCCGAUAAUACCUCUGUAAACAAGCUAUACUAGAGCAAGAAUAUCUCAUAUCAUCAGGGUUAAAAGCAAGAGUAUCCCAUAUCAUGCUUUUUUCCCGUCUUUUCCUUUGGCCUUGUUCUUACCUGCAAGACAAGGAGAAAGAGAGCAAUCAGUCAGCACUUGGAAUCAAGCUUCCAGCCAGGAACUGACUGCCUGGAACCCCUUACCUGAUUACUUACCUGGCAUUGCUCUCGAGUACUCAUCUUCAACAUCUUAUGCUUCCAGGGAAGAUACCGCAAUCGCCUGAAGAACAGAUAGGGCAAGUGAGAAGGAUACAAGGAAGCAUGUGGAGACAAGCGUAACAGCACACGUGCCGAUACAUCCACUACUCUGUCAAAAGCAAAAGUAUCUCAUAUCAGCAGGGUCGAACGUACUCUAGAUUUGAUGGACUUGUUUUGACCCUCAAAUUCUUCAGUCGGCCUUAUACUCUGGAGGAAACCAGAAAACCCUCCAGCCCAGUUCAAGAAUAAGCCUGUGGAAAGUUACUUCUUCAAAAGCAAAAAGUAUCCCAUAUCAUCUCUUCUCAUUUUUCUUCUCUUUAUCCUUCAUGCUGCAUGCAAGAUAGGGAGAAUGUGAACAAUCAGCCGGAGCUCUGAUUGCUUACCUUGUCUGUCAUCUCUUUCAGCAGAUCCCCUAGCUCGGCGACUUAGGGGACUCCUACUACAUGGUUUGUAUCGCGCUUGACCAAGCCUGAAACUACAAGUAAGCUUCAAGUGACAAUUGAUACAUUACCUUGUGCAUCUCCACCAGUUACAGAUACCACCCCUGGAUGGAGGAAGAGUACUUCCAGAGAAGAUGCCACAUCUACCUAUGAGACAGAUAAGGAAAGUCAAGACGAUACCACACUCCGGUACUUAGAAGUUUCGUGGUUACGAGAUCAUUCUCCCACAAUAUUUCCUAAUGUCAUUUGUACUAAAUCAUUCACUUGUACUCACUAAAGGAGAGCUUGAACCUAUGUACUUGUGUAAACCCUUCACAAUUAAUGAGAACUCCUCUAUUCCGUGGACGUAGCCAAUCUGGGUGAACCACGUACAUCUUGUGUUUGCUUUCCUAUCUCUAUCCAUUUAUAUACUUAUCCACACUAAUGACCGGAGCAAUCUAGCGAAGAUCACAAAAAGUGACCGUUUUCGCUACCUAGGAUCUAUCCUUGCAAGAGAACGGAGAAUUAGAUGGAGAUCUCAACCAUAGAAUACAAGCUGGAUGGAUGAAGUGUAAGAGUGCAUCCGGCGUGUUGUGUGACCGUCGUAGGCCACUGAAGCUCAAGGGAAAAUUUUAUUUUAUAGGACGGCAAUAAGGCCAGCGAUGUUGUAUGGCACAGAAUGUUGGGCGGUGAAGCAUCAACACGUACACAAAAUGGGUGUAGCGGAGAUAAGGAUGCUUCGUGGGAUGUAUGGGCACACGAGAAAGGAUAAGAUUGGGAAUGAGGAUAUCCGAGGUAAAGUAGGAGUAGCCAAAAUUGAAGGAAAUAUGAGAGAAAAUCGGUUCCAGUGGUUUGGACAUGUGCAAAGAAGGCCUACUGACGCUCCGGUUCGAAAAUGUGACUACGGGACAGAGGUUCAGGGCCGAAGGGGUAGAGGAAGACCUAGGAAAACUUUGGAAGAGACCCUAAGAAAAGACUUGAGUACUUGGAUCUAACGGAGGACAUGACACAAAACCGAGCGCAAUGGCGUUCUAGGAUUCAUAUAGCCGACCCCACUUAGUGGGAAAAGGCUUUGUUGUUGUUGUUGUUGUUGUGGUCACUCUUAAAACCUUACCUAAGAGACCCAAAAACAAAAAUAACCGCCGAAAGAGCUAAACAUACAUAUAUAGAAAAACUUAAUUAACUGCAUGCUAAAAUGGAAGUGUAAAAUUGCCAAGAAAGAUAAGAAACUAUUUAAAUACGAAUUCUGGGCAUUACCGCCACAAAAGGCAUGAGCCGAACAGCUAUCAACAAGAACACACUUCCCAUUCAUCCAGAUAGCCCUUGUAUUUCACAUCCAUAUCUGCAUUUUCCAACAAUUCCCACUUAAACAGAAACACAAAAUUCAUCGAAAAAAUGCUAACUUCUUCGAAAUUUGAAUCCAACGUUUCGUCUUAUAACAAAUGCAAUAACAUAGAUUUGUAAUCAAUUCGAUGCCAUAAAGUUCAAGCUCAAAAUUUCAAAUCAGCUCCAAAUCAAAAGCAUUUACAGAUACAUACAUAUAUACAUAUGCGUGUGUGUGUUUAUCUACAUACCCAGGUUCAUGGCGUUGAGAGCUCGGCAGGCGACGGAGGGUGAUGACGGCGACGCCAAUUGGGUGGACGCUGCCCUUCGAAUUGGGUCGCUCCUCGCAAUAAGCUUCCCAUUACUUCCGUUUGAGAGUGACUGUCAGUGUAGAGAGAGGGAUUUUUUUUUUGUGCUUCUGGACCGGACUACACUUGAUGUUUCGGUUAUAUUACCGGGAAAAAGAACUGCCGCGGUGGCUACGCAGGGAAACUUGAAAUUUGAAAGAAGUAUGAAGUAUGGACUUGCCUUCAUUUAUUGAACUGAGAAAUCGAAAUCUGAAAGAGGCGUUUGACGAAGUGAUUGUGAUCUGACUCAAACAUGUGAUGAUGACGAUGCAUCACCACCUUGGUUGUGCCUCUGGAUCAAAAACAUACCAUCACCAUCAAAAUCGUGCAUAUUUUCCUUCAUAGGUUUGUCCCAUACUAGAUUAACCCCUAUUCCCUUAAUUAUUGCAUAAUAAGAAUUAUAGCAUGUCUCUGGCAUUCCAACGGCUAUAUCAACUUUAUCCCCGCUUUGCAAAUUGAACUUAUCGUUGGACAUUUGUCCCUGCCAAAGAAAACAUUUUUCAGGUAAACCAUCGUGCAUUUUUAUAACCCAAUCUUCCUUGCCUAUGCAGGUUUGCAACUCAGUACGCUUGGUAUUAUUUAUAUCAAUACUGCCACGAGGAUGACAAUAUUUAAAGCUCAUAGAAGGGCUUGAGGGACAAGUUAAGUGAUAAAAGCAUAACAGAGUCAACCCUUCAAAAUUACGACCAUCACUUGGGGGGUAUCAAAACUGACUUUAUCACCAUCGUUGACAAACUCGAACCAAUCAGGAACAUAAUUCGCAUCGAGAAAAAUGCCAGCAUAUCCGUAAGAAGUCCAUCCCUAUAUAUACAGUGCAAGUGUCAUAUACAUACAUACAUACAUACAUACAUACAUAUAUGUAAAUGUGCAUUGUGUGUGCAUGUGCGCAAUAGGAAGACAAUUAAAGAGAGAGAUACCUUUAGGACCUUCCUCCUAAAAUCAGCUGUGAGAUUGGUGCACUUUUGCAUUACAAUCCAUUUCAUGGAGUUUAAUGACUUAUCCAAGUCCGGAAUCUCUGUGAGUGCGUGUGAACCAGUUACAUUCAGUUCUCUCAUAUUUGACAUUUUCGAAAAAUUGGGCAUUUUUACCAAACAACAGCAACCAUAAGCAUCCAGAAAUUUCAAAUUUGUUGGUAAAUCAUAGAUUGUAUGAAGCUGGGAACAAUAACUUAACCACAUACCUUCAAGCUUUGAAAGACCAUUGAGGCUGGGUAGGGUGUGUAAGAUACUGCAGUGACUUAACUCCAGAGUUUUAAGAUUUGAAAGACCAUUGAGGCUGGGUAGGGUGUGUAAGUUACUGCUGUGACUUAAUUCCAGAGUUUCAAGAUUUGAAAGACCAUUGAGGCAGGGAAGGGUGUGUAAGUUACCACAGUGAUUUAACCACAUAGUUUUAAGAUUUGAAAGACCAUUGAGGCUGGGUAGGGUGUGUAAGUUACUGCAGUGACUUAACCACAGAGUUUUAAGAUUUGAAAGAUCAUUGAGGCUGGGUAGGAUGUGUAAGUUACUGCAGUGACUUAACCCUAGAGUUUUAAGAUUUGAAAGACCAUUGAGGCUGGGUAGGAUGUGUAAGUUACUGCAGUGACUUAACUCCAGGGUUUUAAGAUUUGAAAGACCAUUGAGGCUAGGUAGGGUGUGUAAGUUACUGCAGUGACUUAACCAUAGAGUUUUAAGAUUUGAAAGACAAUUAAGGCUGGGUAGGGUGUGUAAGUUACUGCAUUGACUUAACCCCAGAGUUUUAAGAUUUGAAAGACCAUUGAGGCUGGGUAGGGUGUGUAAGUUACUGCAGUGACUUAACUCCAUACCUUCAAGCUUUGAAAGACCAUUGAGGCUGGGUAGGGUGUGUAAGUUACUGCAGUGACUUAACUCCAGAGUUUCAAGAUUUGAAAGACCAUUAAGGCUGGGUAGGGUGUGUAAGUUACUGCAGUGACUUAACUCCAGGGUUUUAAGCUUUGAAAGACCAUUGAGGCUGGGUAAGGUGUGUAAGUUACUGCAGUGACUUAACCACAGAGUUUUAAGAUUUGAAAGACCAUUGAGGCUGGGUAGGGUGUGUAAGUUACUGCAUUGACUUAACCCCAGAAUUUUAAGAUUUGAAAGACCAUUGAGGCUGGGUAGGAUGUGUAAGUUACUGCAGUGACUUAACUCCAAAGUUUUAAGCUUUGAAAGACCAUUGAGGCUGGGUAGGGUGUGUAAGUUACUGCAGUGACUUAACUCCAGAGUUUUAAGCUUUGAAAGACCAUUGAGGCUGGGUAGGGAGUGUAAGUUACUGCAGCGACUUAACCCCAGAGUUUUAAGCUUUGAAAGACCAUUGAGGCUGGGUAGGGUGUGUAAGUUACUGCAAUGACUUAACCCCAGAGUUUUAAGAUUUGAAAGACCAUUGAGGCUGGGUAAGGUGUAUAAGUUACUGCAGUGAUUUAACUCCAGAGUUUUAAGUUGUGAAAGACCACUCAGGCCGGGUAGGGUAUGAAGGUUACAGCAGUUACUUAACUGCAAAUUUUCAAGUUUUGAAAGACCACAUAGGCUGGGUAGGGUAUGAAAAUAAUGUUUUGAGAGAUCUAAAUUUCCGUCUAACGAAUUGGGAAACUGCAAAGUAAACUUCGAUUCCACAGACGCUAGAGAUAAAUGAGUGAGAUUCUUCAAUCUUACUAUGGAACAGGGUACUUGUCUUAUGGCUGUGGAAGAUGCUAUAAGUACUCUCAAUGAUGUCAUCUUCCCUAAAUCCUCGGGCAGUUCACUGAAUUGCUGACAUCCAUUAAGAACAAGAGUCUGAACGGAUUUGGACUUGUAGAAAUCCCCAGGAAGAGAAAUAAGAUUCUGGCAGCCUGUGAGGUUCACCAAAGAAAGUUUUUUAAGAUGACAAAUGGAGGGGUGAAUCUCGGACAAACUGUUACACCAUUCCAAUAUCAACUCUUCAAGAUUUAGGAGAUUUGAAAAGUCUGGUGAUUUUUUUAAGUCAAGGCAAUAACUGAGAUUAAGGAUUUUCAAGUUUCCAAGCGACUGUUGCACAAAAUCAAAGGAAAAUUAAAAUUAAUAUCCAAAAACAAAUGGAAACAUAACAUCAUCAUGUGUAAUCGAUUGUACCUUGGAGCCCUCCCAAACUUGUACAAGUCUGCUAUACGCUAUCUCUAAAAUAACCAGUGCUCUUGGUUGAUCAAAGAAGUGAUCUGGUAUGGACUUUAAAGGGCAUCCAAACCAACGCAACCAUAUUAACUCUUUGGAAAGAUGUUUGUAUUCUCCAUUGAGCUGCACGUUGUAGAGCUGCAGCAGUCUCAGUUUCUUCAUAUUGGCAAAUGCUUCUGUACUGAAGCUUCGAAGCCUUUGCAGCCAAUGAUCUCCAGAAAAAUUAAGAGCAAGUCCUUUAACUUCUUCAGUUCCCUGUUAACAAAAGGUUAUAUUCAUGUGUAAGAAACGGAAUAUUUGCAUAUGUUUACAUGUAUGAAUACAUGCAAGUACUAUUGUUGGCUAAUUGAGAUGAUGUUACUUAAUGUAUAAUACACAUCCGUGAGUUAUAUGUGCUUUUCAUGUACGAUGCAUCAAUUCAGAAUUUUAUUGGGACUAUACUUACAAAUUUAUCUCUCAAUACAUCAAUGACCUCUUGCUGGUUCCACAACCUACUCCAUUCUCCAGGGUGACGAGGGGAUUUUUCAGAAAUGAUUAAUUUGGCCAUUUCUUGAAGCAAAUCAUGCAUAUUCAACUUCUUGUGUUCAAUAGUGAUAAGGCAUCGUUCACAGAGGACAUUGAUUCCUAUUGUUGCAAAAAACUUACAUCCAUCUAAUAUUUUUGCGACAUAGUCCUUAUCCCAUCCAAUAAAGAAACAAGAUAUGUCAAGGAAUAUAUCCUUUUGUGUAGGAUCUAGCCUUUCAAAGCUUACUCUUAGUGGUUUCAUUAUUCCUUCAUCAGGAAAUUUUUUCAAUUUCUCCAACUGACUUUUCUACUCUGUUGGUGUUCUUUCAAUCAUAAAAGAAGAACCUAAAACUGCAAGGGCUAGUGGCAAACCACCACAGUAAGAAACAACCUCUUUUGAGAGUUCAAGAUAUCCUUCAUUAGGCCAACUCUUUCCAAAGGCAUGCCAACUAAAGAGCUUCAGAGCUUCUUCUUCAUUCAUUUCCUUAAGUGAAUAUGUCUUGUCCACUUUCAUGUUCACUUGCUUUAGAAAACGUUCAUCUCGUGUCGUUAUGAUAAUUCUACUUCCUGGGCCAAACCAAUCACGAUUUCCAGCUAUUGCAUCUAGUUGUUCCACUUUGUCUACAUUGUCAAUAAUGACAAGCACGCUUCUACGUUGGAGAUGAUUUUUUAUCAGACUGAUACCUCUAUCAACACUGGUUAUCUUAGACUCGGUAUGUUUCAAGAUGUCAGAAACAAGUCUUCCUUGCAAAUCAACCAGAUCACAUUCACUAACGUUGGCAAGGAAACUUUUGAAUUGGAACUUAUGAUGAAGUUGGUUAUAAAUGGCUUUGGCAGCUGUUGUUUUACCCAAUCCACCAAUCCCCCAAAUUCCAACCAUGCGAACAACAUAUGAUCCACCAUUUGAAAGAUAAGUGAUGAUAUCUUGAAUGCGAGUAUAUAUUCCAACUGGGUGCUUGGCCAAAUGUAAAUUUUCUGCGCUCGGAAGCCAUUUUGGGAUAAUCUUGUCAACAAUUUCUCUAAUAAGCUUUGCUUCGCGCCUGAAAAAUUGAAUUGGUAAGCUUAGUAAGUAGGCUCAGUAGGAGCUAUUAGUACUAAUAUAAACAAUUUUCUUUCCUUCUUUCCUUCGUGUGUGUGUGUGUGUGUGUACAUAUAUGUACACAAACUAGCUACUAGCUAGUACGUGAUUUUGUGACCAACUUCAAUAAAAGAAACAAGUUCAUUCAUUGAUAUAUUAAAGUUUGGUGCAUCAAUUAAACUCCAAUUAUGGUUUAGAUUUUAGAGGAAAUUAGAGAAAUGGUCCUUGAACUAUGAUCAAAUUGUGGCCUUGGUUCUUAAAACUAAAAAUUCAAUAAAUCUCCUCCCUGAACUUAACAAAAUAUGAAGCAUUGGUCCCUAAAUGUUAACACCGUAUGAUUUUCUGUUAAUUUGAUUAUGUCGUCUUUGUGGGCUCCAUAUUAUUGUUUACUAGAUGGCACGUGGCUUGAAAAGUCAAAAUAAAAGAAAAUAAAUACAAACAUAGAGAAAGAAAGAGAGAGAAAAAAAAACUUUAAAUUAUAAAAGUUAACUCUCUCUCCCAUCCUCCCUUCCGCCUCACCUCCUCCAAACCCCAACCACACCAUUGUAGCACUUUCCCAACAGCCAAAACAAAAGAAAGUUUCUAAUCCAAUUUUGGAACACGUCUCCGUUUGCAAACGAAUUCACAAUGACAUCCAUUCACGCUGUCUCGACAGGUAAGAUUCAAGAAAUUUGUGGGAUGCGGGUUCGGGGUUCGGGUGAAGGCUGUGGUCCGUGGGCUACAGUUUGGAGUCGGCUGGAGAGUGGGAUUAGGGAUUGGGGGUUGGAAGUGGGAGGUUGACGGGGUGUGAAUCAAAGAUUGAAGGUGAAGGGGUGGCUGCGAGUGUUGGUGGGAUGAGGUAGGUGAAACUAACAUGUAAAGUUGUAAACCCUUUUAACUAAAAUUUAAAGGAAUUGGUUACGAAGGACUAACGCUCCAUAUUUUAUCAAGUUCAAGGGCAAAAUGUAAUGAAUUUUUAGUUUAGGAACCACAGCUACAAUUUUCCUCUAGAUUUUAUAUGAGAGAUUAAGGCGUAUUAAUUAAGCAUGAUAAUUAGAGUAAUACAACUUAAAUACUGAAAGCACAUGAAUGAUUACCUAUUAUCAGUGAUUUGAAGAUGGUAGCCAGACAAAUUUGCAGCUUUUGUAAGAACCUCUCCCCACUGCUUUACCUCUUCUUGUUUAGCUUCACGUUUCUUGUCAUCCUUUUCUUCACCGACGCCUUCUUCGUGCUUUUGAAAUUCUUCGGCUGACUUUGCAGCUUCUGUAAGAGCCUUUAUCCACUGCUCUACCCUUUCUCGUUUUUCUUCACGUUUCUUGUCAUCUUUUUCUUCACUGAUGUCAUUUUUGUGCUUCUGAAAUGCUUGGGCUAAAACUCCGUUCUGCUUCCUGACAUGUGAAGGAUCAAUGUGAUAGAAUAUUGGCAAAACAUGUCGCCCCAGUUUGUCUCUGCACUCCAUGAUCUUCACCAGCUCGUUAAGACACCAACUCGAAUCCGCAUACCUCUCUGAGAAGACAAUGAUAGAGGUCUUCGAUUCUUCGAUUGCCUGGAGCAGUUCUUUUGGUAUUUCUUCCCCUCUUUUGAGAUCGUCCUCAUCAAUAUAAGCCUGGUAUCCCCUGUCUGUUAAUGCCGCGUGGAGGUGGCCCGUGAAGCCAUUGCGUGUGUCUACACCGCUAAAGCUCAAGAACACGUCGUAAUUCCAAAGUUUUGACUUGGAGGAGGAUGAAGAGGAGGCUUCGUGGGUUGUCAUGGCGGUAUCCACCGUUAUGGCACUGCAGUGGUUCAGAUCACGACUGAAGAAUGGUAGUAGUUGUGUUCGUGCAUUCAAACGGAUGAUCCUGAAAUACCUAAACGCAAGUCAAGCUCCUUCAGUCAACAAGAACAAAGUUUAUAAUAUAAUAAUUUUGGCGUAUGGACUUGAGAAACGACAUAGUGUUGGCCGGAAGGUGCAGAAAAAGAGAGAGGAAAAAAGAAAAGAAAGGAACGAAAGGACAAAGACCAUCCAAAAGAUUCUUGGCUGUGAUUACAGCUAUUCAUAGGAGAAACAACGGACAUAUUUUCAUAGGAGAAACAACCUUCCCAUCUUCAUAUAUAAUGCAUUUCAACGGACAUAUUUUAAUAGGAGAAACAACUUUAGUUUGUACUAGAAAUUUUUACCCGCACGUUGAUGCGGCAUUUGAAAUUGUAUGAAAGAUUAUCUUUGAAAUAUAUAAUAGAUUGUGUGAUUGAAGAUUAAUACUAUUUACAUUGAAAACGUUGGAAAAAGUUUUACAUAUAAAAGAUUUUAUGAUACAAUCCACGUAUAAAAGAUGGUAAAUUUUGUUCUAUCUACAUGCAUUAUGUUAUGGAAUGAUAUAUAUAUAUAUAUAACUAAGUUCCAGAAUAUGUAAACUUCAUAACUUGGAAAUUUUUUGACAAAUUAAUCAGAUUCAACUGUGGGUUAGCAAGGUCGCCUAUAAAGUUUGAAGUCGUAGAAGCAUAAAGGACAAAUAACAAAUGAGUUUUGAGAAAUUAUUCCACAAAUGUCAUUCUGCAAAAUGUAUUAAAGACGAUUGGUAUAAGAUUAGCAAUCAUGAGUAGUGUAACAACAUCAACAAAAUAACCAUAAACCAUAACAUAAUUCAAAUUUUGUUUGCAAAAACAAAAGAAAAAGAAAAGAGACUUACAAUAAUUCAACCUUCAAUCUUGAAGUCCAGCUCAAAGAGCCAAACCUAAAUGCAAGCUUUCUGAAAUUUCCCAAACAAUACAGAUAAAACGGUAACACCCUAGUCAGAAAUGAACCAAGGUGCGAGCUUUCUAAGAAACCCAGAUGACAAAAUCAACAAAAUAGAAUGGAAAAAUGACUUACACUUUGAAGGCAUGCUCGAACCUUGAUCUAAAAUUGGUGGUGGGUCGAUUGUUGGUCACCAACUCUAAAUGAAGAAUUCAUCAGAACCUAGAAAUUUAAAACAAAGAAUUUUCCAAAAUCAACAUUUACUAAAAACCAGUUGCUUGGUUAUCAUGCAUGAUGGCUUGACAAAGACUGAAUUAAGGAAUGCAAACUUUACUUUCAUGAUUAUUUUUAAUGACAGCUAAAAGGUCAGAUCCAAAUGAAAAUAAAAGUUAGGACUUCACAAAACCAAUUAAAAAUCUAAUUCUAAAGUUAUAAGCACCCACAAAAUGAUUCCAGAUAAAGUUUUACACUCAAGGUCAAACCCAAAUGAAAUUAAAAGUUAGGACUUCACAAAACCAAUUGAAAAUCUGAUUCCAAAGUUCCAAACACCCACCAAAUGAUUCCAGAUAAAGUUUAAACUCAAAAACCCAAUAGAAACAAAAGCACUGGUAUAAAUUAACUGUAUCUAAUUGAAGAAACUAAAACAAAAGUAAAGCAAAGUAUAUACCUCAAAAUGUCAAGCAACUAAGUUCUUCCUCCGACGACCCAAAACUCUGAAAAUUCCACACAAAAAAAAAGGCAAAUCCAUUAGCAAUUCAUAGCUUUCAAAAUUAGCAAAAACUUGGGCAACAAUAAAGAUGUGUCUAGAACCAUCAAUCUUUCUCCUUAUGCAUUUGAAAAGAUAUGUUAUAAGCAGUUUAUGUAGUCAUUCUGAACAUGUUGCAUAUAAAUUCCUUUUCUACAGGGUUCAAAAAAAUAUGGCAGUUUAUGGAAUCUGUUGAAUGACAUAGUUGAAAGAUUUAAAAUUGAUACAUUCAAUUUUUAUGUGUAAAACUAUAACAUAUAGCUAAAGCUAUUGGGUCCAUAUCAGUCAUGUCGUAAUUGAAUGUUUAUCGAUGUAAAUAGAUGAUUUCAGUCAUGGGAUAACAUGUUUCUUGAUAGUAUACGCUGAAGUUUGGUCUAAGUUGGAUAUAAAUCGACCAAAAUCUUAAUAAGAGACUUUUUUAACUUUUAACCAAAAAAUGAGCACCACAAUACUACACUUAUAAGUUUUAUCAUGCACAAAAUACACAGCACUGAUUGCCACUUUUAGAGCAAGAACAAUACUUUACCAAAAGAAAACAACAAAACACCCAAAACCCAGAAACAUAAACACACUUAGGACUCAAACUCCUCAAAAACAUGAGAAAGAGAGAGAGUGUGUGAGGAGAAAGAAUAAAAAAAAAAAUUAUUUUUCACACAAACUCAAAAUUGCUUAUAAAAUUACAAAUGAAUGCAAAUCCAAAAUUGCCCUAAAUUAAAUCUGAUUAGUUAAAUGUUUGUUGCCCCAGAAAUUUCGUUACACCUCACAAAACUUGCUUUGAAGUUGAUAUUUUGGUCAAUCCAGGGGAAAAGGAGUUAUUGGUUUUGGAGCAGUUGUCAUGGAGAAUACCAUCUCCCUGUAGAAUGAUCUAAAAAAGGACUUACAGCUUAUGGUGGCCAUAAUAAUUUAGGAGGCCCUUCUCUCCAAAUUUUCUCAAUAACUUUCCUUUUCGUAGCUGGUAAGAUUGCAACUCCGAGAAUUGCUUUGAAGAGAUAUACACAAACAAAAUACCAAAACUAAGCUAUUGGAAGAAAUUUAGAAAACACAAGCACCAUUACAACUCAGAGUUAAAAGUCAACAGAAACCAAAUGGUACAAGUUGAAAAAAUAUAUGGUCAUGAAUCGAGAACUUCAUCAAACUAACAGCAAUAAAAUCUCAUAUAAUCCGUCAAAAACCAAAAAAGAGAUUCAAGACCUUGUAACGUCGAGGCCUCGUACAGUUGUAGUAAUAAUUUAUGGUUGAUGCACCUGUUGCUCAAUCAAAUCCUUCGUCUGGCUAAAAAAAUAAAAAUCUAUAAAUACAUUCACGUCCAAUUUAUGAGAAAUCAUGGGAAAGAAAAUGUGAAUAUGAAGAACUUAACAAAAAGAAAAAGAAAACUUCUUAUAGUGUGCUAAGAACAUCCUCCUACUCCUAGCAAAUUUUUUAUGGCAUUAUCCACUUCUCAAUUCAUAAUUCAACCAGUAACUCAAAGUCUAUAGUGUAUGAAAAAGUGAUAUCUUAGUUGAUCACGAUGAUAAUCAAAAAGGAAGAAACAACCAAACAAAAUUAUUAGGUCUGGGAUAUACCUUUAUCUGAAACACCACAAUCAUCAAAGUGAAACACAAACAAUCCAAAAAUUUGUGGAAAAUACCAAUAAAUGCUCAACUAAAAACGAAAGAAAAAGUAGAAUAAGUUUACCUGUUCCUCCCCUAAUUAAACUGCAAUACAAUUCACCACUGAUAUUCUCGUCAUCCUCUUCAGCCUGAAAAAUUUAGUAGAAAAUAAUGGUAAGAAUCUAGCAGUAUUUCCAUUGUUCAAAACCCAAAUUCCAGAAAUCAUGAAAAAUGGAAACUUUAUAUGGAAAUUGAACCCCCAAAAUCACAAAAAGGAAAAUUGAACAGAAAAUAAAUUUGCAAAUCCAAAAUCACAAAAACGAAAUUGAAACACCCACACUGAGAAAGCUGUAAAACUCACAAGGAAACGCUAGCUUUUCUGGGUAAAAAAAAUUGUUCGAAUCGAAUUGAAGAACCGAGGAAAAUUCUACAGGUUCAGUGGUUUUUCCAGCAAGAAAGCACCUUGUUUGUAAGUCGUGAGAGGUUGGAGAGCGAGAGAAGCCGAUUUGGGAACCAAAGAAAGCGAGGUUGGAGACCGAAAGAGGCUGCGAAUUGCGAGAGAGAAAAACGAAAAGGAAAGGAAAAGCGGAGAAGAAGUCACGAUUAUCGACGCGUGGGUAGGAUUCCACUGUGAGAGGAUUGCAUUCUUUUAAGAGUGUUUCCUUAUUACAAUUUUAUGCUACUAGAUCCAUCCUAUUGUUCCAUUUCUAAACUUUAUAUUAUAAUAUCACCCAUCGUAAAAAAUUAAAAUCCUAUUAAUCCACCCCAAUUAUUUCUAAAAUAACCUCAAAUAUCUAAAUCCAUUUUUAUUUCACCCCAAUUGCAUGAUCAGGCCUCGAUUUGAAGCUAGUUGACGUUGGCCCAAAUGCCAAAUUGUUUGAAUUUCCAAUAAACAUAUUAUAAUUAUAAAAGGAUGGUGAAGAUAUGAAUCAAAUUUGAAAGAGAGAACAUUACUUGGUGAAGGAGGUGAUAGGUGAUGUUGGUAUGGGUUAUGCAGUCACCAUUGGACAUGAGAGGCUUUCUCCUCAAAAUUCCUUCUACAUCUACAGCAUGCAAAUCGAAUGAUGAUAGGUUUAUCGAAGCCCUAAUACCAACUUUAUGACAAAUCUGAACGGACCAAUAAACAACCAUGGAACGAUCUUGAGACGCGACCACUGCGCGUGAGACUCAACCAGGAAUAACUAGACCAUCAGCCGCCGUCGUCAAUAUUGUAGAGGUAGAUGGUGGGUCCGAGAACUCGAUUUUCUUGGAGCAGUUUGAGAUUGACGAAGGGACCUGACGAGGGGUUGGGGUUGUUGGUGACCGAGAGUAUAUGGGUUUGACGAUGGUGGUGGUGGUGGUGGUGGUUUGCAAUCUCUCUCUUUCCUUUUCUUGGGGUUGGACAUUCGGGUGACAGCCGCCUUGGGAUCGGAUGUCAAUGGGGACGUGCUUGAGAGCCAUGAUGACGACGCGAGCGUGGGUGGGGAGAAUUUUCCAGGUCCUUUGAUGUAAUUUUACAAAAGGGUAAAAAUGGAAGUAAAAAAAUUAUAAACUAGUGGGGUGGGAAGAUAAGACAACGGGGUUGUUGUGGUCUAUUUUUAUCUGAUAAAGCAAUAGGGCCGGCGGCAGGGGGAGAGAGAAAAGAGAGAUGUGUGUUUGUAGAAUUGUAGGGGAAUGUGUGUUGUUAUCUCUCAUACAUUGUGCCUUUAUUUAUAGUAGUAAAAGGAGAGAAGAUAUUCCUUCUUCUCCAAGUAAUAUAAGUUGUAAUAGGAAAGAAUAACUAGAAUCAAAUCUAAUAUAGGAUUUACACAAUUUACAAGUUGUUAUCCCUCCUACAUUGUGCCUUCUUCUUCAUAAGAGUUUGAAAGAAGUAUGAAAUAUUGACUUGUUGAUGAUGAAGUUGAUAGUGAAAUGUAGUAACGGUUAAUUUAACAGAAUUUUUAACGGAUGUAUGAAAUUAAAAAAUAAUAUAAGUAAAUGUAUGAAAUUAAAAUGUUUUAAAGAAAUUGUAUGAAGUUGCAAUUGACCCCAAAUACGAGAGAUAAAACAUAAUUUACACAAAAAACAAAGAUCAGAUUUGUAAAAAUGCACCACAUAGUAGUUAAAACAUCCGGACGUAAAUGAAUGGUUUGAGAUACCAUCAUAGUAGCAUCUUUCAGUGUAAGUUUUUCUCAUAUCGGAUCACUUACCAGUAGAAAAGUGUAAUACCGUGUCGGGAAAGGAAGUCAAUGAUGAAAAGAGAGCAAUUUAGCUUUAAAAAUAAGGAAAACUAAUGAAAAGAGUUUGAAAACUUUGCGUUUAAUGAUAAGGACAAAAUAAAAGGAUAAAGUGAAUAGUACUAUGAUUGAUUUUUUAGUGUAAAAAUAUGGUUUUUCGUUAAAGUUUCCUUAAAAAUAUUGCGUCCUCCGUAUGAUGUUUGCAACAUGUGUCGCCAGAGUAUCAACUUGAAGCUCUCCACAUCUCCGUCGUCAAAUGUUUUGUAAGCAGCAUUGUUUAAGUUCUCUCUGUCAGGGAAACUGCAGAUGGGUUUGAUGAAGAAGAAUGGAAAAUAUAAUUUUUAGAAAAUGAGAAAGAAAAUUAUAAAACUUCAUUAAUGAAAUUUCUUUAUCAACAAAAAAAGAUGAAAAUAUAUCUUUGUCUUCUAUCACAACAAAAAAGUUAAGGACAGUAACGUAAUUUUACAAGAUAAAAUUUUACUUUUUUUUUAAAUCUCACAUAUAUGUAAGUUUAUCAUCUUUAAUUUAAAAAAUAUAAAAAAACCUCUCUUCCACGUUCUCUCUCACUCUCUUCCUCUCCUUCAAAUUUAACAACCAAAGUAAAAAAAUUCAUACGCUUUGUGUGUGGACAUAUACUAGUUGAAAUUUAAAAAAGGAGACUUAAAAAGAGAGAUUUAAUAUUUUCUAGGUUGUCUUGGGAGUUGGCAAUGACAGUAAGAGAGGAGAAUCUCGGGUUCCACUGGAAAGGAGGAAAUUUUUCAAAGCGAGAAGGUAGGGGUUUUUUCACUUGCUCUCUUGGUCUUUGGGCUUUUGGAUUGGAUUGGGACAAUUCCAAUUACCCCAUCCCAACUUACGACUUUUUAUCGGUCUAUAUUGGCUAAAGUGAACGUACUAAAAUAGAAAUUUGAGAACUUGAAUUAAGGUCUUGAAUUAGCGAAUGAAUGUCCAGUAAGAAUGUCAUGUAGUCGGACUUGUAAGGCUACCCUUAAUAAGUAGUCACGUUUGUCAAAACUGGUCUAUCUGAUUAUAAUUGUAACCAUAUUAUGUGUGACACAUGAUCAAACUUGAAGGGUUGUCCAAUAAGAAGUUGUCAUGUUGUCAAGCGUAGGGCCAAAGGUGAGCACUUUCCUACCAAAGUGUUUUCUUUUUCCCCUUUUCAAGGGAUUUGUGUCACCAUUAGAUAGGAGAUUCAAACACAAGACCUUGAAUUUAGAGGCAAACGCUUUAAAAAAGCUUCUCUGAUUCAUCUCCUCUGACUUUGACGGGUUCCACUUCGGAUUCUGCAUUGACAGGAAACCGAAGCCAAAGAUAAAGAUCCGUUCUGAUAUACAGAAAGUAAGAUGAUUAUCAACUGUAGGUCUAGUAGAGGCUGUAAUUGUUCUGUCACUUUAUAGUAAGGAAUCUUGAGCAUAAUUAACGAACCUGAUCCUUGUCCACCAAAACUGCCGUACACCUUCAGCAAAAUCAUUCCGCAAAUACAAUCUUAUAGCAAUGCGAUAUUCAGUUUCAUCACACCAGUUAGUAUUGGUCAAGUAAAGCACAUGUUACUUUCUGAAAAUUUGAAAUACUACAACGCAAAACCUAUCAAAAAGAUGCAACCAUGUGAUGCAAGAAACGAAAAGGUAGAAAGUCCAGACUCACUGUGGAUAAUUGAUUGUCAUUUUUCCCAAGCGCAGAUGCAAUUUUAGCGAAUUAAUUUUGUCCCAAAGAAAGUGAGAACGGAGCUCCCUUUCCAAGACAUUAAAGAGCUUCAUUAGCCCACUCACCACUGCAAUAGAAACAAUUUGAUACAAAAUACUUGACAGCAACCAUACAAGCCGCUCAAUAGACAAAUGACAUUGACAAACAUACCAGUAGCAUCUGAACCUGCUGCUGCUUUUUAAGUUCAUCAAUUGUCUCAAGAACCGACUUAUUUGCACCAAACGCUGAAGUUAUUUGAUGUAAAAGACUUGAGUUGCGCUUCAGAAUCUGGGUUGCUGGUGAAUUUCGCCGCAGUUGUUUCAAUGUCCCCAUGGGGAUCCUAAGAACCGUAUCAACAAUGGAGUAUCUUUUAUCUCAAGAACGCAUUGGACAAUGGAGCAUCAGAAAUUGCGUCUGAGGAUAGAAAAGGCAUACCUGCAGAUCCUCCUCCCGUACUCCUUGCCGCUACAUGUGAAAACCCAUCUGGCAUAGCAAGAACAGUCCUCUGAAAUGUAUCCAUACAAAGUUAGACGCACAAAAUUUGAAAAGCCAUUGCAAUGUAAUUGACAACAUUGACAAUCUCUGUCUGACAGGGCAAAAUACCUUUGUAAUGAUCCGGUAGUGACCGUGACCUGAUAGGUCAACACCAAAGACCAUUGUUAUGCGAUCAAUGAAGCUUAUAAAGGGCUUCUUGUACUCAGAGAUUUUGCAUAUUAGAGAAUACUCAGCAGUGGAUACCUGAACGCAGCACAAAUAUCAUAUCGUUAGCCUCUCAAUAUUAAGAAAACUACAAAUGGUAGCUUAGAAAAGAAAUGAAUCCUCUCCAACCAAAUACAAAUCAUAUUACCCCAAGUUCAAGCAAAAUCAAGACUAAACAAAUGAUUAGAUGUUGUAGGUUGCCCGAGAAUGUCAACCAUGAAAUUACAAAAGAAAAAAAUAACUGUAUGUAUUGAACAUUAAUAAAUACAUGCUGAAAGCACAAUCUCAGCCGCAAUUUAUGACAUUUAUACGAGAUUGAAUCGCUAAAGCAAUUGAAGAAAUUGCAGAGCUCAUAUAAGUGAUUUUCACUUUGAAUUUUUAGGCUUAUCAACAAAUACAUCAUUACGAUUCUAAUGCAUGAAUUUUGUUAAAAGGGGCUUGCUUGCUUGUAUUAAGGCUUAAUCAUCAAUGAAUUUGCAAGAAGCAAUCGAUUUGCUAGUUGUAAAUCUAUUCACUAAUUACCAAAAUUACAUCUAAACGGUAGUGAAGGAAGUCAUCUUAUAUUAUCUGGAUUUUAGAAAACUGUGUAAGGUUAUAAGUCUGUUAUUAUAUAUAGUUAAAAGGGACACAAUUAGACCUCAAUCAUAUUUGGUGGUUGGUUUUUGGCCAUGAUCUGCUUCACAUCACCCCCUGCAAACAAAAAUGAACACUAAGAGAAACAAUAAACAAAUGACAUGAAACAACACGAACAUCAAAGACCAACAAUCUAUCACGUAAGUACCUAAACAAGAAACAACUUUAGUUCAAAGCAAAGCGUAAUGUAGAAACCUUCGGCACAAGAGGUGUGUUUUUGUCCUUUUGAAUUUCGGCAACAACCAUUUUAAUGUCCUUUCCUGCAAUUACCAUGAUUGGUCACUCUCAAAACCUUACCUAAGAGACCCAAAAACAAAAAUAACCGCCGAAAAAUUUAUUUAACUACAUGCUAAAAUGGAAGUGUAAUAUUGCCAAGAAAGAUAAGAAACUAUUCAAAUACAGAUUCUGGGCUUACCGCACAAAAGGCACGAGCCUAGCGGCUACCAAAAAGAACACACUUCACAUUUGGGUGAGAUUCCCAUUCAUCCAGAUAGCUCUUGUAUUUCACAUCCAUAUCUGCAUUUUCCAACAAUUCCCACUUAAACAGAAAUACAAAAUUCUUUGAAAAAAAGCUAACUUCUUCGAAAUGCGAAUCCAACGUUUCGUCUUAUAACAAAUGCAAUAACAUAGAUUUGUAAUCAAUACGAUGCCAUAAAGUUCAAGCUCCAAAAUUCAAAUCAGCUCCAAAUCAAAAGCAUUUACAGAUAUAUACAUAUAUACAUGUGUGUGUGUGUGUGUGUGUGUGUUUAUCUACAUACCUAGGUUCAUGGCGUUGAGAGCUUGGGGGCCGACCGAGGGUGAUGACGGCGACGCCAUUUGGGUGGACGCUGCCCUUGACGAACGCGUCGGCGGAGGCCAUGAUCCCGAAGGGGCGGAGGAGGCGAGGGGAUUUGGAUGGUUGGAAAAGAGAAAGCUUCGAAUUUGGAUUGAGGAAGAAGAAAGCGGACGACGAUUUGCUCAGAAUUUAGGUCGCUCCUCCCAAUAAGCUUCCCAUUACUUCCGGUCGGGAGUGACUGCAUCAGUGUAGAGAGAUAAAGAUAUUUUUGGUGCUUCUGGGCCGGACUACCCUUGAUGUUUCGGUUAAAUAACCGGGAAAAACAACUGCCGCAGGGAAAUUUGAAAGAGGCGUUUGACGAACUGAUUGUGAUCUGACUCAAACAUGUGAUGAUGACGAUGCAUCACCACCUUGAUUGUGUCUCUGGAUGAAAAACCUACCAUCAAGAUCAAAAUCGUGCAUAUUUUCCUUCAUAGGUUUGUCCCAUACUAGAUUAACCCCUAUUCCCUUAGCUUUCGCAUAAUUAAAUGCAUUAGUUUUCGCAUAAUUAAAUGCACCGCCUUUCAUUGGUAUUUCAAAAGUUAUAUCAACUUUAUCCCCGCUUUGCAAAUUGAGCUUAUCGUUUGAUAUUUGACCUUGCCAAAGAUAACAGCUUUCAAAUACAAUAUCGCGCAUUUUUGUAACCCAAUCUUCCUUGCCUAUGCAAGUCUGUAACUCAGUACGCUUGGUAUUAUUUAUAUCAAUACUAGCACGAGGAUGACCAUCUUUACCUCUCAUAUAAGGUCUUGGCCGAUCAAGAUAAGAGCGGUAAAAGCAUAACAGAGUUAGCCCUUCAAAACUACGACCAUCACCCGGGGGAAUAUCAAAGCUAACUUCAUUACCAUCAUUGACAAACUCGAACCAAUCAGGAACAUAAUUCCCAUUGAGAAAAAUGCCACCAUAUCCGCAAGAAGUCCAUCCCUAUAUAUAUAUUGCAAGUGUCAUAACUAUAUACAUACAUGUACAUGUGUGUUGUGUGUGUGCAUGUGCGCAAUAGGAAGACAAUUAAAGAGAGAGAGAUACCUUUAGGACGUUCCUCCUUAAAUCAGCCGUGAGUUUGGUGCACUUACUCAUAUCAAUCCAUGUCAUGGAGUUUAAUGACUUAUCCAAGUCUGGAACCUCAGUGAGUUCGUGUGAAUCACAUACAUUCAGUUCCCUCAUAUUUGACAUUUUCGAAAAAUUGGGCAUUGUUACCAAACGAUAGCAACUAGAUGCAUCCAGAAAUUUCAAAUUUGUUGGUAAAUCAUAGAUUGUAUGAAGCUGGGAGCAAUAACUUAACCACAAACUUUCAAGUUUUGAAAGACCACUGAGGCUGGGUAGGGUAUGAAAAUAAUUGACUGAGAGAUCUAAAUUUCUUAAAGAGUCUAAGCCGUGUAACGAAUCGGGAAAUUGCAAAGGAAACUUCGAUCCCACAAAAUUAUUGAGAGAUAAAUGAGUGAGAUUCUUCAAUCUUACUGUGGAACGCGGUACUUGUCUUAUGGCUGUAGUAGAUGCUUUAAGUACUCUCAAUGAUAUCAUCUUCCCUAAACCCUCGGGCAAUUCACUGAAUUGCCAACAAAAAUCAAGAACAAGAGUCUGAACGGAUUUGGACCUGUAGAAAUCCCCAGGAAGAGAAAUAAGAUUCUUGCAGCGUGUGAGGUUCACCAAAGAAAGUUUUUUAAGAUGACCAAUGGAGGGGUGAAUAUCGGACAAACUCCUACACCUUUCCAAUAUCAACUCUUCAAGAUUUGGGAGAUUUGAAAAGUCUGGUGAUUUUUUUAAGUCAGAGCAACUUCCAAGAUUAAGGACCUUCAAGUUUUCAAGUGACUGUUGCACAAAAUCAAAGAAAAAUUAAAAUUAAUAUCCAAAAGGACUAUCUCAGAAAAAAAGAAGGAAAUCCAAAAAACAAAUACAAACAUAACAUCAUCAUGUGUAAUCGAUUGUACCUUGGAGCCCUCCCAAACUUGUACCAGGUCGCUAGAUGUUAUCUCUAAAAUAACUAGUCUUGGUUGAUCAAAGAAGUCAUCUGGUAUGGACUUUAAAGGGCAUCUUUCCCAACACAACCAUAUUAACUCCUUGGGGAGAUGUUUGUAUUCUCCAUUGAGCUGCACGUUGUAGAGCUUGAGCAGUCUCAGUUUCUUCAUAUUGGCAAAUGCUUCUGUACUGAACCCAGGCAUGUUAGACCUUGGAGGCCAAGGAGGAGGGAUACCUAGAGCAAGUCCUUCAACUUCUUCAGUUCCCUGUUAACAAAAGGUUAUAUUCAUGUGUAAGAAACGGAUUAUUUGCAUACGUUUACAUGUAUGAAUACAAGCAAGUACUAUUGUUGGCUAAUUGAGAUGAAUGUUAAUGUAUAAUACACAUCCGUGAGUUAUAUGUGCUUUUCAUGUACAAUGCAUUAAUUCAGAAUUUUAUUGGGAAUGUACUUACAGAUUUAUCUCUCAAUACUUUAAUGACCUCUUGCCGGUUCCACAACCUACUCCACUCUCCAGGCUGACGAGGGGAUUUUUCAGAAAUGAUUAAUUUGGCCAUUUCUCGAAGCAAAUCAUGCAUAUUCAACACGUUGUCUUCAACAGUUAUAAGGCAUCGUUCACGGAGGUCACUGAUUCCUAUUGUUGCAAAAAAGUUACAUCCAUCUAAUAUUUUUGCGACAUAGUCCUUAUCCCAUCCAAUAAAGAAACAAGAAAUGUCAAGGAAUAUAUCCUUUUGUGUAGGAUCUAGCCUUUCAAAGCUUACUCUUAGCGGUUUCAUUAUUCCUUUAUCAGGAAAUUUUUUCAAUUUCUCCAACUGACUUUUCCACUCUAUUGGGGUUCUUUCAAUCAUAGAAGAACCUAAAACUUCAAGGGCUAUUGGCAAACCACCACAGUAAGAAACAACCUCUUUUGAGAGUUCAAGAUAUCCUUCAUUAGGCCAACUCUUUCCAAAGGCAUGCCAACUAAAGAGCUUCAGAGCUUCUUCUUCAUUCAUUUCCUUAAGCGGAUAUGUCUUGUCCACUUUCAUGUUCACUUGCUUUAGUAAACAUUCAUCUCGUGUCGUUAUGAUAAUUCUACUUCCUGGACCAAACCAAUCACGAUUUCCAGCUAUGGCAUUUAGUUGUUCCACUUUGUCUACAUUGUCAAUAAUGACAAGUACGCUUCUACGUUGGAGAUGAUUUUUUAGCAAACUGAUACCUCCAUCAACACUGGUUAUCUUAGACUCAGUCUGUUUCAAGAUGUCAGAAACAAGCUUUCCUUGCAAAUCAACCAAAUCAUAUUCACUAACGUUGGCAAGGAAACUUUUGAAUUGGAACUUAUGAUGAAUUUGGUUAUAAAUGGCUUUGGCAGCUGUUGUUUUACCUAAUCCACCCAUCCCCCAAAUUCCAACCAUGACAACGUCAUUUGAUCCACCACCUGAAAGAUGAUUGAUAAUAUCUUGAACGCGAGAAUUGAUUCCAACCGGGUGCUUGGCCACAUUUAAUUCGUUUGCACCCGGAAGCCAUUCCGUAAUGAUCUUGCCAACAAUUUCUCUAAUAAGCUUUGCUUCGCGCCUAGAUGUUGAAUUUGUAAGCAUUAGCGGGACUCAAUGAACAGUAGGAGCUAUUAGUACAUAGACAAUUUUCUUUCCUUCAUACAUAUUCUAACUAGCUACUAGCUAGCAUGUGAUUUUUUUACCAACUUGAUAAAAGAAAGAAAUUCAUUCAUUAAUUAAACUCCAAUUACGGUUUAGGUUUUAUAUGAGAGGUUAAGGUGUAUUAAUUAAGCAUGUUAAUUAUAUGAGAGAUUAAGUCAUUCACUAAAAUGUGUCAAAUCUUUAAAAGCAGGUGAAUGAUUACCCAUUGUCAAUGAUUUGAAGAUGUUGGCCAGACAAAUUUGCAGCUUCUGUAAGAGCCUUUCUCCAUUGCUUUACCCUUUCUUGUUUAGCUUCACGUUCCUUGUCAUCUUUUUCUUCACGAAUGCCCUCUUCGUGCUUCUGAAAUGCUUGAGCUAAAUCUCCGUUCUGCUUCCUAACAUGUGAAGGAUCAACAUGAUAGAAUAUUGGCAAAACACGUCGCCCCAGUUUGUAUCUGCACUUCAUGAUCUUCACCAGCUCGUCAAGACACCAACUCGAGUUCGCAUAACUCUUUGAGAAGACAAUGAUAGAGAUCCUCGCCUCUUCAAUUGCCCGGAACAGUUCCUCUUUUAUUUCUUCCCCUCUUUCUAGAUCGUCCUCAUCGAUAUAAGCCUGGUAUCCCCUCUCUGUUAAUGCCGCAUGGAGGUGGCCCGUGAAGCCAUUGCGUGUGUCCACACCGCUGAAGCUCAAGAACACGUCGUAAUUCCAAAGUUUUGACUUGGAGGAGGAUGACGAGGAGGCUUCGUGGGUUGUCAUGGGGGUAUCCACCGUUAUGGCACUGCAGUGGUUCAGAUCACGACUGAAUUAAGGAAUGCACAACUUUACUUUUAUGAUUAUUUUCAAUGACAGCUAAAGGUCAGAUCCAAAUGAAAAUAAAAGUUAGGACUUCACAAAACCAAUAAAAAAAUAUAAUUCCCAAGUUACAAAUACCCACCAAAUGAUUCCAGAUAAAGUUUUAAACUCAAGGUCCGGCCCAAAUGAAAUUAAAAGUUAGGACUUCACAAAACCAAUUGAAACAGAAACCAAAUGGUAGAAGUUGAAAAAAAUAUAUGGUCAUGAAUCGAGAACUUCAUCAAACUAAUAGCAAUAAAAUCUCAUAUAAUAUGUCAAAAACCAAAAAAGAGAAAGAGGUAAUUUCAAGACCUUGUAACGCCGAGGCCUCGUACAGUUGUAGUAAUAAUAUAUGGUUGAUGCACCUGUUGCUCAAUCAAAUCCUUUGUCUGGCUAAAAAAAUAAAAUCUAUAAAUACAUUCACGUCCAAUUUAUGAGAAAUCAUGGGAAAGCAAAUGCACUGAGAACGGAAUCAUGAAUAUGUAGAACUUGCCAAAAAGAAAAAGAAAACUUUUUAUAGUGUGCCAAGAACAUCCUCCUACUCCUAGCAAUUUUUUAUGGCAUUAUCCACUUUUCAAUUCAUAAUUCAACCAGCAACUCAAAGUCUAUAGUGUAUGAAAAGGUGAUAUCUUAGUUGAUCACGAUGAUAAUUAAGUAGAUUAAAUGACGACCCAUAAAGCAUACAAAUUCAGAAAAGAAAAGGUACGAAACUGCCAUAAGAAAACGCAGAAUAUAUAAACCGGAAAUCAAAAGAAGAGAAGCGAAAAAGGAAGAAAAAAAAAACCAAACAAAAUUAUUAGGUUUGGGAUAUACCUUUAUCUGAAACGCCACAAUCAUCAAAGUCAAACAUAAACAAUCCAAAAAUUUGUGGAAAAUACCAGUAAAUGCUCAACUAAAAACGAAAGAAAAUGUAGAAUAAGUUUACCUGUUCUCCCCCUAAUUAAACUGGAAUAACAUUCACCACUAAUAUUCUCGUCGUCAUCCUCUUCAGCCUGAAAAAUUUAGUAGAAAUACUCAAUGAAGACGCUUAAUGUAGACAGUAAUAUUAGCAAUGGAGGAAUUGAAUUGAUAACCAAAACUGCAAGACCAAAUGACUAUUUAGGUUCAAAACAGAAACUCGUCUGCUAGAUGUCUCAUCUUUAGGCAGUGCCUUGUUCUUGUUUUUUUUUCUUUUUUUUUUGUUGUUGCAUGUCUUGUGAAGUUCAUGUAAAUCAACAAAAUUGAUACUUUUGACACAACCAACAAUGGAGAGGUAAAAAGUUAAAAACAUUAGGAAUGUCUUCAUUUUUGUAAUGGAUUUUGCAAGUCAGAAAUUCUGUUCGAGAAUUUGCAACCCAGAAAGUCCGCCAGAAAUUAUUAACAAUCACAGAUAAGCACCGAAUGAAGGCCAAUCUAAUAAGCCAAAAUAUGUAGGGCACUAAAGAAAUUACCCAGUAACAAUAAUAGAUAAGCACAUAUGAAACUAAAGAAAUUUUUCAUUACUAUCAACUCCCAAAAAAAAAAAAAAAAAAAACUGUGCAAUCCAAAAAAUGUUGAUACAUAGUUGGAGUAUCAAUGCCUGAAAUUGGUAUUUGAACCACGAAUAUGUUUGUUAGCUUAAAGGUUUGGGUUGAAGUUGUGAAAGGAAAUGUAAUUUCUUAAAAGAAGGAGAGAAUGCAAAGAUGAAUACAGAAUGGUUCAUGUGGCCACCUUGUUAAGGCACAGAAAAAGACAUCAAAUUUUAUACUUGUUGCAUCCAAGGUAUGCAACAGCCUCCCACAGAAAUUACAGAAAUCAAAUCAAGAAAAAAGAUAAUUACACAAUAAUUACACCUUCACUAAGAAAAUAAAUUAUAAAAACGAAGACCGUGAGAAUAAUUACCUUACCUUUGUACGGUGAUUGGCUGCCAAAAAAAAAAAUAAUGUCAUAUACAUUAAGCCUGCCAAUUACUAAAAACAAAACAUUUUGCCAUGAGGAGAAGUAAGAACAUACCGAAACUUGUUUGCAAAUAGAUGAGAAAAACUUAUUCCUGAAACAGAUGGAAAAUUUAUUAGGAAAGAUAAAUCAGCCCACAUGUGUGUAAUCUAUAUACAAAAAACCACUCUCUUCAAUAGCCAAAUCGUUUCACAAAUCCAAAAACACAUAAUUAUAUCUUGAACAAUGCCAAUUAAUGAUUUCCCAUUUACUUAAGCCAACAACAAAGCCAAUGAACUGAUGAAAGAGCAAAACAGAGAAACAAAAAACCUCAAUUAAGUAAUUAAAUGGAGUAUUACUUGAUAGAGCUGGAAAAUUACCCAGUUCCUCAGAGAGAGGAUCAAGAGUGACUGAUGAGAGUGCAGAGAAAAGAAUGAUUGAGAAAUUCAAGUUCUGAGCUCGAAGUUGGGGCUUCCACUUUCCAACUGGGGAAGAAAUAACAGAGAAAACACAGAGAGCCAAUCCACCAAAUAUUAAUCAAAUGGGUUUCUUCUAAUUCAAAAUUUGGACCACCCAAAUUCCAAUGAAGCAAUAACCAUUCAAAAUCCAACAGAUUGAAGCCCUCACAGACUACUAAUUAUCAAUACCCAGCAAUAAAAAAUUUGAAAACAGUAAUAAUGAAGGAAAAAGAAAUUAAAGCUGCAAGCCAUUCUCUAAAUCUCAGGCACCAAUCCAAAUCACCAGUAAUUUGCACAUAAUGAUAAGAAUCUAGCAGUAUUUCCAUUGUUUAAAAACCCAAAUUCAAGAAAUCAUGAAAAAUGGAAACUUUAUUUGGAAAUUGAAGCUUUACCUGCAGAUCAGCAGCAGCAAACGGAAUCCAACGGCAUGUACCUCAAAAGUGAGAGAGAGAGAGUUGAGAGAUGAGUGAGAGAAUCGAUAAACAAAACCCCCCAAAAUCACAAAAGGAAAAUUGAACAGAAAACAAAUUUGCAAAUCCAAAAUCACAAGAACGAAAUUGAAACACCCACACUGAGAAAGCUGCAAUACUCACCAGGAAGCUAGCUUUUCUGGGUAAAAAAAUUGUUCGAAUCGAAUUGAAGAACCGAGGAAAAUUCUACUGGUUCAGUGGUUUUUCCAGCAAGAAAGCACCUUGUUUGUAAUUCGUGAGAGGUUGGACAGCGAGAGAGAAAAACGUAAAGGAAAGGAAAAGCGGAGAAGAAGUCACGAUUAUCGACGCGUGGGUUGCAUUCCACUGUGCCAAGUUCGAAAAUGAACGGGGAAUGGGGAGCUUGGCCGAGGGAGACAGAAUUCGAGAAGCAGCGUUCUGAUUAAUUUUUUUUUUUUUUUUUUUAUGAGAGAGGGAAAGCGGAAUGAAGAGAAUCGAGAAGAGGAUGAACCAUUUCAAUUUUUAAGCGAUGAUCGACGCGUGGGACUUGAGGGCAAAUUUGCCAUUUUGCUGUGAACCCAUGAAGCAUCAGAAUACACAAAAGUCAAGACUUGGCUUGGUUUAUAUAAUUAAUCAAUAAUAUUCCUAACAAGAGCUAGGUCCAUAUAUUAUACGAACAAUACUUAGCUGCUGAAUUCCUACUUUCAACCAAUCAAAUUUUGACACGUGUCCAAAUAAUGAAAUUAUAAAUACAAAUUGAACACGUGUCCAAAUAUGAUUGGGUGAAAAUAGGAAUGGCUGUUGAAUUUUCAGCCGCCAAGUAUUGUUCUUAUACAAGGUUCUAAAUCUAAUAGAUGUUGUGGCUAGACGAGGCUUAUUGACUAGACGGAUUUAAGUAAAUUUAUUCUAUAUUAUAAAUAAAUGUUUUUUUAUACUUAAAAUGACACAUAAUUGUAUUGAGAUAUAUAAAUUGUAAAAUAAAAUAACAUAUAUAUUAUAAAGUAUUGGAACAUGAGAGAAAAGACCUAAAUGUGAAACGACAACUAUAAACAAUUAUUCAAGAUGAACGAUAAAUGAUUCAACCAUUUACAAGAUUCAAAACAUGAGAUCACGAUCUACUGAAUGAUUGCAUUAACUAUUAAGCGGUGCCCUAAUAUAAUACAUCCAAAUGGGGGUGGACCACAUAAUACACCCAAUGGAUCGUUUUUAAGCUACUCCACUGCUAAAACUAUUGCAAAAUGCGUUAGGAUUAUACUUCUAUUAGCUGCGCCUUUCCUUACUAGGCAAAUGGGGGUGGACCACAUAAUAAUGUUAAAACUGCUAUGUCUAUUGGGUUUCUCUGUUUAUUUCAUGUACUAGUUUAUGUUCCUUUUAUUGUAUAAAUAACUUGUACUUGGGAUGUUGCAGAACAAGUUUGAUUUGAAUGAAAUUACUACUAUUGAGUUAGCUGUCAAGCUUCUCUUUAUUCCAAGCUUGCAUUUUGUUCUACCUUUUCCAAUUCUCUACAUCCCUAAGAGGACUGUAUCAGAUGUUAUACACAUUGGAGUUUGAGCAGAAUUCUUUUUGUUAUCUUGUCUCACAUUGCUAGAAUUGAAAAGUUCAUAAUAUAAUAACAUUCGCGUAUGAACUUGAGAAACAACAUACUACUGGUUGGCCUGGAAGGUGCAGUGAAAGAGAGGAAAGGAAGAAAGAAACAAACACGAAAGGACAAGGACUAUCCAAUAGAUUAUAAACAAUGACUUAUUGGGGAUGAUUACGGCUAUUAAAUCAUCAAUAAUGCAUUAUUUUAGUUUGGAAUUUGGAAGCAUUUGAGAAGUAAAAUGACAACAACUACAUAAUAAACAAAGGUGAUUAGAAAAAAGACCCAAAUGUGAAAGAAUAAUUAAAAACAAUUACUCAAGAUUAGUGAUAAAUGAUUCAACCAUUUACAAGAUAUGAACUUAGAACAACAAUCUAUUAGAUUGUUGUAUUAAUGAUUAAGUGAUGCUCUAAGAUAAUAGAUCCAAAUGGGGACGGACCAUAUAAUACACCCAAAUGGAUGCAAUCAUGCCAUAUAUAAACAAUGUUUUGAAAGGACAAGGUAGCUAAAGCUGCCUUUUUAUAUAUGUAAGCAACAACCCUAAAUCUUACUGGAACUAAUUAACUAAUGUAUUUAUUAGACAGUUGGAUUCCUUAGCAAGUGGUUAACUAGUUUUGUUUAGUUUAGUAGUCAGGUCGUAAUUAAUUAGUCAAAUGAAAAUGCAUAUAACACACCCAAAUGGAUGCCAUAUAUGCAUACUAUUUUUGUUUAGUUUAGUAGUCAGGUCGUAAUUAAUUAGUCAAAUGAACCUGCAUAUAACACGCCCAAAUGGAUGCCAUAUAUGCAUAUAUAAACAAUGUUCUCAAAGGAUGAAAUGACUUUCUUGCCGGUAUGGGGGAAGAGGAAAGAAACUAGCACGAAACUGCAGACCCUAUCGAUCCAUUAUAAUAAAUUUCAAUGGUCCAAUUUGUAAGUUAAUUGUGCAACAUAAAAACUUAUUUACAGUUAUCAACUUAACCACGUACCUGUGAAAGACAUUAUCUCAGAAAACUAGGAUUAAGAACCAAAGUUCUCCUGGAACUCUACACAACUUAAGGCUCGCUCAAUGGGGCUUGAGUUUUUUGUAAACUUGCGUAUUUUUGGAAACGCAUCAAAUAGUAGUUAAAACAUCCGGCCGUAAAUAAAGGGUUUGAGAUACCACCAUAGUGAUAUCCCUCAGAUGUGAGUUUCUCACGUAUCAAAUCACUUAUUGUAAGAAUAUUAGUAGUGAAAGUUAAAUACCCGUGUUGGGAAAGGAAGUCGAUGAUGACAAGAGAGAAAUUUGGCUUGAAAAAUGUAUGAUACUUGCAACAUGCGUCACCGGAGUAUCAACUUGAAGCUUUCCAUCUCUCCGUCGUUAAAUGUUUCGUAAGCAGCGUUGUUGAAGUUCUCUAUGUCAAGGGGAAACUGAAGAUGGUUUUAAAUGAAGAAGAAUGGAAAAUAUAAUUUAGAAAAUGAGAAAGAAAAUUAUAAUUGAAACUAAAAAAAUAAGAAAUAAAAAGAGAGAUUUACUAUUUUCUAUGAGGUCUUGGAGUUGGCCGUGACAGUAAGAGAGGAUAAGCGAAUGAAUUGGGCCAAUUACUUGCUCUCUUGGACUUUGGGCUUUUGGAUUGGAUUGGGCCAAUUACUUACUUGGGCCCCAUCCCAACUUAUGACUUUUUGUCGGUCGGUAUUGACUGAGGUGAACGUGCUAAACUAGAAAUUUGAGAUUUUGAAUUAGCAAAUGAAUGUUAAGUAAGAGCGUCAUGAUCAGACUUGUAAGACUGUCUUUGUUGCGUUUUGUCAAAACCGGUCCAUCUAAUUACAAAUUGUAACCAUAUUAGUUGAGUAUAUAUAUGCUACAUCACAUUAGUGAAUAUUCAGUACGGGUGACACAUGGUCAGACUUGUAGGUUGUUCAUUAAGAAGUUACCACGUUCUCAAGAGUGGAGCUAGAGGGGAGCACUUCCCUACCAAAGUGUUUUCCUUCUCCCCUUUACAAGGGAUUUGUGUCACUAUUAGAUAGGAGAUUCGAAUACAAGACCUUGAAUUGAGAGGUCACACUUUUACAAAGCUUCUACGAGCACCUUCUUGUUUACCAAACUCAUUGAGACUAAAGGAGGUCUUAACGCCAUUUUGGCUAAUACUAUUCUAUAUAUUUACGAAUGGUUUUAAGUUUGGGUUUAAUUGGAUAAUCAGAGAGUAGUGCAUCAAACUAUGGAUAUUCAGAAACCGAAAGCAUAAUUCAUAUUCCUCCAACAAGUCCACGCAAAUAACCACAAUCAGAAUGUUAGUUCAUAACUGGCCAUAUAGAACGCAGUACAAAAGCACUAAAAGCGUCCAAGUGAAAGUGCUUUCUCCUCAUGCAGUUUCAUUUAACUUAGUUUCACAUGCCAGUCCGUCACACACUCAACUCCUCAACGUUCGGGUUCAAAGCAUUCUUUAUCCUUUCUGUACGAGAGACAAUAAAUUUAAAGUUCUUGUGAUGAAAUCAUGUAAAACAUUCAGAAAUCUUGAUUUAAUCCUUUCUCAAGAUCAUAGGUUGUGUCAUCUCAACUUAUAUCUUAGGUCUUAUGAGUGCUCGUAAUACACUAAUACGGCACUUGUUUUCUGGCCAGGACAGAAACAAAAUCAUGUAGGAAAUUGUCAUGACAAUAAAGGUCGUACCCAGUGCACAAGGCUCCCGCUUUAAGCAUGACAAUAAAGGAAAUUGUCAUGUAGGAAAUUGUCAUGACAAUGUAAGUGUAAAAUGAGACCGGAAAAACACUAAACAGGAUGACUAUGCUCUCUUAGCGUAAACCUUAACAACAAAGACUAUACCGUAUCUGUCACCAAGGGCGGAGCCACCAUAGGCCUAGGGGGGCGGAUGCCCCCACUGAGAUUUUUCUGAUGCUGGCAUGAUGACCUUCAGAUGCUUGAGAUUCGGCAAUGGUGGAGAGCAGAUCUUUCUAAAUUUCUUUGGAAAGAAGAGAUCCUAAACCAAGCACACAAACAAAAAUUUGAGAACAGCAAAUACAAAAAUUCGACAGUGAUCAAACCCAUCAAGCAUGCAUAUAUAGAUACAUGUUAUAUUUAUAUACCAUAGCAUCAUGAACUUUUAGUGUAAUUUUUCUGAAGCAGUCAAAACUUUCAAGAUAAUCUCGUGCUGCUCAAAUUGAUAUGGUUCUACAGCAGCAAAGCCCACACUGCGAUUUUUCUGGUUCUACUCUCCGAUCUGGUUCUGUAGAAGCAGAGCUGGGUCUUAUUUUAUUUUUUUUCAAAACCAAGCCAAAACGACAUCGUUUUGGUCCUGGUAAAAAAAAAUUUAAAAAAUGUAAACGAAACGGUGUCGUUUCGUAUAUGUUUGAAAAAAUAUGUUCGAGGAUGCCCCCAUUCACCCAAAUGUCUGGCUUCGUCCCUGUCUGUCACAGUGAUAUGCGACCAUAAGCCCAACUCCAAGGAUCAGCUUUCCAAGAACUUUGAAGGCUACAAAUCAAAAGUUACAUGCAGUGAUGACAUAAUCAUGAAAAAAUACAAUCAUAAAUUAAAGGAAAACAUACCGACUUCUAGUUCUGGCAAUUCACUAUUGGCCCAUAUAUUUGAACCACAAUAUGAUGGAUACCCAAUACAGAUCACAAAUAAAAUCUGAGCAGACACAAAGUAUUAUGUUUUGUUUACGCAAAAUCUGUAAGUUCUCAAGUAGGAUAAAUAAAGAUAAACAUAUCCCAGCAUAAAGACGACUUGUCCUGGCUAAUUCUAAGAAAGCUUGUAUCAAAUGUAUGAUAGUUAUUCAUAACUAACACAAACAACAGUUUGGCCAAACAUUACUGGUCUGAGCCAUAUACUGUGUGACCUCAGACAAAACAGAUCCCACAUGUACUCAGAUUAUGAUUGAUGUCCCAAUAGACUUUUAGGCGGUGCUCUGAUAUAAUACAUCCAAAUUGGGGUGGACCAUAUAAUACACCCCAAUGGAUCGUUUUAAGCUCCUACACUGCUAAAGCUAUUGCAAAAUGCGCAUUAGGAUUAUAUUUCUAUUAGAAGCGCCUUUCCUUACUAGGCAAAUGAACCAUAUAAUACACCAAGAUGGAUGUUAUACACGUUAGCGUUUGGGCAGAAUUUUUUUGGUUAUCUCAUUGUCUCACAUUACUAGAAUUGAAAAGUUUAUAAUAUAAUAACGUUCGAAUAUGAACUUGAGAAACGACAUACUGCCGGUUGGCCGUAAAGGUGCAGUGAAAGAGCGAAAAGGAAGAAAGAAACAAACAUGCAUGAAAGGACAAAGACUAUCCAAUAGAUUAUAAACAAUGACUUCUUGGGAUGAUUACAGCUAUUCAACCAUCAAUAAUGCACUAUUUUAGUUUGGAAUUUGGAAGCAUUUGAGAAGUAACAUGACAUCAAUCACAUAAUAAACAAAAGUGAUUACAAAAAAACCCAAAUGUGAAGGAAUAAUUAAAAAAAAUUAUUCAAGAUAAGCGAUAAAUGAUUCAACUAUUUAUAAGAUAUGAACUUAGAACAACAAUCUAUUGGAUCGUUGUAUUAACUAUUAAGUGGUGCUCUAAUAUAAUAUAUCCAAAUGGAGACGAACCAUAUAAUACACCCAAAUGGACCAUUUUUAGGCUCCACUGCUAAAAACUAAUGCAAAACGGGCAUUAGGAUUAAACUAUAAGAACUAGGAUUGCAGGGAAGACAAAACACGCAGGAAAGCUAUAAGACUACACAAGGUUUUCACUGUGAUUGCAUACCCUCAACGUUGUAGGGAGCAACCUUUUUAUAAUCACUUUUCAGAUUACAUCAGGGUUUCAAAAACCCUAUUAACAAGCUUACAUUUUGAAAUUCAAAUACUAUAACUAAUUCUGACAAAACAAAUAUUUAAAAAUUCAAAUGAUUUUAACAGAAGCUCUACUUGAUAAGUGUUGUUGACUGAGUAAACCAACUGAAGAGUUUCUGUUUGAACAGGAAACUUGACUCCGUCUAACAUAAACUUGUAUUAGCUAGCUUUCCUAGUCAAAUGAACCAUAUGAUACACCCAAAUGGAUGCCAUCAUGCCAUAUAUAACCAAUGUUUUGAAAGGACAAGGUACCUUAACACUGUCUUUUUAUAUAAUGUAAGCAACAACCAUAAAUCUUACACAAAUCCUGGUAAGUCUACCACAAGUGUCAAUCCUUAUCUCCUUAUCAUUCCACAUCACCAAGUGUUUGCUCUCGUAUAGAACUUACAAAAAUCUCAUUUAGUUUCAUCUAACUUAUUUUUCACAACGGUGAAUAUAUUUCAAUGGCUUGGUUUUCACAUGCCAGUCAGUCACAUGCUCAACUCCUCAAAGUUCGGGCUCAAUGGCUCGAAGAGAGCUUCCACUUCACUCUGAUUCACCUCCCUCUUACUUUGACGGGUUCCACUUCGGAUUCUGCAUUGACAAAAAACAGAAGCAAAAGAUUGUUGAGAGUUGUCCCACGUUGGUGAGGGACAAGGCUUGCUAUGUACUUAUAUGAAUUUGGGCUACUUUCAAUAUUGUCAAUUGGUUUUAUGGUGGAACCUCAAUUUCAUCAUGGUAUCAGAGCCAAGUUGUUGACGUGUGAAGCCCAAUGGCCACACGCACUUCACGUCACCUAGCUGUUGUCCACGUGUAGGCUUGAAAAUCCGUCACACGUGCGGGGACGUGUUGAGAGUUAUCCUACAUUGGUGAGGGACAAAGUUUAGCUAUGUGCUUAUAUGAUAUUGGGCAACUUCCCAUAUUACCAAUUGAUUUUAUGAUGAACCUCAAUUUCAUCAAAGAUAACGACCUGUUCUCAUACAAGGAAAGUAAGAUGAUUAUAUAACUGUAGGUCUAGUACAGGCUGUAAUGGUUUAUGUUGCAGCAACUCCGUCAGCAAGUGAUUUUCAAGUAAGGAAUCUUGAGCAUAAUUAACGAACCUGAUCCUUGUCCACCAAAACUGCCCGCACACCUUCAGCAAAAUCAUUCCGCAAAGACGAUCUUCUAGCAACGCGAUAUUCAGUUUUCAUCACACCAGUUAGCUGGUAUGGAUCAAGUAAAGCACAUGUUACUCACUCAGAAAAUGUGAAAUACUACAACACAAAAUCUAUCAAAAGGAUGCAACCUUGAAGAGCUUCAUUUGCCCACUCCACCACUACAACAGAAACAAUUUGAUAGAAAAUACUUGACAGCCACGUACAAGCCUCUCAAUAGAAGAGUAAGACAGAUUUCAUUUCAUCAUCGAUAAACAAAUGGCAUUGACAAACUUACCAGUAGCAUCUGAACUCUGCUGCUGCUUUUUAAGUUCAUCAAUUGUCACAAGAACCGACUUAUUUGCACCAAAUGCUGAAGUUAUUUGAGGUAAAAGACUCCUGAGCUGCGCUUCGAAUCUGGGUUGCUGCUGAAUUUUGCCACAGUUGUAAUUGACAACAUUGACAAUUGUCUCUCUCGCAAUAGUACCUUCGUAAUGAUCCGCUACUGACCUUGGCCCGAUAGGCCAAUACCAAAGGCCAUUGUUAUGGCCACGAAGCUUAUACGUGGCUGUCAAGCCCGACACGUGAAUAGCAUACUCUACUACUGUGUUACAUUGUGAGAAUUUUAUCCAAAAUUAAUUGACAAUAAGUGAAUAAGUUGAAAGAUUAUGUAUGACUUUAAUUAUGCAAAGAGUGAAGAGGCAAUUUUCACCAAACCCCAGUAAAAAAUUUGGGCCUCACAAAUCACUAAACCCAAUAUGCUUUUCUCUUAUGCCUUUCGUUCAUGGUUUGAUAUUCUGGCGUCCGAGGACCCUGACAUGACAAGUUCCAACCUUUUUGUUCAAUUUCUUGACGAAACAAUCACAUUUACCCUUACGGCACGGCACGGUUCCGGGCAUAGAAUAUGGGUUGGGUUCCGCCACAGAUCCAACACUAAUUAGCACUGUAGAGAAGGAAGUAAAGACAACUAUUGAUUUCUUACAACGUAGCGAGUCUCUUGACAUGACUCCUGCUGUUUUGUUCUUAUUUCACGUCCUGUUUCUCGAGCUUGGUGUUUCCGGCAGGGCCGGUCUAAAGAUUUUUGAGGCCCGGAGCGACGUAAAAAAAUAUGCCCUCACUUAUAUAAGAAAAUUAUUUGUUUUCACAUGUAAGACAUCGAUAAAAUUAUACUUACAAAAACACUUAAAACUUAAUAAUUUAGAAACAAGGAAAAACUAAUUUAUUUUGUAUCGUGAGAAUGAUCCAAAAAAACUCUGGGUUUACAAGUAGAUAGAUAUGGGUUUACAAGUUGCGGAUUGCUUUGCUAACUAUGAUGUUGAUCUGGCUGGGGUUCAUUGGUGAGAUUCUUGAUUUCCUUGUGCUACUUUGACAUAUCACCAUAAGUUGUCUUUUUUGCCUUGUUAUAGUUUCGUGUGGGGUUUUUUUUCUUCUUCUAAUGCUGAUUGGGUUCUUUUCUUCCAACUCCUGCCCACUCAUUAUUGUCUGAACCACACCUAGUAUUACCCUCAUAUCCACUAAAACUUCAAGCUUUACCAAUUUGUCACAAGCGAAGAUGGUAGCUCCCAACACCAAUGAGGUUCCAAACAAUUACGAUCGAAAACGCGAAGUGAAAGCUUUUGAUGAGACAAGGGAAGGCGUUAAGGGUCUUGUUGAUGCCGGGGUAGCCGAGGUUCCUAGAAUUUUUCAUCAACCACCACAAUUGGACGAUCAGUACUCCAUCAACAAUACAAGCACUGACUCAGAAGCCACCCAGUUUAGCAUUCCGCUAAUAGACCUUGAAGACCAUGGUAAUCCAACUAAGCGCAAUGAGAUUGUUGCAAAGUUGGAGAGGCAUCAGAGACUUGGGGCUUCUUUCAAAUAGUGAAUCAUGGGAUACCUGUAGGUGUUCUGGAGGCGAUAAAGGAUGGGGUACGUGGGUUUUAUGAGCAGGACACUCGAGUCAAGAAAGAGUUUUUACACUCGUGAUCACUCUAAACCUUUGUUUUACAAUAGCAACUUUGAUCUUUAUAGUUCACUGGCAACGAAUUGGAGGGAUACUUUUAAGUGUUACAUGGCUCCAUAUCCUCCUAAGCCAGAAGACUUGCCAGAAGUAUGCAGGUAUUUGACAACCCAAUUCUCUGGUUUAAUUGGUGACAGUAACCUGGUGCAGAUUCCUUCCUUGAUGGAUUAGAUCAUUAAACUCCAUACUUUUGACAAGUUUAAUGUGCUUUCCUGGUUUUCAACUUGCAGAGACGUACUGAUCGAGUAUUCAAAGCGAGUAAUGGAGUUGGGGAAAUUGUUGUUUGAGUUGUUGUCGGAGGCCCUUGGGCUAAAGCCAAGCCACUUGAAUAGCAUAGAUUGUAGUAAGGGGCUACAGGUUUUAGGCCAUUACUAUCCUGCUUGUCCACAGCCAGAGUUAACUUUGGGCACAAGCAAGCACGCUGAUGAUUCCUUCCUUACGGUCCUUUCUGCAAGAUCAUAUUGGUGGUCUGCAAGUUGUUGAUCGUCAAAAUAAGUGGAUUGAUGUACCCCCUGUGCCUGGGGCUUUAGUGGUGAACAUUGGAGAUCUUUUACAAGUAAGCACACGUAUACAAUUGCCCUUUUUUUUUCUCCCUAAAAACUACUAUUAAAUUAAGAGAAUAGUAUCGUAAACUAAGCUAGUUUGUUAAUGACUAAUACUCGAGACAAGCUUUGGUCGCAUGUUAGCGUUCUCUUAGAAUAUGUCUUAGAAUUCUUCGAUUAUCAUAAUUAGGUCUUUUAUGUUCAAUUCUUUUUGGGAUUUUCAGCUCAUAUCAAAUGAUAGAUUCAAAAGCGUAGAACACAGGGUAUUGGCGAACCGUGAAGGUCCAAGGAUAUCCAUUGCCAGCUUCUUAGCACAGGUUUGCUACCAUUUACAAAUCUCUAUGGACCUAUUAAGGAGUUGGUAUCAGAAGACAACCCUCCAAAGUACAGGGAGACUACUGUGAGGGACUACGACACCCAUUUCUAUGACAAAGGCCUAGAUGGAACCUCUGCCUUAUCUCAUUUUAAGAUCCCAACUUAGACAUGGAGGAGCACAGAAGCAGAGACCGCAACGAACAAAUCCUGUCUACUAAAUAAUUUGGCAUGAAAAUAUAUAUUGGUUUGUUUAAUCUGAAAGCACUUUCGCACCACAAAAUUCUGGAUAUGCAUAUUAUUUUGUUUUCUGUUUGCAUAUGGUCUAAUAUACUUGUAGAAAGGGUUGGGUUUCUACCCUUGCGUCUCAGGUACGAAACUUCCCCUCCUAUAAAUUAUUGUAAUAGCUUCGAACUCUCUAUCUUCCGCAAAAAAAAAAAAAAAAAAGGGGGGUUUUCUAACACUUCUAUUCAUCAUGUUUACAGUUUUUGUGGCAUGCGCUUAACGAAUUCAACUGUGGUUGUGGUUGCGGUUGCGGUUGCAUAUCAAUACUAUUAUACCAUAAGUGUGGGCUUGUUUGAGAAUGUUUUUGUUUGUAAGAAGCGGUUUUACACAGUAGUUAAAAUAUAUAUAUGUAGAAAGAAAACAUACAAGUUGGUUGACAAAAGGGGAAGAAAAAUUGAGAGAUACAGAGAAUAAGAAAAGAAGAAAAUCGAUGCAAAUUUUAAUAUAUAUGUAGUAGAUCCAGGUAUCCAAAGGAUUCGGGGCUAAUGUACCUGCAUUGAUGAAAAAACAAAGAUGAGAUUUUUUGAAACGCAUCACAUAGUAGUUAAAAUACCUGGCGGUAAAUGAACGGUUUGAGAUAACGCCAUAGUGGCAUCCCUCAGGUGUGAGUUUCUCUCGUAUCGGAUCACUUAUUGUAAGAAUAUCAAUAGUGAAAGUUAAAUACCCGUGUCGGGAAAGGAAGUCGAUGAUGACAACUGACAAGAGAGAAAUUUGGCUUGAAAAAUGUAUGAUGUUUGCAACAUGCGUCAUGAAAACUUAAGUGUCAUGAAAACUUAAGUGUAAAAUGCGACCGGAAAAACACUAAACAGGAUAGCUAUGCUCUCUUAGUGUAAACCUUAACAACAAAGACCAUACCGUAUCUGUCACAGUGAUAUGCGACCAUAAGCCCAACUCCAAGGAACACCUUUCCAAGAGCUUUGAAGGCUACAGAUCAAAAGUUACAUGCAGUGAUGACAUAAUCAUGAAAAAAUACAAUCAUAAAUUAAAGGAAAACAUACUGACUUCUAGUUCUGGCAAUUCACUAUCGGGCCAUAUAUUUGAACCACAGUAUGAUGGAUACCUACAAUACAUAUCAUAUCACAAAUAAAAUCUGAGCAGACACAAAGUAUUAUGUUCUGUUUACGCAAAAUCUGUAAGUUCUCAAAUAGGAUAAAUAAAGAUAAACAUAUCCCAGCAUAAAGACGAUUUGUCCUGGUUAAUUCUAGGAAACCUUUAUCAAAUGUAUGAUAGUUAUUCAUAACUAACACAAACAACUGUUUGGCCAGACAUUACUGGUAUGAGCCAUAUACUGUGUGACCUCAGACAAAAUAGAUCCCACAUGUACUCAGAUUAUGAUUGAUGUCCCUAUUGACUUUUACCUUUGAAUUAGAGAUUCAUCUGUUGUAGGGCUAUCCAAUAUUGGAUUUGCAUAAAACGAGCCUUUUAACGUAUCUGCAAAACCAGAACACAAACGGAAAAUGAAUGAUCCUAAGUUCUUAGAGUUUCCAAAGAAACAAAAUUUAAAACAAAGAACAUAAAGUGAUACCAGGCUUUCCAGAUUCCAGCUUCUCUUUUUCCAUGACUCCAUCCAAAAUUGUACCUAAACAUGGAUGGCAGGUAAAAAGAAGAUAAGCAAUAAAACUUUGUAAAGAUUCCCAAGAAAAGCAAUAAAACUACGUAAAUUAUUAGUUAAUAAUGUCAAGACCAUAGUCUCUGAAAAUCCAAGAGUUGAGAUGCGGCAGGGAUUUUUGGAAUUUUUCUCUAUUGUAAGUAAAACAUAGAUUGAUGUUUGUGUUUACACGAAAAUUAUGCCAACGGCUUAAGAGAAAUCAAAGUAUAACAAUGGGACUAAAAUGACUUACCUACUAUGAGGAUCUUCAAGUUCCUUCUUCACCUCUUCGGGCAGAUUGGCUAAUCUAAUAAACAAAAAGAAAACUCCCAUGAGCAGUGCUAUAACAAACUAUCUUCCUAAAUUCAUUAUGAAUUGCAGUUAAAACUUAAAAUGAACAUGAAAAUCCUACGUAGAAGGGAUAUACCUAGGUGACAAGCCUAGAAGAUUCCCGCGCAAGGAAGAAUAUCCCGGAACCUGCAAUUGAAAACUCAAAGAAACAAUUACAAAGAUGCUAGAAAGAAAAUACGUAUCAGUUUACAACAAAACGCUAGCUCUCACAAGAAUCGAUUAGGUAUGAAGCAUCAAAACAACAGCAUGAGACAUCAUAAUUUAUGAGCUAUGAAUGGAAUAAUGGAGCAAAAUAUCGUUGCCCAAACAGCACAAUCUACAAUCUACAUGACGGAGAAAGUACCCCGACAUUACAUAUGCAAGUUCAUGUGGUUUAUGUGGUUUAUCUUUUUAACCGAUUCGUUAACAAAUUCUUUCUGCACAUAUAGUUUUAACUUACCAAAACUGGUAAUGGAAGAGAUAAUCAGUAAUUAACAACGGUAAUCGCAUAACGAAAUCAUACUUGAGUGAUUGAUAGGAUUCCCAACCCAUUUGGUCCAAAUCCUUCUUCAAUCUUCACUGACAAAUCUUUGUCCCUGUCCUGUAUCAAUCCAAAAUCAAAAAACGAUAAUUAGAAAAAUCGAAUUCUCGACAUGAUCGACGAGUUAAAACAUAGCAAUUAAACAAAACUAUGAAUAAAACAAUUAGAUUCUGUUUGGUUGCUGAGAAUGAAGAGAAUAACAACCACAAAGUCAACUGAAAUAAAAUUUUGCUCUAACUUCAACGAAUUCUCUUGAGUUUCUGAGCACCCAAACAGAAAAAAAAAAAUUAUAGGCAAUCAAACCAAACUCUCAUGCUCAAUUUUCUCGGCAACCACAAAAAGAACUUAGAGGAGGGGGAGAGAGAGAGUUACUUGGAGCUCGGAGUAGGAUAUGGUGACUGGUGUGACGGUGGGGACGACGGGGUCGGAGGACGGAGGCAUAGUUCGACAAUAAAUUUGGCGGGAAAGACGGCGGUUGGAGUGUGACGAUGGGGAAGAAUCCGUGGGAACGAAGAGGAAUUUUGGUGCGGAAGGAGGGUCUUUAUAUCGGAGGGAGGGAGGGAGGGAGAGAGGUUGAGAGCGAAAGGCGUGAUUGUCAAUUUCAAAUUUUUUUUUUUUAGGAAUAAAGAAAGAAAGAGAGGUUGAGUAUCAAUUCCCUUUCCCUCCAAACCAAAGAAUACAUUCACGAUCAUGAUGUGUGUGGCAAAAAUUAAAGGUGGAGACAAAUAAAUUAAAGAGAAUUUUCACGAAAAGUUCAUGGUACGAUUUAUUUUAAUGAAAAAUUAUAUUUUUAUACUAAAAAGUCAAUUUUGAUACUAUUUACUUUACAUUUUAUUUUUGUCAUUAUCGUUAAAACUAAAAACAAUUGAAGCAUUUUUUUACUAUUUUUCCUUAUAUUAAAUAGGUAUAAGUAUUAGUUAAAUUUAAAAUUAAUUGUGUACUAUUAAAAAUUUGUUUGAAAAUGUUUUUAAAAUGACUGAAAGCAUUUUUGAUUAAAAUGUUUUUUAAAUCAAUCCUUAGUAAAACCAAGUGGAUUCUAAAAAGUCAUUUGGAUUACUUUCUACAAAAACCACAUAUCUUGAGCACUUGAAGCACUUUUGGAAUCCAAAAUUAAUUUAACAAAGGUGUGUCUAGUCUUUUUAAUUUUUGAACAAACAAUAUUAUUUAUUUUAAGGGAGGAGAUGAGCUUAACCUCACAAUGGACUAUCAUAUUAAUAAUGUUGUUCAAAUCCACCUUUAUCCAAAAUCAAAUCUAAAACAUCUUACUCACAACUGAAGAGGAAUACCUUUACAUCGUAAUACUAAGCGACAUGUUUUUUUAUUUUUAAGAGACGUGUUUAUUCAUUUUUAAAAGACUUAAAAACCAGCACUAAUUUGUAUUAAAUUCUAAAACCUUUGAAUUGGGAUGUAAUAUGCAUUGGGUCUUUAAUAAUAUUUAAGUUGUUUUCGGCAAAAAAUAAGGGAUUCAAUUGGGAAAAAUAACAAAAUAUGAAAUAAGGAUAUUCUAAUUAAGGUUUUUAUUAAUUAUUUAAGGCGGAUGGUUCAUGUGAAGAUUAUGAAACGCUUUAAUUCUCUAAUGUGCGAUUCCAUUUCGAUCCAAAGUUAAACAGUGACAAAUACAAUUAAGGUUGUUAAUUUUUUUUGGUAAAAACAAUUAAGGUUGUUAUUAAUAUCAAUUCAUGUAUAUUUCCGCAUGUGCCACAUUAUUAAGUUAGGCAGUGAAAAAUAUAUAUCGGAUGUUAUGAGAACAUGUGUGGCUGUCAAGCCCUACACGUGAAUAACAUGCUCUCUACUGCUUUAUUACACCGUGAAGAUUUUAUCCAAAAUUAAUUGACGAUGAGCGAAUAAACUGAAAGAUUAUGCGCAACUUUGAUUAUGCAACGAGUGAAGAGGCAAUUUACACCAACCUCCAGUCAAGAAUUUGGGCUCACAAUCACUAGCCAAUAUGCUUUUUUCUCACAUUUACCCUGACACGGCAAGUUCAUAGUUCAAUAUUCUGGUUCUGGUGUCCUAUGACCCUGACACGGCAAGUUCCACUUUUUGUUCAUUUUCUUGACGAAACCAUCACAUUUACCCUUACGGCACGGCACGGUUCCGGGCAUGGAGUAUGGAUUGGGUUCCGUUGCAGUCCCGACACUACAUAGCACUGUAGAGAAGGAAAUACAAAGACAACUUUGGAUUUCUUACAACGUAUUGAGUCUCUCGUCAUGGCUCUUGCUGUGUUGUUCUUAUUUCACGUCCUGUUUCUCGAGUUUGGUGUUUCCGGUUGCAAAUUUUGGUUCGGCAGUGUAGUGCUCAGGAGAGGGGACUGUCUCACGUUGUUCCAAGCAGACAGAGGCGGUUGACAACGAUUGCGACAAUGUGUUUUUCUACUGGGAGAACAUACAGCAGUCAACAGUUAUCUUUUCACAACCGUCUUCAGUAUUUGGAGGCACCUCAAGAAAUUAUCAAGGACAAACGAAUGUAGAAAAGAAGAAAUAUCAAAGUUAGUUGACAAAAGGGGACGAAAAAUUGUGAGAUACAGAUAAGAAGAUAAGACGAUACUCGAUGCAAAUUUUAACGAGCGAUACAGAGAAGAAACAGCUGCAUUUGGAGACAGCUGCUUUAGUUGCCUUGUUUGUAACAUUAGCUUUCUGCAAUUCCGGGGAAGAAACAGGAGUAAAAAAAACAGAGUCAGGCAGUACCAAAAAAGAAAAAUAUACAAUUAGGAACAAUCGUCACUUCUCAAACUUUGUAGUAGAUCCAGGUUUCCGAAGGACUCGGGGCUAAUGUACCUGCAUUAACAAGAAACAAAGAUCAGAUUUGUGGAAGGGAGUCGCAUAGUAGUUAAAAUACUUGGCCGUGCAUGAAUGGUUUGAGAUACCAUCAUAGAGGCAUCCUCCAGGUGUGAGUUUCUCUCGUAUCUGAUCACUUAUUGUAAGAAUAUCAGUAGUGAAAGUGAAAUACCCGUGUCGGGAAAGGAAGUCAAUGAUGACAAAAGAGCAAUUUGGUUUGAAAUAUUGUGUCCUCGGUAUGAUGCUUGCAACAUGCAUCACCGAAUCCACUUGAAGCUCUCCACCUCUCCAUCUGUUAAAUGUUUCAUAAGCAGCAUUGUUAAAGUUCUCUUUAUUUGGGGGGAUAUUGCAGAUGGUUUUGAAUGAAGAAAGGCAAAAAUUCAUGCUGAAGGCAUAGUUUACAACUAGUAUUUGUAAAAGCUAAGCUCUAAAGUGAGCCUUGAUUCUUUGGCACAAAUAGCUAAAGUUUUGAGAUGGGACAAAAUGGGUCCACAUACAGCGCAUCCGAUGGUGUUGAAAUCCUUUUCCCAGUAAGUCAAAGAUAAGCACCAAGAAAGACAUGACAGUGUUAAACUUAAAACAAAUACAGAACUAAGAAUUGAUGCAUGAAUCAAACAGAGAAAUGGUACAGGCCAUUCUCUUUAUAUUCUUAUAAUCUAAACAUUUCUCCUUAUCAACACUGGAAAAACAGCUUGCUUCAGUCAUAGGAAAUAAAUUGCGCCUAGAGUAUAGAAAAGACAUACCUACAGAUCCUCCUCCUGGACUCUUUGCCGCUAUACGUGAAAACCCAACAUCUGGGAACAACCAAAUUACAUUCUCUGGCAUGGCAAGAACAGUCCUCUGAAAUGUAUCCAUACAAAGUUAAGACACAAAAAACUCAAAAAGGCAAUGUAAUUCACAACAUUGACAAUCUCUGUCUGACAAGGCAAUAAUACCUCUGUAAUGAUCCGGUAGCGACCGUGACCUGAUAGGCCAACACCAAAGCCCAUUGUUAUGCCAUCCAUGAAGAUAGGGCUUCUUGUACUCAGAGAUUUUGCAUAUUAGAGAAUACUCAGCAGUGAAUACCUGAAAAACAUGCAGCACAAGUAUCAUACCGGUAGCCUCUCAAUCUUAAGAAAUGGUAGCUUAGAAAAGAUAUGAAUCCUAUCCAACCACUACAAAUCAUAUUACCCAAGUUCAAGCAAAAUCACGACUAAACAAAUGAUCAGAUGUUGUAGGUUGCCCGAGAAUGUCAAACAUGAAAUUACAAGAAAAAAAACAAUCGUAUGUAUUGAACAUUAAUAAAUACUUGCUGAAAGCACAAUCUUAGCUGCCAUUUAUGACAUUUAUACGAGAUUGAAUAGCCAAAGCAAUUAAAGAAGUAGCAGAACUCAUAUAAGUGAUUUUCACUUUGAACUUUUAGGCUUAUCAGCAAAUACAUCAUUACGAUUCUAACGCAUGAAUUUUGUUAAAAGGGGCUUGCUUGCUUGUAUUAAGGCUUAAUCAUCAAUGAUUUUGCAAGGGUCAAUCGUCUUGAUAGUUGUAAUCUAUGCACUAUGAAAAUUACCAAAAUUACAUCUUAUAUGGUAGAGAAGGAAGUCAUCUUAUAUUAUCUGGAUUUUAGAAAACGGUGUAAGGUUAUAAGUCUGUUAUUCUAUAUAGUUUAAAGGACACAAUUAGACAACAAUCAUAUUUGGUGGUUGGUUUUUGGCCGUGAUCUGCUUCACAUCACCGCCCGCAGGUAAUCUAAAUCUGGGUUAUUACUUAUCAAUGAAUCAAAGUGCCAACUUAUCGGACACCAUCUAUCUCUAUAUGGCAAAAAAAAUAACACAAAAAGGAACAAUGAAGUGAAACAAUAAACAACAUGACAUGAAACAGCACGAACAUCAAAGACCAACAAUCUAUCACAUAAGCACCUAAACAAGAAACAACUUUAGUUCAAAGCAAAGCGUAAUGUAGAAACCUUCGGCACAAGAGGCGUGUUUUUGUCCUUUUGAAUUUCGGCAACAACAACUUUAAUAUCCUUACCUGCACUUACCAUGAUUGCUCACUCUCAAAACCUUACCUAAGAGACCCCAAAACCAAAAUAACUGCCAAAAGAGCUGAACAUACAUAUCUAGAAAAAACUUAUUCAACUACAUGCUAAAAUGGAAGUGUAAAAUUGCCAGGAAAGAUAAGAAACUAUUCAAAUACGAGUUCUGGGCGUUACCGCCACAAAAGGCACGAGCCGAGCGGCUAUCAACAAGAACACACUUCACAUUUGGGUGAGAUUCCCAUUCAUCCAGAUAGCUCUUGUAUUUCACAUCCAAAUCUGCAUUUUCCAACAAUUCCCACUUAAACAGAAACACAAAAUUCUUCCAAAAAAAGCUAACUUCUUCGAAAUUUGAAUCCAACGUUUCGUCUUAUAACAAAUGCAAUAACAUAGAUUUGUAAUCAAUACGAUGCCAUAAAGUUCAAGCUCAAAAAUUCAAAUCAUCUCCAAAUCAAAUGCAAUUACAGAUAUAUACAUAUAUACAUAUACGUUUGUGUGUUUAUCUACAUACCUAGGUUUAUGGCGUUGAGAGCUCGGGGGGUGACCGAGGGUGAUGACGGCGACGCCAAAGGUGCGGAGAAGGCGAGGGGAUUUGGAGGGUUUUGUAAAGAGGGGAUUUGCUCAGAAUUUGGGUCGCUCGUCCCUCUUAUGGGAGUGACUCAAAAAUCGAAAAAGUUGAAAUUUAUUGAUUGUGAUCUGACUCAAACAUGUGAUGAUGACGAUGCAUCACCACCUUGGUUGUGCCUCUGGAUCAAAAACCUACCAUCACCAUCAAAAUCGUGCACAUUUUCCUUCAUAGGCUUGUCCCAUACUAGAUUAACCCCUGUUCCCUUAAUUGUCACAUUAUCAGAUGUACUGUUUCAAAAGUUAUAUCAACUUUAUCCCCGCUUUGCAAAUUGAGCUUAUCGUUCGAUAUUUGUCCCUGCCAAAGAAAACAUUUUCCAGAUACAUUGUGCAUUUUUAUAACCCAAUCUUCCUUGCCUAUGCAGGUCUGCAACUCAGUACGCUUGGUAUUAUUUAUAUCAAUACUGGCACGAGGAUGACCAUCUUUGCAUGUGAAAUAAGGUUUGCUAUGAAUUGAAUAUUUAGGAAUAAAGCAGUAAAAGCACAACAGAGUCAACCCUUCCAAAUUACGACCAUCACUCGGGAGAAUAUCAAAACUGACUUUAUUACCAUCGUUGACAAACUCGAACCAAUCAGGAACAUAAUUCCCUUUGAAAAAAAUGCCACCAUAUCCGCAAGAAGUCCAUCCCUAUAUAUACAGUGCGAGUGUCAUAUAUAUAUAUACACACACAAACACAAUGUACAUGUGUGUGUGUGCAUGUGCGCAAUAGGAAGACAAUUAAAGAGAGAGAUACCUUUAGGACUUUCCUCAUAAAAUCAGCGGUGAGUUCGGCGCAAUCCGUCAUAUCAAUCCAUGUCAUGGAGUUUAAUGACUUAUCCAAGUCUGGAAUCUCAGUGAGUGCGCGUGAAUCACGUACAUUCAGUUCCCUCAUAUUGGACAUUUUCGAAAAAAUUGGGCAUUGUUAACAAACGAUGGCAACAAGACGCAUACAGAAAUUUCAAAUUUGUGUUGGUAAACCAUAGAUUGUAUGAAGGUUAAGGCAGUAAUCUAACCGCAAACUUUCAAGCUUUGAAAGAUCACUGAGGCUGGGUAGGGUAUGAAAAUCAUUAGAUGAGAGAUCUAAAUCUUGUAAAGAAAUUAGACUCCCAAAACCCUUUGAUAAUGGAUCAUCGCUUAACCUCUGGAAUAAGAGAUCUAAAUUUCUUAAAGAGUCAAAGCCCUGUAACAAAUCGCGAAUUUGCAAUGCAAAUUUGGCUCUUCUGGAAGGAAGACCCCCAAUUAGAGAUAAAUGAGUGAGAUUCUUCAAUCUUACUGUGGAACGCGGUACUUGUAUUAUGGCUGUCUCAGAUGCUUUAAGUACUCUCAAUGAUAUUAUAUUCCCUAAAUCCUCGGACAGUUCACUGAAUUGCCCACAAAAAUCAAGAACAAGAGUCUGAACGGAUUUGGACCUGUAGAAAUCCCCAGGAAGAGAAAUAAGAUUCUUGCAGCCUGUGAGGUUCACCAAAGAAAGUUUUUUAAGAUGACCAAUGGAGGGGUGAAUCUCGGACAAACUCUCACACCAUUCCAAUAUCAACUCUUCAAGACUUGGGAGAUUUGAUAAGUCUGGUGAUUUUUUUAAGUCAAGGCAAACACUGAGAUUAAGGAUUUUCAAGUUUUCAAGCAACUGUUGCACAAAAUCCAAGAAAAAUUAAAAUUAAUAUCCAAAAGGAAUAUCUCAUAAAAUAAAUAAAUAAAUAUAGAGAGAAGGAAAUAUAAAAACAAAUAGAAACAUAACAUCAUCAUGUGUAAUCGAUAGUACCUUGGAGCCCUCCCAAACUUGUACCAGUCUGCUGUGCGUUAUCUCUAAAAUAACUAGUGCUCUUGGUUGAUCAAAGAAGUCAUCUGGUAUGGACUUUAAAGGGCAUCCUUCCCAACACAACCAUAUUAACUCUUUGGGGAGAUGUUUGUAUUCUCCAUUGAGCUGCACGUUCUUGAGCAUGAGCAGUCUCAGUUUCUUCAUAUUAGCAAAUGCUUCUGUACUGAUACAACUAGACUUUAAAGGGAAUUCUCCAUGGAGCUGCACUUUAAUGCGCUGGAACAGUAUCAGUUGCCACGUAUCGGCAAAUGCUUCUGUACUGAUACUUGGAGACAGAAGAUCAGGGAAACCUACAACAAGUCCUUCAACUUCUUUGGUUCCCUGUUAACAACACAUUAUACUGGGUAAGAAAAGGAUUAUGUGCAUCUAUUUUACGUGAUUUUGCUAAUUGAGCUUCUUAAUGCAAAUACAUAUAUUUACACAUGAAUGUUUUUAAUGUAUAAUAGGCAUACGUGGGUUACAUAUAUGUUUUUCUUGUACGAUGCAUUAAUACAAUUUUUUUUUGGGAAUCUACUUACAGAUUUAUUUGUUAGUACAUCAUAGACAUCUCCAGGGAUCCACAACCUGCUCCAUUCUCCAGGGGGACGACGGGAAUUUCCAGAUAUGAUUACUUUGGCCAUUUCUCGAAGCAAAUCAUGCAUAUUCAACUUGUUGUCUUCAACAGUUAUAAGGCAUCGUUCACGGAGAUCACAAAUUCCUGCUGUUGCAUAAAAUUUACACCCAUCUAAUAUUUUUGCGACAUGGUCCUUAUCCCAUCCAAUAAAGAAACAAGAUAUGUCAAGGAAUAUAUCCUUCUGUGUAGGAUCUAGCCUUUCAAAGCUUACUCUUAGCGCUUUCAUUAUUCCCUCAUCAGGAAUUUUUUUCAAUUUCUCCAACUGACUUUUCCACUCUGUUGGGGUUCUUUCAAUCAUAGAAGAACCUAAAACUUCAAGGGCUAGUGGCAAACCACCACAGUAAGAAACAACCUCUUUUGAGAGUUCAAGAUAUCCUUCAUUAGGCCAACUAUUUCCAAAGGCAUGCCAACUAAAGAGCUUCAGAGCUUCUUCUUCAAUCAUUUCCUUAAGCGGAUAUGUCUUGUCCACUGUCAUGUUCACUUGCUUUAGUAAACGUUCAUCUCGUGUCGUUAUGAUAAUUCUACUUCCUGGGCCAAACCAAUCACGAUUUCCAGCUAUUGCAUUUAGUUGUUCCACUUUGUCUACAUUGUCAAUAAUGACAAGUACGCUUCUACGUUGGAGAUGAUUUUUUAUCAGACUCAUACCUCGAUCAACACUGGUUAUCUUAGACUCAGUCUGUUUCAAGAUGUCAGAAACAAGUUUUCCUUGCAAAUCAACCAGAUCAUAUUCACUAACGUUGGCAAGGAAACUUUUGAAUUGGAACUUAUGAUGAAUUUGGUUAUAAAUGGCUUUGGCAGCUGUUGUUUUACCCAAUCCACCCAUCCCCCAAAUUCCAACCAUGACAACGUCAUUUGAUCCACCACUUGAAAGAUGAUUGAUAAUAUCUUGAAUGCGAGAAUUGAUUCCAACCGGGUGCUUGGCCACAUUUAAUUCGUUUGCGCUUGGAAGCCAUUCCGGAAUGAUCUUGCCAACAAUUUCUCUAAUAAGCUUUGCUUCGGGCCUGAAAAUUGAAUUCGUAAGCAUUAGCAGGACUCAAUGAACAGUAGGAGCUAUCAGUACAUAGACAAUUUUCUUUCCUUCAUAUAUAUUCUAACUAGCUACUAGCUGGUAUGUGAUUUUUUGACCAACUUGAUAAAAGAAAGAAGUUCAUUCAUUAAUUAAACUCCAAUUACGGUUUAGGUUUUAUAUGAGUGGUUAAGGUGUAUUAAUUAAGCAUGUUAAUUAAUGUUUAAUUAGCUUCUGUAAAAUGUUAAUUAUAUGAGAGACUAAGUCAUUCACUAAAAUGUUUCAAAUCUUGAAAAACAGGUGAAUGAUUACGCAUUGUCAGUGAUUUGGAGAUGUUGGCCAGACAAAUUUGCUGCUUCUGUAAGAGCCUUUCUCCAUUGCUUUACCCUUUCUUGUUUAGUUUCACGUUCCUUGUCAUCUUUUUCUUCACGGAUGCCCUCUUCGUGCUUCUGAAAUGCUUGAGCUAAAUCUCCGUUCUGCUUCCUAACAUGUGUAGGAUCAACAUGAUAGAAUAUUGGCAAAACACGUCGCCCCAGUUUGUAUCUGCACUCCAUGAUCUUCACCAGCUCAUCAAGACACCAACGAGAGUCCGCAUAACUCUUUGAGAAGACAAUGAUAGAGAUCCUCGCCUCUUCGAUUGCCCGGAACAGUUCCUCUUUUAUUUCUUCCCCUCUUUCUAGAUUGUCCUCAUCAAUAUAAGCCUGGUAUCCCCUGUCUGUUAAUGCCGCGUGGAGGUGGCCCGUGAAACCAUUGCGUGUGUCUACACCACUGAAGCUCAAGAACACGUCGUAAUUCCAAAGUGUUGACUUGGAGGAGGAUGAAGAGGAGGCUUCGUGGGUUGUCAUGGCGGUAUCCACCGUUAUGGCACUGCGGUGGUUUAGAUAACGACUAAAAAAUGGCAGUAGUUGUGUUCAUGCUGUCGAACAGAUGAUCCUGAAAUACCUAAACCCAAGUCAAGCUCCUUCAGUCAACAAGAACAAAGUUUAUAAUAUAAUAAUGUUGGUGUAUGGACUUGAGAAACGACAUAAUGUUGGCCAGAAGGUGCAAAGAAAGAGAGGAAAAGAGGAAAGAAAGGAACGAAAGGACAAAGACUAUCCAAAAGAUUAUUGGCUGUGAUUACAGCUAUUCAUAGGAGAAACAACCUGCCCGUCUUCAUAUAUAAUACAUUUCAACAGACAUAUGUUAAUAGGAGAAACAACUUUAGUUUGUACUAGAAAUUUUUACCCGGGCGUUGCUACAGGAUUUGAAAUUGUAUGAAAGAUUAUCUUUGAAAUAUAUAAUAGAUUGUGUGAUUGAAGAUUAAUACUAUUUACAUUGAAAACGUUGGAAAAAGUUUUACAUACAAAAGAUUUUACGAUACAAUCCAUAUAGUCUCCUAUAAAGUUCUGAAGUCGUGGAAGCAUAAAGGACAAAUAACAAAUGAGUUUUGAGAAAUUAUUCCACAAAUGCCAUUCUGCAUAAUGUAUUAAAGAAGAUUGGUAUAAGAUUAGCAAUCAUGAGUAGUGUAACAACAUCAACAAAAUAACCAUAAACCAUAGUUGAACAUAAUUCAAAUUUUGUUUGCAAAAACAAAAGAAAAAGAAAACAGACUUACAAUAAUUCAGUCUUCAAUCCUGAAGUCCUACUCAAAGAGCCAAACUUGAAUGCAAGCUUUCUGAAAUUUUCCAAGCAACACAAAAAAAAAGGUAACAUCCUAGUCAGAAAUGAACCGAGGUGCGAGCUUUCUAAGAAACCCAGAUGACAAAAUCAACAAAAUAGAAAGGAAAAAUGACUUGCACUUUUUAAGGCAUGUCCAAUCUUGAUCUAAAAUUGGUGGUGGGUCGAUUGUUGGUCACCAAAUCUAAAUAAAGAAUUCAUCAGAACCUAGAAAUUUAAACAAAGAAUUUUCCAAAAUCAACAUUUACUAAAAACCAGUUACUUGGUUAUCAAGCAUGAUGGCUUGCCAAAGACUGAAUUAAGGAAUGCACAACUUUACUUUUAUGAUUAUUUUCAACGACAGCUAAAAGGUCAGAUCCAAAUGAAAAUAAAAGUUAGGACUUCACAAAACCAAUUAAAAAUCCAAUUCCAAAGUUACAAACACCCACCAAAUGAUUCCAGAUAAAGUUUUAUACUCAAGGUCAGACCCAAAUGAAAUUAAAAGUUAGGACUUCGCAAAACCAAUUGAAAAUCUGAUUCCAAAGUUCCAAACACCCACCAAAUGAUUCCGGAUGAAGUUUAAACUAAAAAACCCAAUAGAAACAAAAGCAUUGGUGUGAAUUAACUGUAUCUAAUUGAAGAAACUAAAACAAAAGUAAAGCAAAGUAUAUACCUCAAAAUGUCAAGCAACUAAGUUCUUCCUCCGACGACCCAAAACUCUGAAAAUUCCACACAAAAAAAAGGUAAAUCCAUUAGCAAUUCAUAGCCUUCAAAAUUAGCAAAAACUUGGGCAACAAUAAAGAUGCAUUGAUAAAUAUCACUCUUUCUCCUUAUGUAUUUGAAAAGAUAUUUUAUAAGCAGUUUAUGUAGUCAUUCUAAUCAUGUUGCAUAUAAAUUCCUUUUCUACGGAGUUCAAAAAUAUAUGGCAGUUUACGGCAUCUGUUGAAUAACAUGGUUGAAAGAUUUAAAAUUGAUACAUUCAAUUUUUAUGUGUAAAACUAUAACAUAUAGCUAAAGCUAUUGGGUCUAUACAUCCAUAUCAAUCAUGUCGUAAUUGUAUGCUUAUCAAUGUAAAUAGAUGAUUUCAGUCAUGUGAUAACAUGUUUCUUGAUAGUAUAUGCUGAAGUUUGGUCUCAGUUGGAUAAAAAUCAACCAAAAUCUUAGCAAUAGACUCUUUUAACUUUUUUUUUUUUUUGGCGAACAAAGGUGGGGGGGAUGCAACACGAGGACUUCCCAGGAGGUCACCCAUCCUAGUACUACUCUCGCCCAAACUCGCUUAACUUCGGAGUUCUGAUGGGAUCCGGUGCAUGUGAGUUGGUAUGAUCGCAUCCAAAAAAUGAGCACCACAAUACUACACUUAUAAGUUUUAUGCACAAAAUACACAGCACUGACUGGCAAAACAAUAAAACACUCAAAACCCAAAAACAGAAACACAAUUAGGACUCAAAACUCCUCAAAAACAUGAGAGAGAGAGAGAGAGAGAGAGAGUGUGUGUGUGUGAGAGAGAGGAGAGAGAAUAAAAAACAAUAUUAUUUUUCACACAAACUCAAAAUUGCUUAUAAAAUUACAAAUCAAAACAAAUGAAGGCAAAUCCAAAAUUGCCCUAAAUUAAAUCUGAUUAGUUAAAUGUUUGUUGCCCUACAAAUGUCAUUACACACGACAAAACUUGCUUUGAAGUUGAUAUUUUGGUCAAUCCAGGGGAAAAGGAGAGAUUGGUUUUGGAGCAGUUGUCAUGGAGAAUACCAUCUCCCUGUUGAAUGAUCUAAAAAAGGACUUACAGCUUCUGUGGCCAUAAUAAUUUAGGAGGCCCAUCUCUACAGAUUUUCUCAAUAACUUUCCUUUUCGUAGCUGGUAAGAUUGCAACUCCAAGAAUUGCUCUGAAGAGAUAUAUACAAAAAAAAAUCAAACUAAAACUAAGCUAUUGGAAGAAAUUUAGAAAACACAAACACCACUACAACUCAGAGCUAAAGUCAACAGAAAGCAAAUAGUAGAAGUUGAAAAAAUAUAAGGUCGUGAAUUGAGAACUUCAUCAAACUAACAGCAAUAAAAUGUCAUAUAAUCUGUCAAAAACCAAAAAAGAGAGAGAGGUAAUUUCAAGACCUUGUAACGCUGAGGCCUCGUACAGUUGUAGUAAAAAUAUAUGGUUGAUGCACCUGUUGCUCAAUCAAAUCCUUUCUGGCUGAAAAAAUAAAAAUCUAUAAAGACAUUCACGUCCAAUUUAUGAGAAAUCAUGGGAAAGCAAAUGCACUGAUAACAGAAUCAUGAAUAUGAAGAACUUGCCAAAAAGAAAAAGAAACUUUUUAUAGUGUGCCAAAGAACAUCCUCCUACUCCUAGCAAUUUUUUUUAUGGCAUUAUCCACUUCUCAAUUCAUAAUUCAACCAGUAACUCAAACUCUAUAGUGUAUAAAAAUGUGAUAUCUUAGUUGAUCGCGAUGAUAAUUAAGCAGAUUAAAUGACGACCCAUAAAGCAUACAAAAAUUAAGAAAAGAAAAGGUUCGAAACUGCCAUAAGAAAACGCAGAAUAUAUAAACGGGAAAUCAAAAGAAGAGAACCAAACAAAAUUAUUAGGUCUGGGAUCAUCAAAGUCAAACACAAACAAUCCAAAAAUUUGUGGAAAAUACCAAUAAAUGCUCAACUAAAAACGAAAGAAAACGUAGAAUAAGUUUACCUGUUCUUCCCCUAAUUAAACUGAAAUACAAUUCACCACUAAUAUUCUCGUCAUCCUCUUCAGCCUGAAAAAUUUAGUAGAACAUAAUGAUAAGAAUCUAGCAGUAUUUCCAUUGUUUAAACCCCAAAUUCCAGAAAUCAUGAAAAAUGGAAACUUUAUAUGGAAACUGAAGCUUUACCUGCAGAUCAGCAGCAGCAAACGGAAUCCAACGGCAUGUACCUCAAAAAUGAGAGAGAGAGCUGAGAGAUGAGUGAGAGAAUCGAUAAACAAACCCCCCCCCCCCAAAAUCACGAAAGGAAAUUUGAACGGAAAACAAAUUUGAAAAUCCAAAAUCACAAAAACGAAAUUGAAACACCCACACUGAGAAAGCUGUAUAACUCACCAGGAAACGCUAGCCUUUCUGGGUAAAAAAAUUAUUCGGAUCGAAUUGAAGAACGGAGGAAAGUUCUACUGGUUCAGUGGUUAUUCCAGUGUGUCAAGACUUGGCUUGGUUUAUAUAAUUAAUCAAUAAUAUUCCAUACCAAGAGCUAGGUCCAUAUAUUAUACAAUGUUCUAAGGGUUUAACGGAUAGGCGAGGCCUAGUGUCUAAGCAAAUUUAAGUAAAUUUAUUAUAUAUUAUAUAAACUUAAAAUGAUAAAUAAUUGUAUUAGGAUAUAUAAAUUACAAAAUAAAAUAAUAUAUAUUAUAAAGUAUUAAAACAUAGGAGAAAAGACCCAAAUAUGAAUGGGAGAAAAGACCCAAAUAUGAAAAGACAACUAUAAACAAUUAUUCAAGAUGGACGGUAAAUGAUUCAGUCAUUUACAAUAUUCAAAACGUAGGAUCACAAUCUACUGGAUGAUUGUCUUAACUAUUAGGCCAUGCUCUAAAUAUAAUACAUCCAAAUGGGGGUGGACCGCAUAAUACACCCCAAUGGACCGUUUUAAGCUACUCCACUGCUAAAACUAUUGCAAAAUGCGCAUUAGGAUUAUACUUCUAUUAGCUGCGCCCUUCCUCACUAGGCAAAUGAACCAUAUAAUAGUUUCCAAAAAAAAAAAAAAAAAAAAGAACCUUAUAGUACACCAAGAUGGAUGUUAUACACGUUGGAGUUUGAGCAGAAUUCUUUUUGUUAUUUCAUUGUCUCACAUUGCUAGAAUUGAAAAGUUUAUAAUAUAACAAUGUUCACGUAUGAACUUGAGAAACGACAUACUACCGGUUGGGCGGGAAAGUGUGAAGUGAAAGAGAGGAAAGGAAGAAAGAAACGAACACGAAAGGACAAGGACUAUCCAAUAGAUUAUAAACAAUGAUUUAUUGGGGUGAUUACAGUUAUUCAAUUAUCAAUAAUGCAUUAUUUUAGUUUGGAAUUUGGAAGCAUUUGAGAAGUAACAUGACAACAACCACGUAAUAAACAAAAGUGAUUGGAAAAAAGACCGAAAUGUGAAAUAAUAAUUAAAAACAACUAUUCAAGAUUAGUGAUAAAUGAUUCAACCAUUUACAAGAUAUGAAUUUAGAACAACAAUCUAUUAGAUCGUUGUAUUAAUUAUUAAGUGGUGCUCUAAUAUAAUAGAUCCAAAUGGGGACGGACCGUAUAAUACACCCAAAUGAACAACAAUCUAUUAGUUUUUAGGCUCCACUGCUAAAAACUAAAGCAAAAUAGGCAUUAGGAUUAAACUUGUAUUAUCUAUCUUUCCUUACUAGUCAAAUGAACCAUACAAUACACCCAAAUGGAUGCCAUCAUGCCAUAUAUAAACAAUGUUUUGAAAUGACAAGGUAGCUAACGCCGUCAUUUUAUAUUUGUAAGCAACAACCCUAAAUCUUAUUGGAGCUAAUUAACUAAUGUAUUUAUUAGACAGUUGCAUUCCUUAGCAAGUGGUUAACUAUUUUUGUUUAGUUUAGUAGUCAGGUCGUAAUUAAUUAGUCAAAUGAACCAUAUAAUACACCCAAAUGGAUACCAUAUAUGCAUAUAUAAACAAUGUUUUCAAAGGAUGAAAUGACUUUCUUGCCGGUAUGGGGGAAGAGGAAAGAAACUAGUGUUGUGUUUGACUCAUAUAUUUGUGUGUAAUUAUGAGUCAUGUGUUGACAACAAUUGAAGACCAUGUGAAUGCUACAAGGAAAUGGCAGCAACCUUGACUUUGUGUGCAUGCUUUCGGAGUAGUGGCCAAAUGUGGCCAAAUCUACCUUCGGCUAAUAGUGGAAGAUAGUGGAAGACAAUGAUGAUGUUUGCUUGAGAUUCUUUUCUUUGGCCUUUUUCUGUUUCCCAUUUGAAUGCCACGUGAGUGGCUAUGGGGUUUGAUUAAAAGGCAAAGCAGGGAGCAUGAUACAUCAUGAUUGUGUUUGUGAAAAAAGGGAAAGUUGAUUCCUUUUUGCUUUUGCUAUUUAUUUGCUAAGAACCGAAGAGAGCUAGAGUAAAGUGAGAAGCAUACAAGGGGAAGAGCAUUCGGCUCUCCCAUGGGAAAGGUUGAAUAUGAGUUGAGAGAAAAUCAAGAGAGCUAGAGUGAAAAGUAUUCUAGUGAAAGAACUCUUGGGGUAGAGUGAGGUUCUUGGGAAAAUUCUAUGAGUGGAUGUACAAGGGAUUUGGGAUUGGGUUAUGUCGAUUUAACUCAUGUGUACUUGUACUGUUAUUCUCAUAGUGAAGAGCAAUAUCUCUCCGGGGAUGUAGGCAGGUUUUUGCCGAACCUCGUAAAUUUCUCGGUGUCUUUAUUUUUUGUAUUUUAUUCUGUUCAACUGAGUGUGAUUAUGGUGAGGUUGUAAUUUGAAUAUCGAUUCCGCACUAACGAACGGGCCAAGGCACAACAACUAGCACAAAAUUGCAGACCCUAUCGAUCCAUUAUAAUAAAUUUCAAUGGUCCAAGUUGUAAGUUAAUUGUGCAAGAUAAAAACUUAUUUACAAUUAUCAACUUAACCACGUACCUAUGGAAGACAUCGUCUUGGAAAACUAGGAUUAAGAACUGAAGUUCUCCUGCAACUCUACACAACUGAAAGCAAGGCUUGCUCAAUGGGGCUUGAGUUUUCUAUAAACUUGCGUAUUUAGUGGAGAGAGCAGGGACCUCAUUUUUAUACAUGGAAUUCAAUAAGGAUCCCUCCCAUUAAGUGAUCCUUAUCAAAGAGUAGCAUUAUCACCGUAAAACACUUAUGCAUUAUAUCAGUUAAAAGAGUUUUAGUUUUAUUGGGAAUGUAUCUGAGUUGAAACUGUAAAGAUAUACAACUCCUGAUAAGUCUACCACAAGUGUCAAUCCUUAUCUCCUUAUCAUUCCACAUGUCUUUAAUCAAAUCACCAAGUGUUUGCUCUCAUAUAGAACUUACACAAGUCUCAUGUAAUUUCAUCUAACUUAUUUUCUACAACAGUAAAUAUAUUUUAAUGGCUCCGGUUUUCACAUGCCAGUCAGUCACACGCUCAACUCCUCAACGUUCGGGCUUAGUGGCUCGAAGAGAGCUUCCACUUCACUCUGAUUCACAUCCCUCUUACUUUGACGGGUUCCACUUCGGAUUCUGCAUUGACAAAAAACAGAAGCAAAAGAUAACGAUCUGUUCUGAUACAAGGAAAGUAAGAUGAUUGUAUAACUGUAGGUCUAGUAGAGGCUGUAAUGGUUUAUGUUGCAGCAACUCCGUCAGCAAGUGAUUUUAUAGUAAGGAAUCUUGAGCAUGAUUAACGAACCUGAUCCUUGUCCACCAAAACUGCCUGCACACCUUCAGCAAAAUCAUUCCGCAAAGACGAUCUUAUAGCACCGCGAUAUUCAGUUUUCAUCACACCAGUUAGCUGGUAUGGAUCAAGUAAAGCACAUGUUACUCGCUCAGAAAAAGUGAAAUACUACAACACAAAAUCUAUCAAAAGGAUGCAACCAUGCGAUGAAUGAAACGAAAAGGUAGAAAGUAAGACUCACUGGAUAAUUGAUUGUCAUUUUUCGCAAGCGCAGAUGCAACUUUGGAGAAGUAAUUUUGCGUCAAAUAAAGUGAAAGGGGAGCACCAUUUCCAAGACCUUGAAGAGGUUCUUUAGCCCACUCCACCGCUGCAACAGAAACAAUUUGAUAGAAAAUACUUGACAGCCACGUACAAGCCUCUCAAUAGAAGAGUAAGACAGAUUUCAUUUCAUCAUAGAUAAAUAAAUGGCAUUGACAAACUUACCAGUAGCAUCUGAACUCUGCUGCUGCUUUUUAAGUUCAUCAAUUGUCACAAGAACCGACUUAUUUGCACCAAAUGCUGAAGUUAUUUGAGGUAAAAGACUCCUGAGCUGCGCUUCGAAUCUGGGUUGCUGCUGAAUUUCGCCACAGUUGUAAUUGACAACAUUGACAAUUGCCUCUCUGACAAGGCAAUAGUACCUUCGUAAUGAUCCCGGUACCAACUGUGGCCCGAUAGGCCAAUACCGAAGGCCAUUGUUAUGCCCAUGAAGCUUAUACGUGGCCGUCAAGCCCGACAAGUGAAUAGCAUACUCUAGUGCUGUAGUACAUUGUGAGGAUUUUAUCCAAAAUUAAUUGACAAUGAGUGAAUAAGCUGAAAGAUUAUGUACUGACUUUAAUUAUGCAAAGACUGGAGACAAUUUUCACCAACCUCCAAUCAAGAAUUUGGACCUCACAAAUCACUACCCAAUAUGCUUUUCUCUCGUGCCCUUCAUUCAUGGAUCGAUAUUCUGGUGUCCUAGGACCCUGACAUGACAAGUUCCAACUUUUGUUCAAUUUCUCGACGGAACAAUCACAUUUACCCUUACGGAACGGCACGGCUCCGGGCAUAGAAUAUGGGUUGGGUUCCGUUACAGCUCCAUCACUAAUUAGCACUGUAGAGAAGGAAAUAAAAAGACAAGUUUGGAUUUCUUACAACGUUUGCGAUGAUGUGUUUUCUACGGGGAGAACAUACAGGAGUCAGCAGUUAUCUUUUCGCAACCGUCUUUGAUUAUGAAGGAAAGGAAAGAAAAGAAAAAAAACGAAUGUAGAAAGAAAACAUACAAGUUGGUUGACAAAAGGGGAAGAAAAAUUGAGAGAUACAGAGAAUAAGAAAGAAGAAAAUCGAUGCAAAUUUUAAUAUAAAUGUAGUAGAUCCAGGUAUCCAAAGGAUUCGGGGCUAAUGUACCUGCAUUGAUAAAAAACAAAUAUCAGAUUUUUGGAAACGCAUCACAUAGUAGUUAAAACACCCGGCCGUGAAUGAAAGGUCUGAGUUACCGCCAUUUUGGCUAAUACUAUUCUGUAUAUUUACGAAUGGUUUUAAGUUUGGGUUUAAUUGGAUAAUCGGAGAGUAGUGCAUCAAACUAUGGAUAUUCAGAAACCGAAAGCAUAAUUCAUAUUCCUCUAACAAGUCCACGCAAAUGACCACAAUCAGAAUGUUAGUUCAUAGCUGGCCAUAUAGAACGCAAUACAAAAGCACUAAAAGCAUCCAAGUGAAAGUGCUUUCUCCUCAUGUAGUUUCAUUUAACUUAGUUUCACAUGCCAGUCCGUCACACACUCAACUCCUCAACGUUCGGGCUCAAAGCAUUCUUUAUCCUUUCUGUACGAGAGACAAUAAAUUUAUAGUUCUUGUGAUGAAAUCAUGCAAAACAUUCAGAAAUCUUGAUUUAACCCUUUCUCAAGAUCAUAGGUUGUGUCAUCUCAACUUAUAUCUUAGGUCUUAUGAGUGCUCGUAAUACACUAAUAUGACACUUGUUUUCUGGCCAGGACAGAAACAAAAUCAUGCAGGAAAUUGUCACGACAACUUAAGUGUAAAAUGCGACCGGAAAAGCACUAAACAGGAUAGUUAUGCUCUCACAGUGUAAACCUUAACAACAAAGACUAUACCGUAUCUGUCACAGUGAUAUGCGACCAUAAGCCCAACUCCAAGGAUCAGCUUCCAAGAGCUUUGAAGGCUACAGAUCAAAAGUUACAUGCAGUGAUGACAUAAUCAUGAAAAAAUACAAUCAUAAAUUAAAGGAAAACAUACUGACUUCUAGUUCUGGCAAUUCACUAUUGGGCCAUAUAUUUGAACCACAGUAUGAUGGAUACCUACAAUACAGAUCACAAAUAAAAUCUGAGCAGACACAAAGUAUUAUGUUCUGUUUACGCAAAAUCUGUAAGUUCUCAAAUAGGAUAAAUAAAGAUAAACAUAUCCCAGCAUAAAGACGAUUUGUCCUGGUUAAUUCUAAGAAACCUUGUAUCAAAUGUAUGAUAGUUAUUCAUAACUAACACAAACAACUGUUUGGCCAAACAUUACUGGUAUGAGCCAUAUACUGUGUGACCUGAGACAAAACAGAUCCCACAUGUACUCGGAUUAUGAUUGAUGUCCCUAUUGACUUUUACCUUUGAAUUAGAGAUUCAUCUGUUGUAGGGCUAUCCAAUAUUGGAUUUGCAUAAAACGAGCCUUUUAACGUAUCUGCAAAACCAGAACACAAACGGAAAAUGAAUGAUCCUAAGUUCUUAGAGUUUCCAAAGAGACAAAAUUUAAAACAAAGAACAUAAAGUGAUACCCGGCUUUCCAAAUUCCAGCUUCUCUUUUCCAUGACUCCAUCCAAAAUUGUACCUAAACAUGGAUGGCAGGUAAAAAGAAGAUAAGCAAUAAAACUUUGUAAAGAUUCCCAAGAAAAGCAAUAAAACUACGUAAAUAUUAGUUAAUAAUGUCAAGACCAUAGUCUGUGACAAAUCCAAGAGUUGAGAUGAGACUAUCUUUCUGGCAGGAAUUUUUGGAAAUUUUCUCUAUUGUAAGGAGAUAGAUUGAUGUUUGUGUUUACACGAAAAUUAUGCCAACGGCUUAAGAGAAAUCAAAGUAUAACAAUGGGACUAAAAUGACUUACCUACUAUGAGGAUCUUCCAGUUCCUUCUUCACCUCUUCAGGCAGAUUGGCUAAUCUAAUAAACGAAAAGAAAACUCCCAUGAGCAGUGCUAUAACAAACUAUCUUCCUAAAUUCAUUAUGAGUUGCAGUUAAAACUUAAAAUGAACAUGAAAAUCCUAUGUAGAAGGGAUAUACCUAGGUUAAAAGCGUAGAAGAUUCCUGCGCAAGGAAGAAUAUCCCGGAACCUGCAAUUGGAAACUCAAUGAAACAAUUACAAAGAUGCUAGAAAGAAAAUACUUAUCAGUUUACAACAGAAUGCUAGCUCUCACAAGAAUCGAUUAGGUAUGAAGCAUCAAAACAAUAACAUGAGACAUCAUAAUUUAUGAGCUAUGAAUGGAAUAAUGGAGCAAAAUAUCGUAGCCCAAACAGCACAAUCUACGAUCUACAUGACGGAGAAAGUACCCCGGCAUUACAUAUGCAAGUUCAUGGGUUCACAUGUAAGCAUGUGGUUUAUCUUUUUAACCGAUUCGUUAACAAAUUCUUUCUGCACGUAUAGUUUCAACCCGAAACCUAAAAUUCCAUAGUCAAACAAAUAUGCAUAAUAGCAGAAUUAAGUAAAAAAACAACAUAUCACCAUACUGAUACUGAUGUGAUUCAGAAUUAAGCAUUUUAACUUACCAAAACUGGUAAUGGAAGAGAUAAUCAGUAAUUAACUAGGGUAAUCGCAUAACAAAAUCAUACUUGAGUGAUUGAUAGGAUUCCCAACCCAUUGGGUCCAAAUCCUUCUUCAAUCUUCACUGACAAGUCUUUGUCCUUGUCUUGUAUCAAUCAAUCCAAAAUAAAAAAACGAUAAUUAGAAAAAUCGAAUUCUCGACAUGAUUGACUGAGUUAAAACAUAGCAAUUAAACAAAACUAUGAAUAAAACAAUUAGAUUCUGUUUGGUUGCUGAGAAAAUGAAGAGAAUAACAACCAAAAAGUCAACUGAAAUAGAAUUUUGCUCUAAUUUCAACGAAUUCUCUUGAGUUUCUGAGCACCCAAACAGAAAAAAAAUUAAAGCCAAUCAAACCAAACUCUCAUGCUCAAUUUUCUCGCAACCACAAACAGAACUUAGAGGGAGAGACAGAGUUACUUGGAGCUCGGAGUAGGAUAUGGUGACUGGUGUGACGGUGGGGACGGCGAGGUCGGAGGACGGAGGCAUAGUUCGACAAGAAAUUUGGCGGGAAAGACGGCGGUUGGACUGUGACGGUGGGGAAGAAUCCGUGGGAACGAAGAGGAAUUUUGGUGCGGAAGGACGGCUUUUAUAUAGAAGGGAGGGAGAGAGGUUGAGAGCGAAAGGCGUGAUUGUCAAUUUCAAAUAUUUUUGAAGGAAUAAAGAAAGAAGGGAGGUUGAGCAUCAAUUCCCUUUCCCUCCGAACCAAAGAAUACACGCAACUUUAACGAAAAGUUUUCGGUACGGUUCAUUUUUACACUAAAAUGUCAAUCUUGAUACUAUUCACUUUACUCUUUAUUUUGUUCUUAUCGUUAAAACUCAAAGUUUUCAAGCCAUUUUCAUUAGUUUCCUUAAGAAUAUAUGCACGAUCACGAUGUGUGGCAAAACUUGAAGGUGGAGACGAAUAUAUUAAAUACAUAUAACUAUUACUGUAUUAGUUCAAUUUAAAAUUAAUUACAUACUUUAAGGAUUUGUUUGAAAGUAUUUUUCAAAUAAUUAAAAGUGUUUUUGAUUAACAUGUUUUUUAAAUCAAUCUUUAGUAUAACUAAGUGGAUCUUAAAAAAGAACUUGAGGUGCUUUCUACAAAAAAAUACAUGUCUGGAGCACUUGAAGUGUUUUUGGAACCCAAAAUCAAUUUAAUAAAAGUGGGUUUAAUCUUUUUUUUUUUUUUUUUUGAACAAACGAUAUCAUCUAUCUUUAAGGUGAGAAAAUAGGCUUAACCUCACAAUGGCCUAGCACAUAAAUAAUGUGAUUCAAAUUCGCUUUUGGUGAGAAUCGAAUCUAAGACUUCUCACUUACAAAUAAGGAGGAAUACCCUAAAUCAUAGUACUAAGUAAUGUGUUUAGUUAUUUUUAAAAGACUUCAAAACAAGCCCUAAUUUGUAUCAAAUUCAAAAAAUUUGAAUUGGGCGGAUGUAAUAUGUAUUGGGUAUUUCCUCAUUCAAUAAUAUUUACGUUGUUUUCGGCAAAAAAGAAAGAAUUCAAUUGGAAAAAAAUAAAAAAAUGGGAAAUAAGGAUAUUCUAGUUAAGGUUUUUAUUAAUUGUUUUAGGUGGAUGGUUCAUAUGAAGAUUAUGAAAACGCUUUAAUUCUCUAAUGUGAGGUUCCGUCUCGAUCCAAAGUUAAUCAGUGAAAAAUAUAAUUAAGAUUGUUAUUAAUUAUCAAUUCAUGUAUAUUUCCCCAUGUAUUACGUUACUAAGUUAGACAAUGAAAAAUACAUAUAAGGCGUUAUGAGAAUAUGCGUGGCUGUCAAGUCUGACACGCAAAUAGCAUGCUCAACUUGAAUUACUCUCUAAGGAUUUUAUCCAAAAUCGACGAUGAGUGAACAAGUUGAAAGAUUAUGCACGACUUUCAUUAUGUAACAAGUGAAGAGGCAAUUUUCGCCAACCCUGACACGACAAGUUCCACUUUUUGUACAUUUUCUUGACGAAACAAUCACAUUUACCCUUACGAUUCCGGGCAUAGAGUAUGUGUUGGGUUCCGUUACAGUUCCGACGCUACUUAGCACUGUAGAGAAGGAAAUAAAAAGACAACUUUGGAUUUCUUACAACGUAUUGAGUCUCUCUUCAUGGCUCUUGCUGUGUUGUUCUUAUCUCACGUCCUGUUUCUCGAGCUUGGUGUUUCCGGUUGCAAAUUUUGGUUCGCCGGUGUAGUGCUCAGGGGAGGGGACUGUCUCACAUUGUUCCAAGCAGACAGAGGCGGUUGACAACGAUUGCGAUAAUGUGUUUUUCUACUGGGAGAACAUACAGCAGUCAGCAGUUACCUUUUCACAACCGUCUUCAGUAUUUGGAGGCACCUCAAGAAAUUAUCAAGGACAAACGAAUGUAGAAAAGAAGAAAUAUCGAAGUUGAUUGACAAAGGGGGCCGAAAAGUUGAGAGAUACAGAGAAGAGGAAGAUAAGAAGAAACUCGAUGCAAAUUUUAAGCUAGAUUAGUUAUUUUUCAUUAACGAGCGAUACAGAGAAGAAGAAACAGCUGCAUUUGGAGAUAGCCGCUUUAGUUGCCUAGUUUGUAACAUUAGCUUUAUGUAAAUCCGGGGAAGAAACAGGAGUAAAAAAAACACAAUCAGGCAGUACCAAAGAAGAAAAAUGUACAGUUACGAACAAUCACCACUUCUCAAACUUUGUAGUAGAUCCAGGUAUCCGAAAGACUCGGGGCUAAUGUACCUGCAUUAACAAAAAACAAAGAUCAGAUUUGUGUAAGGGAGUCGCAUAGUAGUUAAAAUACUCGGCCAUGCGCGAAUGGUUUGAGAUACCACCAUAGAGGCAUCCUCCAGGUGUGAGUUUCUUUCGUAUCGGAUCACUUAUUGUAAGAAUAUCAGUAGUGAAAGUGAAAUACCAGCGUCGGUAUUGAAAAAUUGUGUCCUCCGUAUGAUGCUUGCAACAUGCAUCACCGAAUCAACUUGAAGCUCUCCACCUCUCCAUCUGUUAAAUGUUUCAUAAGCAGCAUUGUUAAAGUUCUCUCUGGUUGGGGCGAUAUUGCAGAUAGUUUUGAAUGAAGAAAGGCAAAAAUUCAUGCUGAAGGCAUAGUUUACAACUAGUAUUUGUAAAAGCUAAGCUCUAAAGGUCUCACCUUGAUUCUUUGGCACAAAUAGCUAAGUUUUGAGAUGGGACAAAAUGGGUCCCAAGACCCACAUACAGUGCAUCCGAUGGUGUUGAAAUCCUUUUCCCAGUAAGUCAAAGAUAAGCACCAAGAAAGACAUGACAGUGUUAAAACAAAUACAGAACUAAGAAUUGAUGCAUGAAGCAAACAGAGUAAUGGUACAGGCCAUUCUCUUUAUAUUCUUAUAAUCUAAACAGUUUCUCCUUAUCAACGUUGGAAAAACAGCUUGCUUCAGUCAUAGGAGGGAAAUUGCGCCCGAGUAUAGAAAAUACAUACCUACAGAUCCUCCUCCUGGACUCUUUGCCGCUAUACGUGAAAACCCAACAUCUGGGAACAAACAAAUUACAUUCUCUGGCAUUAGCAAGAACAGUCCUCUGAAAUGUAUCCAUACAAAGUUAAGACACAAAAAAUUCAAAAAGGCAAUGUAAUUCACAACAUUGACAAUCUCUGUCUGACAAGGCAAUAAUACCUCUGUAAUGAUCCAGUAGCGACCGUGACCUGAUAGGCCAACACCAAAGCCCAUUCUUAUGCCAUCCAUGAAGCUUAUAUAGGGCUUCUUGUACUCUGAGAUUUUGCAUAUUAGAGAAUACUCAGCAGUGAAUACCUGAAAAACGUGCAGCACAAGUAUCAUACCGGUAGCCUCUCAAUCUUAAGAAAUGGUAGCUUAGAAAAGAUAUGAAUCCUAUCCAACCAAUACAAAUCAUAUUACCCAAGUUCAAGCAAAAUCAAGACUAAACAAAUGAUCAGAUGUUGUAGGUUGCCCGAGAAUGUCAAACAUGAAAUUACAAAAGAAAAAAAAUAAUCGUAUGUAUUGAACAUUAAUAAAUACAUGCUGAAAGCACAAUCUUAGCCGCAAUUUAUGACAUUUAUACGAGAUCGAAUAGAAAAAGCAAUUAAAGAAGUAGCAGAACUCACAUAAGUGAUUUUCACUUUGAACUUUUAGGCUUAUCAACAAAUACAUCAUUACGAUUCUAAUGCAUGAAUUUUGUUAAAGGGGGCUUGCUUGCUUAUAUUAAGGCUUAAUCAUCAAUGAUUUUGCAAGGGUCAAUCAUCUUGCUAGUUGUAAAUCUAUUCACUAUGAAAAUGACCAAAAUACAUCUUAUAUGGUAGUGAAGGAAGUCAUCUUAUAUUAUCUGGAUUUUAGAAAACGGUGUAAGGUUAUAAGUCUGUUAUUCUAUAUAGUUAAAAGGACACAAUUAGACCUCAAUCAUAUUCGGUGGUUGGUUUUUGGCCGUGAUCUGCUUCACAUCACCGCCUGCAGGUAAACUAAAUCUGGGUUAUUACUUAUCAAUGAAUCAACGUGCCAACUUAAUGGACACCAUCUAUCUCUAUAUGGCAAAAAAACAACACAAAAAUGAACAAUGAAGUGAAACAAUAAACAACAUGAUGUGAAACAGCACGAACAUCAAAGACUAACAAUAUAUCACAUAAGCACCUAAACAAGAAACAACUUUGGUUCAAAGCAAAGCGUAAUGUAGAAACCUUCGGCAGAACAGGGGUGUUUUUGUCCUUUUGAAACAACCACUUUAAUAUCCUUUCCUGCAUUUACCAUGAUUGGUCACUCUUAAAACCUUACCUAAGAGACCCAAAAACAAAAAUAACCGCCGAAAGAGCUAAACAUACAUAUCUAGAAAAACUUAUUUAACUGAAUGCUAAAAUGGAAGUGUAAAAUUGCCAAGAAAGAUAAGAAACUAAUCAGAUACGAAUUCUGGGCGUUACCGCCACAAAAGGCACGAGCGGAGCGGCUAUCAACAAGAACACACUUCACAUUUGGGUCAGAUUCCCAUUCAUCCAGAUAGCUCUUGUAUUCCACAUCCAUAUCUGCAUUUUCCAACAAUUCCCACUUAAACAGAAUCACAAAUUUCUUAAAAAAAAAGAAGCUAGCUUCUUCGAAAUUUGAAUCCAACGUUUCGCCUUAUAAAAUGGAAGUGUAAAAACCUACUAUCACAAUCAAAUGCUUAUUUAACUGCAUGCUAAAAUGGAAGUGUAAAAUUGCCAAGAAACACACUUCACAUUUGGGUCAGAUUCCCAUUCAUCCAGAUAGCACUUAAACAGAAACACAAAAUUCUUAAAAAAAAAAGAAGCUAGCUUCUUCGAAAUUUGAAUCCAACAUUUCGUCUUAUAACAAAUGCAAGAACAUAGAUUUGUACUCAAUAAGAUGCCAUAAAGUUCAAGCUCAAAAUUUCAAAUCAGCUCCAAAUCAAAAGCAUUUACAGAUACAUACAUAUAUACAUAUACGUGUGUGUGUGUUUAUCUACAUACCUAGGUUCAUGGCGUUGAGAGCUCGGGGGGCGACCGAGGGUGAUGUCGGCGACGCCAUUUGGGUGGACGCUGCCCUUGACGAACGCCUCGGCGGAGGCCAUGAUCCCGAAUGUGCGGAGAAGGCGAGGGGAUUUGGAGGGUUUGUAAAGAGAGAGCUUCAAAUUUGGAAUGAGGAAGAAGAAAGCGGACGACUAUUUGCUCAGAAUUUGGGUCGCUCGUCAAUAAGCUUCCCAUUACUUCCGUUUGAGAGUAACUGUCAGUGUCGAGAGAGACAGAUAUUUUUGGUGCUUCUGGACCGGACUACCCUUGAUGUUUCGGUCAAAUUACCGGGAAAAGGAACCGCCGCAGUGGCUAUGGAGGGAAAGUUGGAAUUUGAAAGCAGUAAGUAUGGACUUGCCUUCAUUUAUUGAACUGAGAAAUCGAAAACUGAAAGAGGCGUUUGACGAACUGAGAAAUCGAAAACAUGUGAUGAUGACUAUGCAUCACCACCUUGGUUGUGCCUCUGGAUCAAAAACCAACCAUCACGAUCAAAAUCGUGGAUAUUUUCCUUCAUAGGUUUGUCCCAUACUAGAUUAACCCCUGUUCCUUGAAUUGUCGCAUAAUAAUUUUUAUAGUCCAUCUCUGGCAUUUCAAAAGUUAUAUCAACUUUAUCCCCGCUUUGCAAAUUGAGCUUAUCAUUCGAUAUUUGUCCCUGCCAAAGAAAACAUUCUUUAUAUACAACAUCGCGCAUUUUUAUAACCCAAUCUUCCUUGCCAAUGCAGGUCCGCAACUCAUUACGCUUGGUAUUAUUUAUAUCAAUACUGGCAUGAGGAUGAGCAACUUUACAUCUGAUAUGAGAGCUUGACUGAUGAAGAUCUGAGGAGUAAAAGCAUAACAGAGUCAGCCCUUCAAAAUUACGACCAUCACUCGGGGGGAUAUCAAAACUGACUUUAUCACCAUUGUUGACAAACUCGAACCAAUCAGGAACAUAAUUCCCAUUGAGAAAAAUGCCACCAUAUCCACAAGAAGUCCAUCCCUAUACAUACAGUGCAAAUGUCAUAUAUAUACAUGUGCGUUGUGUGUGUGCAUGUGCGCAAUAGGAAGGCAAUUAAAGAGAGAUACCUUUAGGACGUUCCUCCUAAAAUCAGCUGUGAGUUUGGGGCAAUCCCUCAUGUCAAUCCAUGUCAAGGAGUAUAAUGACUUAUCCAAGUCUGGAACCUCAGUGAGUGCGUAUGAAUUACAUACAAUCAGUUCUCUCAUAUUCGACAUUUUCGAAAAAUUGGGCAUUGUUACCAAAUGAAGGCAAUUAGGCGCACCCAGAAAUUUUAAAUUCGUUGGCAAAUCAUAAAUUGUACGAAGCUCCAAGCAAUCAUGUAACCAGAGACUUUCAAGCUUUGAAAGAUCACUUAGGCUGGGUAGGGUAUGAAGGUGAUGGAAGUUCCUUAACCGCAAACUUUCAAGCUUUGAAAGACCACUGAGGCUGGGUAGGGUAUGAAGGUGAUGGCAGUUACUUAACUGCAAACUUUCAAGCUUUGAAAGACCACUGAGGCUGGGUAGGGUAUGAAGGUGAUGGCAGUCACUUAACUGCAAACAUUCAAGCUUUGAAAGACCACUGAGGCUGGGUAGGGUAUGAAGGUGAUAGCAGUUACUUAACUGCAAACUUUCAAGCUUUGAAAGACCACUAAGGCUGGGUAGGGUAGGAAGGUGAUGGCAGUUACUUAACUGCAAACUUUUAAGCUUUGAAAGAUCACUGAGGCUGGGUAGGGUACGAAGGUGAUAGCAGUUACUUAACUGCAAACUUUUAAGCUUUGAAAGACCACUGAGGCUGGAUAGGGUAUGAAGGUGAUGGCAGUCACUUAACUGCAAACUUUCAAGCUUUGAAAGACCACUGAGGCUGGGUAGGGUACGAAGGUGAUAGCAUUUACUUAAUUGCAAACUUUCAAGCUUUGAAAUACCACUGAGGCUAGGUAGGGUACGAAGGUGAUGGCAGUCACUUAACUGCAAACUUUCAAGCUUUGAAAGAUCACUGAGGCUGGGUAGGGUACGAAGGUGAUGGCAGUCACUUAACUGCAAACUUUCAAGCUUUGAAAGACCACUGAGGCUGGGUAGGAUAUGAAGGUGAUAACAUUUACUUAACUGCAAACUUUCAAGCUUUGAAAGACCACUGAGGCUGGGUAGGGUUUCAAGGUGAUGGCAGUCACUUAACUGCAAACUUUCAAGCUUUGAAAGACCACUGAGGCUGGGUAGGGUAUGAAGGAGAUAGCAUUUACUUAACUGCAAACUUUCAAGCUUUGAAAGACCACUGAGGCUGGGUAGGGUAUGAAGGUGAUGGCAGUCACUUAACUGCAAAUUUUCAAGCUUUGAAAGACCACUGAGGCUGGGUAGGGUAUGAAGGUGAUAGCAUUGACUUAACUGCAAACUUUCAAGCUUUGAAAGACCACUGAGGCUGGGUAGGGUAUCAAGGUGAUGGCAGUCACUUAACUGCAAACUUUCAAGCUUUGAAAGACCACUGAGGCUGGGUAGGGUAUGAAGGAGAUAGCAUUUACUUAACUGCAAACUUUCAAGCUUUGAAAGACCACUGAGGCUAGGUAGGGUAUGAAGGUGAUGGCAGUCACUUAACUGCAAACUUUCAAGCUUUGAAAGACCAUUGAGGCUGGCUAGGGUAUGAAGGUGAUAGCAUUUACUUAACUGCAAACUUUUGAGCUUUGAAAGACCACUGAGGCUGGGUAGGGUAUGAAGGUGAUGGCAGUCACUUAACUGCAAACUUUCAAGCUUUGAAAGACCACUGAGGCUGGGUAGGGUAUGAAGGUGAUGGCAGUCACUUAACUGCAAACUUUCAAGCUUUGAAAGACCACUGAGGCUGGGUAGGGUAUGAAGGUGAUAACAUUGACUUAACUGCAAACUUUCAAGCUUUGAAAGACCACUGAGGCUGGGUAGGGUAUGAAGGUGAUGGCAGUCACUUAACUGCAAACUUUCAAGCUUUGAAAGACCACUGAGGCUGGGUAGUGUAUGAAGGUGAUAGCAUUUACUUAACUGCAAACUUUCGAGCUUUGAAAGACCACUGAGGCUGGGUAGGGUAUGAAGGUGAUGGCAGUCACUUAACUGCAAACUUUCAAGCUUUGAAAGACCAUUGAGGCUGGGUAGGGUAUGAAGGUGAUAGCAUUUACUUAACUGCAAACUUUCGAGCUUUGAAAGACCACUAAGGCUGGGUAGGGUAUGAAGGUGAUGGCAGUUACUUAACUGCAAACUUUCAAGCUUUGAAAGACCACUGAGGCUGGGUAGGGUAUGAAGGUGAUGGCAGUCACUUAACCGCAAACUUUCAAGCUUUGAAAGACCACUAAGGCUGGGUAGGGUAUCAAAAUCAUUGUUUGAGAGAUCUAAAUUUCUUAAAGAGUCUAAGCCGUGUAACGAAUCAGGAAAUCGCAAGGGAAACUCUGAUCCCACACCUGCUAGAGAUAAAUGAGUGAGAUUCAUCAACCUUACUGUGGAACGUGGUACUUGUCUUAUGGCUGUGAAAGAUGCUUUAAGUACUCUCAAUGAUAGCAUCUUCCCUAUAUCCUCGGGCAGUUCACUGAAUUGGCAACAUUCAUCAAGAACAAGAGUCUGAACGGAUUUUGACUUGUAGAAAUCUCCAGGAAGAGAAAUAAGAUUCUUGCAGCCUGUGAGGUUCACCAAAGAAAGUUUUUUAAGAUGACCAAUGGAGGGGUGAAUCUCGGACAAACUCACACACCAUUCCAACAUCAACUCUUCAAGAUUUGGGAGAUUUGAAAAGUCUGGUGAUUUUUUUAAGUCAAGGCAACUUCUGAGAUCAAGGAAUUUCAAGUUUUCAAGCGACUGUUGCACAAAAUCAAAGGAAAAUUAAAAUUAAUAUCCAAAAGGAAUAUCUCAUUAAAAAAAGAGAAGGAAAUCCAAAAGCAAAUAGAAUCAUAACAUCAUCAUGUGUAAUCGACUGUACCUUGGAACCCUCCCAAACUUGUACAAGUUUGCCAGACGUUAUCUCUAAACUAACUAGUCUUGGUUGAUCAAAGAAGUCAUCUGGUAUGGACUUUAAAGGGCAUCCAGACCAACUCAACCAUAUUAACUCUUUGGAAAGAUGUUUGUAUUCUCCAUUGAGCUGCACUUUGCAGAGCUGGAGCAGUCUCAGUUUCUUCAUAUUGGCAAAUCCUUCUGUACUGAAACAACUAAACUUAGAAGAAUGCUUCUGUACUGAAUCUGGAGCAAGUUCAACUUCUUCAGUUUCCUGUUAACAAAAGGUUAUAUUCAUGAGUAAGAAACGGAUUAUUUGCAAAUGCUUCUGUACUGAAAGAACUAGACUUGUUAGAGCUUUGUACCCGAGGAGGAGGGCCAUAUAGAGCAAGUCCUUCAACUUCUUCAGUUCCCUGUUAAGAAAAGGUGAUAUUCAUGUGUAAGAAACGAAUUAUUUGCAUACGUUUACAUGUAUGAAUACAUGCAAGUACUAUUGUUCGCUAAUUGAGAUGAAUGUUACUUAAUGUGUAAUACACAUCCGUGAGUUAUAUGUGCUUUUCAUGUACGAUGCAUUAAAUUCAAAAUUUUAUUAGGAAUGUACUUACAGAGUUAUCUCCUAAUACUUUAGUGACCUCUUGAUGGUUCCACAACCUACUCCAUUUUCCAGGGUGACGAGGGAAUUUUUCAGAAAUGAUUAAUUUGGCCAUUUCUCGAAGCAAAUCAUGCAUAUUCAACCUGUUAUGUUCAACAGUUACAAGGCAUCGUUCACGAAGGUCACUGAUUCCUACUGUUGCAAAAAACUCACAUCCAUCUAAUAUUUUUGCGACACGGUCCUUAUCCCAUCCAAUAAAGAAACAAGAUAUGUCAAGGAAUAUAUCCUUCUGUGUAGGAUCUAGCCUUUCAAAGCUUACUCUUAGCGGUUUCAUUAUUCCUUCCUCGGGAAAUUUUUUCAAUUUCUCCAACUGAUUUUUCCACUCCGUUGGGGUUCUUUCAAUCAUAGAACCACCUAAAACUUCAAGGGCUAGUGGCAAACCACCACAGUAAGAAACAACCUCCUUUGAGAGUUCAAGAUAUCCUUCAUUAGGCCAACUAUUUCCAAAGGCAUGCCAACUAAAGAGCUUCAGAGCUUCUUCGUCAUUCAUUUCCUUAAGUGGAUAUGUCUUGUCCACUUUCAUGUUCACUUGCUUUAGUAAACGUUCAUCUUGUGUCGUUAUGAUAAUUCUACUUCCUGGGCCAAACCAAUCACGAUUUCCAGCUAUUGCAUUUAGUUGUUCCACUCUGUCUACAUUGUCAAUAAUGACAAGUACACUUCUACGAUGGAGAUGAUUUUUUAUCGGACUGAUACCUUCAUCAACACUGGUUAUCUCAGGCUUGGUCUGUUUCAAGAUGUCAGAAACAAGUUUUUUUUACGAAACAACCAGAUCUUUUUCACUAACGUUGUCAAGGAAACUUUUGAAUUGGAACUCAUGAUGAAUUUUGUUAUAAAUGGCUUUGGCAGCUGUUGUUUUACCCAAUCCACCCAUCCCCCAAAUUCCAACCAUGCAAACAACAUCUGAUCCAGCAUUUGAAAGAUAAGUGAUGAUAUCUUGAAUGCGAGUAUAUAUUCCAACUGGGUGCUUGGCCAUUUGUAAUUCUUCUGCGAUCGGAAGCCAUUUCGGGAUAAUCUUGUCAACAAUUUCUCUAAUAAGCUUUGCUUCGCGCCUGAAAAUUAAAUUUGUGAGCAUUAGUGGGACUCGAUGAACACUAGGAGCUAUCAGUAUAUAGACAAUUUUCUUUCCCCCAUGGCCCCAUAUAUAUUCUAACUAGCUACUAGCUAGUAUAUGAUUUUUUGACCAACCUGAUAAAAGAAAGAACUUAAUUAAACUCCAAUUACGGUUUAGGAUUUAUAUGAGAGGUUAAGAUGUAUUAAUUUAAUUAAGCAUGUUAGCCAAUGUUUAAUUAGCUUCUGUAAAAUGUUAAUUAAGCAUGUUAAUUAUAUGAGAGAUUAAGUCAUUCACUAAAAUGUUUCAAAUCUUGAAAAGCAGGUGAAUGAUUACCCUUUGUCAGUGAUUUGAAGAUGUUGGCCAGACAAAUUUGCAGCUUCUGUAAGAGCCUUUCUCCACUGCUUUACCCUUUCUUGUCUAGUUUCACGUUCCUUGUCAUCUUUUUCUUCACGGAUGCCCUCUUCGUGCUUCUGAAAUGCUUGAGCUAAAUCUUCAUUCUGCUUCCUAACAUGUGAAGGAUCAACAUGAUAGAAUAUUGGUAAAACAUGUCGCCCCGGUUUGUAUCUGCACUCCAUGAUCUUCACCAGCUCAUCAAGACACCAACUCGAGUCCGCAUAACUCUUUGAGAAGACAAUGAUAGAGAUCCUCGCCUCUUUGAUUGCCCGGAACAGUUCCUCUUUUAUUUCUUCCCCUCUUUCUAGAUCAUCCUCAUCGAUAUAAGCCUGGUAUCCCCUGUCUGUUAAUGCCGCGUGGAGGUGGCCCGUGAAACCAUUGCGUGUGUCUACACCGCUGAAGCUCAAGAACACGUCGUAAUUCCAAAGUUUUGACUUGGAGGAGGAUGAAGAGGAGGCUUCGUGGGUUAUCAUGGCGAUAUCCACCGUUAUGGCACUGCAGUGGUUCAGAUCACGACUGCAAAAAUGGCAGUAGUUGUGUUCGUGCUGUCGAACAGAUGAUCCUGAAUUACCUAAACCCAAGUCAAGCUCCUUCAGUCAUCAAGAACAAAGUUUAAAAUAUAAUAAUGUUGGCAUAUGGACUUGAGAAACGACAUAAUGUUGCCGGAAGGUGCAGAGAAAGAGAGAGGAAAAGAGGAACGAAAGGACAAAGACUAUCCAAAAGAUUCUUGGCUGUGAUUACAGCUAUUCAUAUGAGAAACAACAGACAUAUUUUCAUAGGAGAAACAACCUGCCCAUCUUCAUAUAUAAUACAUUUCAAUGGACAUUUUAAUAGGAGAAACAACUUUAGUUUGUACUAGAAAUUUUUACCCGCGCGUUGCUGCGGUAUUUGAAAUUGUAUGAAAGAUUAUCUUUGAAAUAUAUAAUAGAUUGAGUGAUUGAAGAUUAAUACUAUUUACAUUGAAAAUGUUGGAAAAGUUUUACAUACAAAAGAUUUUACGAUACAAUCCACAUACAAAAGAUGGGAAAUUUUUUUCUAUCUAUAUGCAUUAUGUUAUGGAAUGAUAUAUAUAUAUAUAUAUAUAUAUAUAUAUAUAUAUAUAUAUAUAUAUAUAUAACUAAGUGCCAGAAUACGUAACUUCAUAACUUGGAAAUCUUUAGACAAAUUAAUCAGAUUCAACUGUGGGAUAGCAGCGUCGCCUAUAACGUUGUGAAGUCGUGGAAACAUAAAGGACAAAUAACAAAUGAGUUUUGAGAAAUUAUUCCACAAAUGUCAUUCUGCAAAAUGUAUUAAGAUUAGCAAUCAUGAGUAGUGUAACAACAUCAACAAAAUAACUAUAAACCAUAGUGGAACAUAAUUCAAAUUUCGGUUGCAAAAACAAAAGAAAAAGAAAACAGACUUACAAUAAUUCAGUCUCCAAUCCUGAAGUCCUACUCAAAGAGCAAAACUUGAAUGCAAGCUUUAAUCUUCCAAACAAUACAGAUAACAAGGUAACACUCUAGUAAAAAAUGAACCGAGGUGCGAGCUUUCUAAGAAACCCAGAUGACAAAAUCAACAAAAUAGAAUGGAAAAAUGACUUACAUUUUUAAGGCAUGCCCGAAUCUUGAUCUAAAAUUGGUGGUGGGUCGAUUGUUGGUCACCAACUCUAAAUGAAGAAUUCAUCAGAACCUAGAAAUUUAAACAAAGAAUUUUCCAAAAUCAACAACAACAACAACAACAACAAAGCCUUUUCCCACUAAGUGGGGUCGGCUAUAUGAAUCCUAGAACGCCAUUGCGCUCAUUUGUGUCAUGUCCUCCGUUAGAUCCAAGUACUCAAGUCUUUUCUUAGGGUCUCUUCCAAAGUUUUCCUAGGUCUUCCUCUACUCCUUCGGCCCCGAACCUCUGUCCCGUAGUCACAUUUUCGAACCGGAGCGUCAGUAGGCCUUCUUUGCACAUGUCCAAACCACCGGGACCGAUUUUCUCUCAUAUUUCCUUCAAUUUUGGCUACUCCUACUUUACCUCGGAUAUCCUAAUUCUCAAUCUUAUCCUUUCUCGUGUGCCCAUACAUCCCACGAAGCAUCCUCAUCUCCGCUACACCCAUUUUGUGUACGUUGAUGCUUCACCGCCCAACAUUCUGUGCCAUACAACAUCGCUGGCCUUAUUGCCGUCCUAUAAAAUUUUCCCUUGAGCUUCAGUGGCCUACGACGGUCACACAACACGCCGGAUGCACUCUUACACUUCAUCCAUCCAGCUUGUAUUCUAUGGUUGAGAUCUCCAUCUAAUUCUCCGUUCUCUUGCAAGAUAGAUCCUAGGUAGCGAAAACGGUCAUUUUUUUGUGAUCUUCGCUAGAUUGCUCCGGUCAUUAGUGUGGAUAAGUAUAUAAAAUGGAUAGAGAUAGGAAAGCAAACACAAGAUGUACGUGGUUCACCCAGAUUGGCUACGUCCACGGAAUAGAGGAGUUCUCAUUAAUUGUGAAGGGUUUACACAAGUACAUAGGUUCAAGCUCUCCUUUAGUGAGUACAAGUGAAUGAUUUAGUACAAAUGACAUUAGGAAAAAUUGUGGGAGAAUGAUCUCGUAGCCACGAAACUUCUAAGUACCGGAGUGUGGUAUCGUCUUGACUUGCCUUAUCUGUCUCAUAGGUAGAUGUGGCAUCUUCUCUGGAAGUACUCUUCCUCCAUCCAGGGGUGGUAUCUGUAACUGGUGGAGAUGCACAAGGUAAUGUAUCAAUUUCACUUGAAGCUUACUUGUAGUUUCAUGCUUGGUCAAGCGAGAUACAAACCAUGUAGUAGGAGUCCCCCAAGUCGCCGAGCUGGGGGAUCUGCUGAAAGAGGUGACAGACAAGGUAAGCAAUCAGAGCUCCGGCUGAUUGUUCACAUUCUCCCUAUCUUGCAGGCAGCAUGAAGGAUAAAGAGAAGAAAAAUGAGGAGAGAUGAUAUGGGAUACUUUUGCUUUUGAAGAAGUAACUUUCCACAGGCUUAUUCUUGAACUGGGCUGGAGGGUUUUCUGGUUUCCUCCAGAGUAUAAGGCCGACUGAAGAAUUUGAGGGUCAAAACAAGUCCAUCAAAUCUAGAGUACGUUCGACCCUGCUGAUAUGGGAUACUUUUGCUUUUGACAGAGUAGUGGAUGUAUCGGCACGUGUGCUGUUACGCUUGUCUCCACAUGCUUCCUUGUAUCCUUCUCACUUGCCCUAUCUGUUCCUCAGGCAGAUGCGGUAUCUUCCCUGGAAGCAUAAGAUGUUGAAGAUGAGUACUCGAGAGCAAUGCCAGGUAAGUAAUCAGGUAAGGGGUUCCAGGCAGUCAGUUCCUGGCUGGAAGCUUGAUUCCAAGUGCUGACUGAUUGCUCUCUUUCUCCUUGUCUUGCAGGUAAGAACAAGGCCAAAGGAAAAGACAGGGAAAAAGCAUGAUAUGGGAUACUCUUGCUUUUAACCCUGAUGAUAUGAGAUAUUCUUGCUCUAGUAUAGCUUGUUUACAGAGGUAUUAUCGGGGGGAAAAAAAGCUAAAUAUUUCGAAAGGCUUUGUUGGGAGUGCCCUCUCAGAUAAGAGAAAGGGUUGAGCAUUUUUGCAGGUCUGCCUGUCCGUUAGGGAUGGAAGGUCGACAUAUAUAGGAGUCUCCCUAACAUCAAGUAAUAAUGCUAUUCCUUUACCCUGCUUGGUUAUAGCACGGUAGUGGGAGCUGCCAGCUUCACAUGUUUUAACUCUGUCAGAGCACUUUGAAAAAGUGGUCUGUGGUAUCUGGAAAGCUGAUGUUGCGUGUGAAGAUUACAGACAAGCUGUCGGGGGUCUGGCUCUCGAGAUUCGGAGAACGAUGCCUCUUCGAUUUUUGAGAAAGCAAUCCUGCUGGGGGUCUGGCUCUCGAGAUUCGGAGAGCGGUGUCUCUUCGAUUUUUGAGAAAGUAAUCAUGUUGGGAGUCUGGCUCUCGAGAUUCGGAGGGCGGUGCCUCUUCGAUUUUGGAGCAAGCAAUCUUGUUGGGAGUGUUUUCUCGAAUGUGAGUAAAGGUUGGGCAUGUUUGCUAGUCUACCUUGCCACGAAGCACAGAGGUUGACACACAGGGACUUUCCAAUUAUCCAGCAGUGGUACUGUUCCUUUACCCUCUCUUCGAUUUUUGAGAAAGUAAUCAUGUUGGGAGUCUGGCUCUCGAGAUUCGGAGGGCGGUGCCUCUUCGAUUUUGGAGCAAGCAAUCUUGUUAGGAGUGUUUUUUUCUCGAAUGUGAGUAAAGGUUGGGCAUGUUUGCUAGUCUACCUUGCCACGAAGCACAGAGGUUGACACACCGGGACUUUCCAAUUAUCCAGCAGUGGUACUGUUCCUUUACCCUUGUGGGUAAUAAUAUGGUAGCUAGACCUUCAAAAUUUAUGUGUCUAAACUUUGUUAGUGUUGUUUCUUUGCAAUUCUUUUACCCUUCUUGGUCAGAGCGAUGUAGUGGGAGCUGCAAGCUUCACGUGUCUCAACUUUGUCAGAGAACUUUGGCAAAGUUAUCUGUGGUACCCAUGAGCUACUGUUGCGUGUGGGAAGUGGGUGAUUGAACAGUACGAUUCAUGUGCUUUCUACUUCGCCAGAAAUCUUCGACAGAAUGCCCAUAAUUUCCGCAAAGCUGAGUGUGCGUGUGACAGGUGCUGACAAGGCUGGAAAAGUAGGUGCCUCUUCGAUUUCUGAAAUCGGCCCUCGUGGUCUCUGAGCAGCCCAGCUUUUGAGAAAGCAAGCCUCUUCGAUUUUCUGAGAUCGGCCUUUGUGGUCUUUGAGCAGCCCAGCUUUUUGAGAAUCUCUGAGCAGCCCAGCUUUUGAGAAAGCAAACGCCUCUUCGAUUUCUGAGCAGGCGCCUCUUCGAUUUCUGAAGCUUCGUCGAGUGCAGAUUUUUAUAGGGGCUGACAUUAAGUUCCAAAGCACACUUGAAUAUCCACCAGUAGAAGCUCCAUUCUUGCACUUCUAAGAUCUUGAUUUGUCCGACCUCUUCUCUCUUCAACACCUUUGAAAAUGUCUGGCCCCUCCGACCGUCGUUUUGACUUGAACCUUGUUGAAGAGGCAGCCCCGCCUUCUCCAGACAACAUAUGGCGCCCAUCCUUCGUCUCCCCUACUGGUCCUCUUACCGUUGGGGAUUCCGUGAUGAAGAAUGAUAUGACCGCUGCGGUAGUGGCCAGGAACCUUCUCACUCCCAAAGAUAACAGACUAUUUUCCAAACGGUCUGAUGAGUUGUCUGUUAAGGAUUCUCUGGCUCUCAGUGUUCAGUGUGCAGGUUCUGUGUCUAAUAUGGCCCAACGCCUAUUUGCUCGAACCCGCCAAGUUGAAUCAUUGGCGGCUGAAGUGAUGAGUCUCAAACAGGAGAUUAGAGGGCUCAAGCAUGAGAAUAAACAGUUGCACCGGCUCGCACAUGACUAUGCUACAAACAUGAAGAGGAAGCUUGACCAGAUGAAGGAAUCUGAUGGUCAGGUUUUACUUGAUCAUCAGAGAUUUGUGGGUUUGUUCCAAAGGCAUUUAUUGCCUUCGUCUUCUGGGGCUGUACCGCGUAAUGAAGCUCCAAAUGAUCAAUCCUCUGAUGCCUCCUCCUUCUAGGGUUUUGUCCAAUACUGAGGCUCCGAAUGAUCCCCCUCCGGUGCCUUCUCUUUCUGGGGCUCUACCGACUGCUGAGACUUCUCCUAAGCAACCUUUGUGAAGGCUCCCUCUUGUUUGUUUAUUUUGACUCAAGUAUAUGUACAUAUUUGUAACUUAUCGGGGAUAUCAAUAAAUAAGUUUUUCCUUCAUUUCAACGUAUUGUGUUAAAUACACCAAAGCCUUCUUCGCUAAGUUCUUUGAAUUUUCUUUUGUUGAAGCUUGUAUGUUGAAGCUUUGUGAGUGGAGCAUAUAGGUUGAGGUAGUGUUCCCUUAAUUUCCCGAGUGAGGAAAACUUCUCGGUUGGAGACUUGGAAAAUCCAAGUCACUGAGUGGGAUCGGCUAUAUGAAUCUUAGAACGCCAUUGUGUUCUGUCCUGUGUCAUGUCCUCCGUUAGAUCCAAGUACUCUAAGUCUUUUCUUAGGGUCUCUUCCAAAGUUUUCCUAGGUCUUCCUCUGCCCCUUCGGCCCUGAACCUCUGUCCCAUAGUCGCAUCUUCUAAUCGGAGCGUCAGUAGGCCUUCUUUGCACAUGUCCAAACCACCGUAACCGAUUUUCUCUCAUAUUUCCUUCAAUUUCGUCUACUCCUACUUUACCCCGGAUAUCCUCAUUCCUAAUCUUAUCCUUUCUCGUGUGCCCACACAUCCAACGAAGCAUCCUCAUCUCCGCUACACCCAUUUUGUGUACGUGUUGAUGCUUCACCGCCCAACAUUCUGUGCCAUACAGCAUCGCCGGCCUUAUUGCCGUCCUAUAAAAUUUUCCCUUGAGCUUCAGUGGCAUACGGCGGUCACACAACACGCCGGAUGCACUCUUCCACUUCAUCCAUCCAGCUUGUAUUCUAUGGUUGAGAUCUCCAUCUAAUUCUCCGUUCUUUUGCAAGAUAGAUCCUAGGUAACGAAAACGGUCGCUCUUUGGUAUUUCUUGAUCUCCGAUCCUCACCCCUAACUCGUUUUGGCCUCCAUUUGCACUGAACUUGCACUCCAUAUAUUCUGUCUUUGAUCGGCUUAGGCGAAGACCUUUAGAUUCCAACACUUCUCUCCAAAGGUUAAGCUUUGCAUUUACCCCUUCCUGAGUUUCAUCUAUCAACACUAUAUCGUCUCUGCGAAAAGCAUACACCAAGGAAUAUCACCUUGAAUAUGUCCUGUUAACUCAUCCAUUACCAACGCAAAAAGGUAAGGACUUAAGGAUGAGCCUUGAUGUAAUCCUACAGUUAUGGGAAAGCUUUCGGUUUGUCCUUCAUGAGUUCUUACGGCAGUCUUUGCUCCUUCAUACAUAUCCUGUAUAGCUUGGAUAUAUGCUACUCGUACUCCUUUCUUCUCUAAAAUCCUCCAAAGAAUGUCUCUUGGGACCCUAUCAUACGCUUUUUCCAAAUCUAUAAAGACCAUGUGUAAAUCCUUUUUCCCAUCUCUAUAUCUUUCCAUCAAUCUUCGUAAGAGAUAGAUUGCCUCCAUGGUUGAGCGCCCUGGCAUGAACCCGAAUUGGUUGUCCGAAACCCGUGUCUCUUGCCUCAAUCUAUGCUCAAUGACUCUCUCCCAGAGCUUCAUUGUAUGACUCAUUAGCUUAAUUCCCCUAUAGUUCAUGCAAUUUUGUACAUCGCCCUUAUUCUUGUAGAUAGGCACCAAAGUGCUCAUUCGCCACUCAUUCGGCAUCUUCUUCGUUUUCAAAAUCCUAUUGAAAAGGUCAGUGAGCCAUGUUAUACCUGUCUCUCCCAAAAUUUUCCACACUUCGAUUGGUAUCGUCUGGGCCUACUGCUUUUCUAUGCUUCAUCUUCUUCAAAGCUACACCCACUUCUUCCUUCCGGAUUCUACGAUAAAAAGAGUAGUUUCUACACUCUUCUGAGUUACUCAACUCCCCUAAAGAAGCACUCCUUUCAUGUCCUUCAUUGAAAAGAUUAUGAAAAUAACCUUUUCAUCUGUCUUUAACCGCGUUCUCUGUAGCAAGAACCUUUCCAUCCUCAUCCUUGAUGCACCUCACUUGGUUUAGGUCCUAAAAUCAACAUUUACUAAAAACCAUUUACUUGGUUAUCAUGCAAGAUGGCUUGCCAAAGAUUGAAUUAAGGAAUGCACAACUUUACUUUUAUGAUUAUUUUCAAUGACAGCUAAAAGGUCAGAUCCAAAUGAAAAUAAAACUUUGGACUUCACAAAACCAAUUAAAAAUCUAAUUCCAAAGUUACAAACACCCACCAAAUGAUUCCAGAUAAAGUUUUAAACUCAAGGUCAGACCCAAAUGAAAUUAAAAGUUAGGACUUCACAAAACCAAUUGAAAAUCUGAUUCCAAAGUUCCAAACACCCACCAAAUGAUUCCGGAUAAAGUUUAAACUCAAAACACCAACAGAAACAAAAGCAUUG
RNAcentral lists this long non-coding RNA (176478 nucleotides) under Malus domestica (apple). RNAcentral describes it as "long non-coding RNA (MDOM_LNC001353)". Lineage: Eukaryota; Viridiplantae; Streptophyta; Magnoliopsida; Rosales; Rosaceae. The record is from RNAcentral.